UGAGUUAUCAGAUAAGAUUAAAACUCACCCAAUUCAAUCCAUCAGAUUCCGUAAGGAUAUAACUGGAUGUCAUACCGCCACUCCAUAUCCUUGAAAGUCCGUAGUGUUUGUCUCAACUCUGUCUGAGGCCAAUGUAAAUUCAAUUUGCGCAAGCUCUUUAUGCACCACAGCUCUUCUGGAAGCUUUCUCAAGUAAGCACAUGGGUUGACAAUUAAGCUUUCAAGUUUCGGCAUUGCUCCAGCCCCCAUCGUCCACUCAUCUAGCCAAUACAUUGAUUUCAGGUGCAAAACCUUAAGUUCCGGAAAGCUACUCAAGCCAACACAAGCAAGCUUUCUUCCUAAAUACGAGUUCUGCUUCAGUUUCAGCACUCGAAGGCGUGGAAGAUUUUCCAGAAUUGGCAUGGGAUCCUCCAUUAGCUCAGUAUUUGAUAAGCUCAGUUGGAUCAGACUUGGGGGAAAUUGGUAUUCAGACAGGACCAUCCGUGAGGGCUUGCUCUCAUUCACCAGCUUCAAGCAUUCAAGUUUGUGGAGUUCGCAAAGGCUUUUGGAAACCGCAGAUUGAUAGUAACUCAAAUCUCCAGAUAUCCGAAGAGUCUGAACACUAGGUAGUCUGCCCAAUAUAUCAGGAGUACAACUACUAGGGUUUAAAGCUGAUAUGAAAAUGAGAUUUUUCAGAGAGCUGGAAUAAUUUUUUGGAGGUGCGGGCAGAGUGAUAGAACCAAAGUUUAGAUGCAUGAGUUUUUGCAUCAUCCAAAUAUCCUCUGGUGACUGAUCUAUGUAGCUAGAUGGCAUUUCUAGUGUUUCAAGGUUUAAAAGGGUGCAUAGCAGCGAAGGAAGGCGUUUGAGCAAAGGGAUAUUCAAUUUCAAAUACUUCAAAAGGAAUAAAUUUUCUAAUCCGGGUGGAAAUUGGUCGAGAACUGCAGAACCGAAGUUCAGUACCCGAAGGUGUUUGAACUUUUUACAAAAAUUCUCGCAAUCUAUCACAGCGAGAUGAUCGCCUUCUAAACUUUGAUUGAUAAAAGAUUGGAGAUAGAUCUCACCAUGUUCUAAAGAAAUGAAGUCAGUCAGAUGUUCCAAAAUGAUGUAGCGUUUAACAUUUGCAAAUGGUUCCGCUUCCAUUCCAGGCAUCCAGAGAAAUUUCGUCUUGUCUGCCACCAAACCCAAUGAAGUAUAUACAAAACUUGGAACAUAGCAAGCUUUAAUUGUGCCGCCGGCUCUUCUCUUACUCACUUGAAUGAAGCCGCGAUGGAUUAGUUCUUUCAAGUAAUGUUCGGCAGUUUCUUCACCGUUGUAUGGUAUGAAACCUUCAGCUACCCACAACUGAUAUAAUUGCUCCGUAGAUAUCUCCAUACUUGGAGGGAAGACCAACAAAUAGAUGCAGCAGACCUUCAAGUGAAAAGGUAACUCCAUCACAGAAAAAAUUUGUCUCCAAACUGUCGGAAUCGCUUCGCCUUGAAGAUAAUUUUCUAAUGGCAUACUUCCAUAGUGUAGGAUGAAAAAUUGCCAGGCUUCAUGCUUUAAUCUUAUCAAUGGUCCUCCAAUGAGCACUGAAUCACGCCGAAUUUCCUCUCCAUUUUCCAUUUCCAACGACACAAGGAGGUCUGGUUCAGUGACUGUUAUCAAUACUCUGCUUCCAUUCUCAUCAUCAGGGAGAACUUCUUCCAGAUCAUCCCAUAUCUCACAGUCAUCGAAGACGUCAUCAAGCACAAUAAAAUACUUCUUGUUUGUUAGGUAAUCUCGAAGAAUAGAUUCCUUGAAUUGAUAAUCUUCACCGAUAAUUACACUAACCCGAGAUGGAGGCAUCACAGACUUGAUUAUGUCAUCCAAUAUCUUGCGAAAAUCGUAGAGUAGAGAAACCCUGACCCAAGCAAGACAGUCAAAAUAGAACUUGACAUAGUUAUUAUUGUAAGUAUCUGCAGCAAAAGCAGUCUUAUCGAAGCCACUGCUGUCGAGAAUUGCAACCACUGAAAGCCCAGAUGGUCCCUCAAUCAAUAGAUCAAACAACUCCUCUCUGCCCCUUUCAAAUUCACUGAUAUCAAGCCGAGGAUGUCCCUCAUUCAAUAGGCGAAUCAUUUCGUUACUUUUUUCACUGAUAUCAAAACCAUUGUCGCCGGGUGGAAGUUGUUGCAUCCGAUUUCUAAUAUCAAUGAUUUCACUGUGGAGUCCAUCAGGAAGAGCCAUAUUAGUGCUGCUUUCACUUUCGUUUUCACUGUUUUGCUGCUGCAUGAUGUUGAUGAAGAAUGUGUCAAUGACUUCCUCAGAGUCACGGACAAAGUUAUUGAUGUCCUUCAGAAUUUCAAAAAUAUCUGCUGUUUCAACGUCUUCUUCAUCGCUUUCUUCUAAGUCCAACAGUUGCAAAAAAGGCAAAGAUAUUUUGGAGUCAUCGAUAUCUUCUCUAAGGAGUUGAAUCAAAUGCCGAGCCAUGUCGGCUUCAUAGUUUCCCAGAAGAGUAGUAGCAAUAAUUUCGGACUCCGUAAGAAGGUUUUGAAAAAGUGGAGUUAAAUUUGUUGAAUCUGGCAGAGGCAACGUGCCUUCUUCACCUGCUAACACCCUUUUCAACCUCUCACAAAACAGUCGGAGGUGGACGUCCAGCAUAUCUCCUUCUCUCUGUAGCACCCAGAGGUAUUGUUUUUUGCUCCAAGAAAUAUUAAAAGGAUUGGUUCUAUCUAAAAGUGGUUACUGGUGUAAAAUUAAACGCCAUGGGAGAAUUUGAAAGGAAGAUGCCAAGGAACUGGCGAAGUGGCUAAAUUCCACAAAUACGGCAUUAUUGCUCAUUUUUAACUCAAAAAAUUGAUACGCCUUCAUUUAGCGAAAAGUCCAAGACGCUUGCCUUUUGAAAAGAAGAGGUAUCCAUAGAUAUCCAACAUUUAUCUUAUUUUAAUUACUACCACGACAUGAUUGAUGGUUGUUAAAUCAAUUGUUUCUUUUUUAAUUUAAAGAAAUUUUCAUUAAAAAAUAGUUUAAUAGACACAUAAUAUUACAAUAAAUAAAGUAAAGUUUAAAUUAUUUUGAAUAUUAUAAAAAAUAAUUUUAAUAUUAUUAAUAGGAAGACAUUUUGUUAAUUUUAAAAUCUUUUUAACCCAAAGGUUUAUUUAAAAUCUUUAUUAUAAAUACAAAUAUAAAAUUAAAUAUCAUAAUUUAAAAUUUUUAAUAUUAUUUUAAGUAUUAAAAAUAUUUUAAUGUUAUUAGUCUACUACAUAGAUUUUAUUAUUUAUAUUAUAUCUGUAUUGAUUAAAAUUUUUUAAAGUCAAUUUUUUAGUCAAUAUAUUCAAGAGGUAUUAUAGUUAAAGAAAAGAUUUUGGUGUUAUUUUUUGAAAAUUUUAAGGUUUAAAUGAUUUUUUUUUUAAUUUUAAGGAUGUGGGUAUUAUUUUUCCGACAAUUUAUUUUAUUUUUGGGGAAUCCGAUGAGAAAUAUCAUGAGAGAAGGUUAAUUUUACAUUCUUUACCUUUAUGAAAAAAGUGGAAACCAAGAACUAUUCAAUUUUGUAUUUUUUGUUUGUAAUUCAAAAAAUGCAUCCACCAAACAAGCUUAUCUUGAUUUUCCCACUUUAUUCAUUUUCGAUCCUUUAAUCCAUCUAGCAUCUGCAGCCCCCGCUAUUUUCACAAAGAGUAAUGAUACAGCCACAAAUUCUUGUACAAAUUUAUUUUGUAUAAACUGACGUGGCAUGAUAAGAUUGGUUGAAUUAAAUAUCACUUGGCCCACAUGAUUUGUUUUUAUUAUUUUAUAUUUUUAUUCAACCAAUGAAUUAAUGCCACGUCAGUUUGUACAAAAUAAAUUUGUACAAGAGUUUGUGGCUGUAUCAUUACUCUGUCAAGAAUCUCCAUCCCACAGCUACACUAUCAAACAAGUUGAUGGAAAUUGAACAAUUGCUUUUUGAAGUGGACCCAUUAGGUUAUGUUCAUUACUGGUCAUUGUCUAUUCUUUCUAAGAGCCACUUAUUUUGAGCAUUAGCGAUCCUAUCUGGACUACUCCAAUUAUUGAUGUAACUCCAAUGGUUGCAUCAACAGUUGAAUGUAAGAUAGUGUCAGUUCUUUUUUGAGAAUAUAGAGGGAUCUUUAUUUGUUUCUCCGUUGCAGCGUAUUAGUAUAAAUUUCUUGACCUUACAGUUCCUACAGUCUUCCUGUUAAUGAAUUCGCUGAGGCAUUAUUGAUCCAAUCUCAGUGAAGUAAUUGUGGGUGAAAAAAAAAUAAAGGAUAAGAGAACGUAGCUCAAGUGCUGAAUUGACUAUUAAAGAAGAGCGUCACCUGAUCACAAUCACAUUGAUGCACAACUCACUCGAGGCAAAUUUCAUCUAUAUAUACUGCAAAUUCAGCCAAGCCAUGCAUGCAUGAACAAAACUAAAAUGAAGUUCAUAAUCACAACUGUAAUUAGAGCUACAAAAGGUGGCAAACCAUACAUGCAUGAACAAAAUUAGACAUAAAUUGAAGCCACAACAUUAAUUGAAGCCACAAAAGCCAGCAAAUCCAAAUGAAAACUUAAAAGGAAGAUCUUAUCGAAGUUUGUCCCCAAAAGACAGCGGAAAUGAAAAAUAUUGACUAUCGAGUGGAUCAAUGCUGAAUUACAUUUGACCUGGAAAGCUUGGCUGCAGUUGCGAUGUUCCCCCUCUGAUUUUCCCUAAAACAAAUUCAGUUGUAAACAAUAACUGGAGUAGCAACAAUUUAUUCAUUAUAGAAAAUACCUAAAUUUUCAACUAUCAAAUCCUCUUGUCUAAACUAAAAAACUCAUAUCUCUAAAAUCUAUAUACAAAAUGUCAUAAAUGAGGGUGAUCUCUCAAUUCGGUAAACAAAUUCAUGCAUAAUAUUACCAAUAAUGAUAAAUUACAUAAUAAUUAUUAUAAAGAAUCAUAAAUUGGAAACAUUAAUCAUUUUAAAAUCUAUUACAUAAUAAAAAUAAAUCUUAUAAUAAGUUACGUUAGAACAUAACAAAUAUUUAAAAUGAUAUAUAUAAUUAUUUAAGAAGUCUUUUAACAAUAAUUUUUUUUUUCUUUUUCAGUUGAUCAUGUCAUAGCGUUAUCUAAAAUGCUAGCGAUAUCAUUAUUCCCCACUUUUCUCAAAAAAAAGAAAAAGAUAAAGAAAAAAGAAAUAUGAUUAACGUUUGGAGAAAAGUCAUGCCUUUUAAAAAGAAUAUGUAUACAAUACCAAUUCAUACUUUAUCUUACCAUAAAAAAAUUGUUUAAAAUAGAUUUAAUGCACAAAUAUGAUGACUUUUGGCAGAAAUGAGUUUCGGAAAUAUUGGGAUGAAAACCAUAUUGGUUCAGACUUAAAAUUACUUAAUAAAAUUACUUAACUACCAUUUAAUAAAUAAAAAUCAUAUUAGUUGAAAGUUAAAUUAAGAUUUAAAUGUUGAGAUAUCUAACGUUACUCAAUCAGAAUAAACAAUAAUCAAUUCAAAUUAUGACUAUCAUGUAGAAGCAAAUGUUUAUGCUUGGGUCUUUUACUUCUUGAAUUUGAUUGGAAAAAUUUCUGAGACAGGGAAGUGAGUGUUUUGGAUAAUAUUUUUCGGGAUUGAAACCACAAGUUGGUCGAGGAAAAUAAUUUUGGACAAAUUUUUAUUAUAUUGUAGAACCUUUUUGGUUCCUUUUGUGUCGGCAGCCCCUCACUAUUCUCUUAACCCUGAGUUUUGAGAUAGAAAUUUCCCGAACUCCAACCCCACAUCCACAGACAAGUUGAUUGAAACAAUUGCUCUUGUAAUUAAGAGGAUGAGUUAGGGUUCAGUUCUUAUCAUUGUCUGUUAUUUCUUUGAAUCAUUAUCUUAGUUAAUUACAUCAAUUGUUUCUUUUCUUAAUUUAAAGAAUUUUUCUUUUAAAAAAAUAUUUUAAUAUCAAAAUGCGUUAAAUGGUAUUACUGCCGCAAUCCCAGUAACAGGAUUAAUUAAAAAAAUAUUCUUAGGAAGAUAUUUUGUUUAUUGUAAAAUCUUUUUAACCCAAAGGUUUAUUUAAAAUCGUUAUAAUAAAUAAAAAUAUAAAAAAAAAUAAAUAUCAUAAUUUAAAAUUUUAAUAUUAUUUUAAAUAUUAAAAAUACUUUAAUGCUAUUAGUCUACUACACAGGUUAUAUUACUUAUAUUAUAUUUGUAUAAAUUAAAACUUUUAAAGUUAAAUUUUUAAUUACUAUAUUGAAAAGGUAUUAUGGUUAAAAAAAGUUUUGGCAUUUGUUUUUUGAAAAUUUGAGGGUCUGCAUGACAAUUUGUCCAAAUCCUAGAGGUAUAGGUGUCUUUUUUUUUCGAUAAUUCAUUUUACUUUUGAGGGAAUCCGAUGAGAAAUAAGAUAAGAGAAACGUCAAUUUAACGUUCUCUAGGGAAAACCAAGAACUAUUCAAUUUUGUAUUUUUUGUUUGUAAAACAAAAAACAGUUUGCCAAAAAAGGUACCAAACAUAUCCUUAAUGUCUCACAUGAUUUCUUAUUAAGUCCAUACUCGAUAUAUUUAUACAUUUUAGGUAUUUUAGUUAUAAAAGAAGUUGGUCCUCCCUCUGUUUAUAAAAGGUAACUUUAUUUCGAGAUUACCACUAAAGUCUUACAAAGAAUUAGUGUAAUGUUAAGAGAGACUAACACAGUUUUCCAUUACCAUUUUGAAAAUAGAAAGAUAUGGAUGUGUGCAUUUAAUGGUGCGUUUACUUGCCGGAUUGGGGAAUCAGAAUCUGGAAUCAGAAUGAUUGAUGGUGUUUACUUCACAAAUAUGGAGCAGGAAUCGGAAUUGGAAUGGUGGGGCCCACCACUAUUUGGGAAUGGGAGAUUGAUUCCCAUGGGGGAAGGUGGGAAUGAGUCUCUCAUUCCCUGGAUUGACCAUUUUGCCCUCCCUCAAAAUUAAAAAUGCCUACUUUGUCCUCUUUUAUAAUUAAUUAAUAUAAUAUUAUAAUUAAUUAAUUAAUAUAUAAAUAUUUUAUUAACUAUAAUUAUUAAAAAUUAUAGUUCUUGAAUAAAUAAUCACAAUAAUUAAUUUAUUAUUAUUAUUGUUAAUGAAUUAAUAUAAUUAUUACUAUUAAUUAAUAUAUUAAUAUAUUAUUAACAAUAAUAUAUUAAUAAUUAUUGUUCGUGAAUAAAUAAUCACAAUAAUUAAUAUAUUAUUAUUGAAAUUAAUUAAUUAAUAUACUAUUAUAAUAAUUAUUAUAAUUAAUUCAUAUAUUAUUAUUAAUUAAUUAAUAAAAUUAAAAUUAUUAAUUAAAUAAAUAAUAUAAUUAUUACUACUAAUUAAUAUAUUAAUAUAUUAUUAAAAAUAAUUAUUAAUAAUUAUAAUUUUUGAAUAAAUAAUCACAAUAAUUAAUAUAUUAUUUUAAUUAAGUAAUUAAUAUUAAUAUUAUUAGUUAAUAUAUUUUUAUAAUAAUUUUUGAUAUAGUUAUUAUAAUUAAUUAAAAUUUUUUACAAUUAAUUAAUAUAUUAGUUAAUAAUAAUUAUGACAAUAAUUCAUUAAGUACUUUUUAGUAAUUUGUUACAAUCUAAUUCAUUCCGAUUCCGAUUUCAAGACAAAGUAAACACAUUAAUGGCAAUCUAGCUCAUUCCGAUUUCGAUUCUUACAGUUCAAGUAAACAACUUAUUUUGAUUCCCAUUACCUAUUCCCAUUCCAGCCCAUUCUCAUUUCUGCCCAUUUCAAUUCCAGCUCAUUCCGAUUCCAGUUUAGUAAACGCAGCAUAAGAGUUAUCAUGAAAAUCAUACAAUUUAAUUUCCUGAAAUAUAUAUUUUAUUCACAUGUGCCAAAAGAAUAAAUAGAUAGAAAGUAAAUUUACAAUCCUCACUCCCUCAUAAUUGUUAAAGUGAAUAUGCAUUACAACUGUGAACUGUCACUACUUUAGCCCUUUAUUUGUUUUUUCAAUUAUAGUGUGAUGGAGACAGUGAACAUUAAGGAUAAAGUGCUCUGCUGAAAGCCAAACUUCCUUUGGCUAAUUAAUUUAGAAGUAAAGCAGAGAAUAAAGUCCUUGAUGCCUUCUGAAAUUAGAAAUACAUUUUAUAUGCUUUAAUUAUGAUUAUUUGGUAGACUAUUGACCAAAAGACAUGUUAAAGUAUAAAACAGAGCGAUUAAAGAAAAAAAAAAGGAGCGUUUGUGACGUAGAAUAACAAUUUGUAAGCAAAGUCCUAAUUUGAGUUGUCAAAAAGCAAACAUAACAGAGAAGGUAAGAGAGAUGCAAAAACAGAAAACUAUUAGCUUAUCUUGAUUUUCCCACUAUAUUCAUUUUCGAUGCUUUUCAAACGAGAUUCUUUUAAUCCUUCUGGCGUCUGCAGCCCCUGCUCUUCUUAUAAAUCUCCUUCCCACAUCUGCACUACGAACAAGUUGACUAAAAUUAAAUAAUGUUGGAGACGAGGGGUGAGCCGUCAACUUAUUAAAAAAAACUCAUGUAUAAUAUUAUCAAUAAUAUAAAAUAUAUAAUAAUUAUUAUAAAGAAUCAUAAAUUAGAAAAAUUAAUUAUUUUACAAUUUAUUUCUUAAGUAAGAUAAAUCUCGUAAUAAGUUAAGUUUAAUGUAAAAAAUAUUUUCAAUUUAUAAUCAUUUAAGAAGUCAUUUAACAAUAAAAUCUUUUUUUUGAUCAGGUGGCCAUGCCAUAGAGUAUCAUCUAUAUUCGUGGUGAUAUUAUUAUUACUCAAUAUCCUCAAAAGACACUAUUUAACAUUUAGAGAAAAUUUCUGCCUUUUAAAAAGAACAUGUAUGCAAUAGCUAGCCACACUUUAUUUUACCACGACAAAAUUGAUAGUGAUUAAAUCAAUUUUCUCAAUUAAAGAAAUUUUUUUUAAAUUGAUUUAAUGCACAAAUAUGAUGAGUUUUUGCAAAAAUUAGUUUUGGAAAAUAUAGUGAGAGAGAAUGGUGACGAUUAUUUUUCAGAUGUGCAAAUAGCCUAAACAUAAUCUCUAAUACCAAUAUCCUUGUGCAUCUUAACACCUUUCAUGAUAUUCUUUCAUUCAUAACCAUUUGUUCAAUAUUUGAAUUUGAUUAUUAAAUUAUGUUCAAUAAUGUUAGAGACCCCAACAAUUGGGUACCAACUUAAAUCCCAAUGCUAUGUGUCAAUGUAACAUAGCAAAAUCCCAUUAACAAAUGUUGUGUCAUUUAUCAUUAUUGAAUGAAUAAUUCGUUAAUUUAUUGAUAAAUGAAAAUUUAUUAAUUUAAAGAGAGAUUUUUUUUUUUGGUUUUAAGAAGAGUUUUGUUGGUACAUGUACAUACUUAUAAAGGAAAAACUUGUAAUUAUACUAUAUCUUUCUUUCUUUGUUCAGUUUGGUGGGAUAUUGUGAUAAAUCAUUGGAUUAAAAUGCAUUUCUAAAUUGAAACUUGUUAAAAUCUAAUUUAUUUGGGAAACGCAUAUUAUUUGUCAGUCGUACUUCUCAACUUAGCAAGUUAUUUCUAACUUGUCGGUCUCUAUUGGUUCUCUUAAAACUAAUAGUCUCGUAUCUCCCGCAUUUGAUAUCUUGCCAUUACUGUUGGCAUUAACAUGUUACCUGAGAUUGGGAUUCAUUAAAAUCCUCAAUGUAAUCGGUGGAACGAAUGGAUUUCUUCUGUUCACCAAUCCACCAAAAUUUCUGUAAUUAAAUUCAAAAGUCAAGAUCUAUGCUUAUAAUCUAUUCAACAGCUAAUAUUCUAUUUUAUAUUUACUUAAAUAUGAAGAGCUAUGCUUGUAGUUAACUUCAAAUGUGAUCGAAGCAGCCUUACAUCUAUAUAUUACUUAUGCCCAACCUUUUUUUUUGACUUCAUAUACAUUCUUUUCAUGUUAUUUACUCUUUUUUCCCCCUCUCUGACAAUUGAGGUAGGGGGUCAAACUUGAAAGUAUCUUAAAAUCAGACAAUAAUUUUUUUUUUUUAAAGAUAGCUACUAAUAUGCUCUAUUAGACAAUGAUAAGUAAUAACCUAGUUGUUUGCAUUAGAAAUGAUAUUUUUUGUGGUGCUGAUAAAGAGGUUGAUUAUGAUUCAACAAUUUAAAAUAUGAAAACAUGUGGAAGACGGCCGCAAUUAAAUUGAUUGUAUGAAAAUAUUUCAAUGAAAUUUUAAAAGUUUAGUACUUGUUAUCUUAUCGAGAGUUUUUUUAAAUUAUAUUACUACUUGAACUUGACUGCUUUUGUAUUGAAUUCCUACCGUUGCCAUUGCUUCUACUCAAAAGCCAUUUAAGUUUGUGUAAGCUACCUAUAGUUUGAACAACAAUUUACUCAUGAAUUGUUGUUCAUAUUAGCAAUUUGAUUGAAAGUGCGGCUGCACUAAUUUUCUAGAUGAAUUUUUUCCUACAUGCUUGUUCUCGUAUGACCCAAAAUCCUACUACAUCAGUUGUAUUAGAAAUUAAUCAACUGGGUUACAAUUAUGCAUCCCCACCAAUAUUUAAGCAAUUUAAUUACAGAAAUAUUUCUUGAGGAAAGAAACUCAUAUCGCCACUAGGCUUGUAAUGAGGCUCAUUUUUAUGAAUCUGGAUGGCAUUAGAUAUCUCUACGAAUAUUGGUGGGAGUAGAUCGCAGAUCUCUGGGCUAUACUACAAAGUUUAUGUACGUUGACUCUCAAUAAAUACAAACGAUUCUCUGAUAUGAUUCAAACAUCAGUGCAUGCAUCAUUUUAAUGAGAAAGAAUAUUCUAAGAACGAAAUUGAAGGUGCAAUCAGCAGCUAAAAUGAAGCCAGAAAUGUACAUGCAUGAGGAAUUUUUCCUAGAAGAUUGAUAUUUCUUUGACUAGCAAACCAUACAAGUCCAAAGCUAGCCAAACCAUACCUGCAAGGUGGGGGUUUAAAUGGAAUACUUCUAAGCAUAAAACAUUGAUUAAAACAGAAUACACACAUACAUACCAGCAAAUUCAAAAUAGCAAGAGGAGUGCAAAAGUUCAAGUUUGUAGACAACAUUGCAACCAUGGCAAGUUUAUAGCAAAUCCUCGAAAUCUGCUAAAUAAAACAAUGCCCUGUCUCAUGAAUCAAUGCUUAAUUAAAAUUGAAACUGAAAGUCUGGCUGACGUUGUUUCCCUCUCCAAUUUUGCCUACAUAAGUGAAAAUAAGAAUAAUAAAUGAAAAUCUGCUUUUACAGUUCUUAUUAGAUAGAUAUAAAUGGAUCUUUCUUUGUUUCUCUGCUGUAUUUUGUGGCUAUCCCACUCUGUUUUGCCAGUCAAGCUGAGUCUAUGUUGAGACAUAAUUUUGACAUCAGAAGCAAUCUCAAUUAGUUUGGCACUUUUAUGACCUCCUUAAAGGUUUUACAAUAAACAUAAAUCUACUGAGAAAGUGGGAAAAAAAAGAAAAUGCAUAUAAAAAUAUGAGUUAUCAGAUAAGAUUAAAACUCACCCAAUUCAAUCCAUCAGAUUCCGUAAGGAUAUAACUGGAUGUCAUACCGCCACUCCAUAUCCUUGAAAGUCCGUAGUGUUUGUCUCAACUCUGUCUGAGGCCAAUGUAAAUUCAAUUUGCGCAAGCUCUUUAUGCACCACAGCUCUUCUGGAAGCUUUCUCAAGUAAGCACAUGGGUUGACGAUUAAGCUUUCAAGUUUCGGCAUUGCUCCAGCCCCCAUCGUCCACUCAUCUAGCCAAUACAUUGAUUUCAGGUGCAAAACCUUAAGUUCGGGAAAGCUACUCAAGCCAACACAAGCAAGCUUUCUUCCUAAAUACGAGUUCUGCUUCAGUUUCAGCACUCGAAGGCGUGGAAGAUUUUCCAGAAUUGGCAUGGGAUCCUCCAUUAGCUCAGUAUUUGAUAAGCUCAGUUGGAUCAGACUUGGGGGAAAUUGGUAUUCAGACAGGACCAUCCGUGAGGGCUUGCUCUCAUUCACCAGCUUCAAGCAUUCAAGUUUGUGGACUUCGCAAAGGCUUUUGGAAACCCCAGAUUGAUAGUAACUCAAAUCUCCAGAUAUCCGAAGAGUCUGAACACUAGGUAGUCUGCCCAAUAUUUCAGGAGUACAACUACUAGGGUUUAAAGCUGAUAUAAAAAUGAGUUUUUUCAGAGAGCUAGAAUAAUUUUUUGGAGGUGCGGGUAGAGUGAUAGAACCAAAGUUUAGAUGUAUGAGUUUUUGCAUCAUCCAAAUAUCCUCUGGUGACUGAUCUAUGUAGCUAGAUGGCAUUUCUAGUGUUUCAAGGUUUAAAAGGGUGCAUAGCAGUGGAGGAAGGCAUUUGAGCGAAGGGAUAUUCAUUUUCAAAUACUUCAAAAGAUAUAAAUUUUCUAAUCCAGGUGGAAAUUGGUCGAGAACUGCAGAACCGAAGUUCAGUACCCGAAGGUGUUUGAACUUUUUACAAAAAUUCUCGCAAUCUAUCACAGCGAGAUGAUCGCCUUCUGAACUUUGAUUGAUAAAAGAUUGGAGAUAGAUCUCACCAUGUUCUAAAGAAAUGAACUCAGUCAGAUGCUCCAAAAUGAUGUACCGUUUAACAUUUGCAAAUGGUUCCGCUUCCCUGUCAGGCAUCCAGAGAAAUUUCGUCUUGUCUGCCAUCAAACCCAAUGAAGUAUAUACAAAACUUGGAACAUAGCAAGCUGUAAUUGUGCCGCCGGCUCUUCUCUUACUCACAUGAAUGAAGCCGCGAUGGAUUAGCUCUUUUAAGUAAUGUUCGGCAGUUUCCUCACCGUUGUAUGGAAUAAAGCCUUCAGCUAUCCACAACUGACAUAAUUGCCUGGUAGAUAUCUCAAUGCCUGGACGGAAGACACACAAAUAAAGGCAGCAGACUUUCAAGUGAAAAGGUAACUCCAACACAGAACAAAUUCGACUCAAGAGUGUCAAAACCACUUUUUCAUCCAUAUAAUUUACUAAUGGGGCACUUCCAUAGUGUAGGAUGAAAAAUUUCCAGGCUUCAUGCUUUAAUCUGAUCAAUGGUCCUCCAACAGGCACUGAAUAAAGCGGAAUGAUCCCUCCAUGCUCCAAUUCAAAAAAGGUAAGGAGGAAUGGAUCAGUGACCAAUAUCAAUACUCUGCUUCCAUUCUGCUUAUCAGGAAGAACUUCUUCAAGAUCAUCCCAUAUGUCACUGUCAUUGAAGACAUCAUCAAGCACAAUAAAGUACUUCUUGUUUGUCAGGUAAUCUCGAAGAAUAGAUUUCUUCAAGUGAUAAUCUUCACCGAUAAUUACCCUAGCCCGAGAUGGAGGCAUUAAAGAAUUGAUUAUGUCAUCCAAUAUCUUGCCAAAAUAGUAGCCUAUAGAAACCCUUACCCAAGCAAGACAGUCAAAAUAGAACUUGACAUGAUUAUUAUUGUAAAUAUCUGCAGCAAAAACAGUCUUAUGGAAGCCAUUGCUGUCGAGAAUUGCAAUCACUGAAAGCCCAGAUGGUCCCUCAAUCAAUAGAUCAAACAACUCCUCUCUGCCCCUUUCAAAUUCACUGACAUCAAGCCAGUGUUGUCCCUUACUCAAUAGGCGAAUGAUUUUGUUACUUUGUUCAGUGAUAUCAAAACCAUUGUCGCUGGGUGGAAGUUGUUGCAUUCGAUCUCUAAUAUCAAUGAUUUUACUGUGGAGUCCAACAAGAAGAGCCAUAUUAGUACUGCUUUCACUUUCGUUUUCACUGUUUUGCUGCUGCAUGAUGUUGAUGAAGAAUGUGUCAAUCGCUUCAUCAGAUUCAUGGACAAAGUGAUUGAUGUCGUCCAGAAUUUCCAAAAUGUCCCGUCUUUUUACGUCUUCAUCAGUGUCUUCUAAGUCUAACAGUUGCAGACAAAGCCAAGCCAUUUCAGCUCCAUUGAGUUGUUCUCUAAUGAUGCGUCGAAUCACACGACGAGUCAUGUCACCUUCAUAGUUCCCGAGCAGAGUAGUAAUAAUUUCAGUCUCCGUAAAAAGGUUUUGAAAAAGCGGGGCUAAGUUUGUUGAAUCAGGCAACGUUAACGUGCCUUCUUCACCUGCUACCACCCUUUUCAACCUCUCACAAAAUAGUCGGAGGUGGACGUCCAGCAUAUCUCCUUCUCUCUGUGGCACCCAGAGGUAUUGUUAUUUGCUCCAAGAAAUGUUAAAAGGAUUGGUCCUAUCUCAAAGAGGUUAGUGGUGUAAAGUUAAACACAAUGGAAGAAUUUGAAAGGAAUAUACCAAGAAACUGUGUAAGUGGCUAAAUUCCACAAAUAUGGCAUUGUUGCUCAUUUUUAACUCAAAAAAAUACACGUUAAUUUAGCGAAAAGUCCAAGACACGUGCUUUUUGAAAAGAACAGGUAUCCCAAUAGGUAUCCAACCUUUAUCUUAAUCAAUUACUACCAUGACAUACUUGAUGGUGCUUAAAUCAAUUUUUCUUUUCUUAAUGUAAAGAUUUUAUUUUUUUAAAACAGAUUUUAAUAUCAAGAAAAAAUAUCACUCGUAUAUCCUUAAAUGACACUUGUAUCAAACGUACUACAACACUUUUAACAUGUAUCACUUGUAUACCUUAAGUUGACAAAUUGUGUCUACCAUCCACCAAACCGUUAGUUGCCGUUUGCAAGCGCUGACAUCAUAAAGGUAAUCUAGUCUUUUCAAAUGGAAGAAACUUUGAUUAAAAAAACGACAUGUCAUCCCAUUUACCUCGUAAAAAAUGACAUAUCAUAUGAUAUAUAUUGACAAAAAAUGACAUGUCAUCCCAUUUAUCGGAAGAUGAUGUCAUCUAUGUGAAACAACGUUGUUUCAACGGGACUAAAAAAAAAAUGAUACUCCACAACCGAAUCGACUCCUCCAAACUUUAACUUGAAUAUUUGAAGAUCUACUCAUCCAAGCUCCAACUGGAAUUUUUUAUGGUAUAAUAUGUUGUUAAUAAUUUUUUAUGGUAUAAUAUGGAUUAUUUUUUAUGGAUAAUUGUUAAUAAUACGUACCAUUAAUAAUUCAUUUUUUAAUAAAAAAUGUAUUGUUAAUAAAAAAUAAAAAAUAUAUUGAAAAUUUACGUUAAUUUUUUGGGCAAAUAUGUAUUUUUACCUUAUUUUGAGUUUCAAGGGCGAAAUAGUCAAUUUGUCAUAAUUCUGUUAACUUUCUAAUGGUAGCUAACAGUUUGGUGGACAGCAGACACAUUUUGUCAACUUAGGGUGUACGAGUAAUACAUGUUAAAAGUGCUGCAAUACGUUUGAUACAAGUGUCAUUUAAAGGUAUAUGAGUGAUACAUGUUAAAAGAGUUGUAGUACAUUUGAUACAAGUGUCAUUUAAGGGGAUAUAAGUGAUAUUUUCCCUAAUAUCAAAUUGCCUUCGAUGUUUUUACAGCUACAAGCUCAGUAACAGGAUUAAUUAAAAAGUUUAGAAUUGUUGGGCGUGCAAAGAGUAGUUUUAAACACCAGAAAGCAAAGGUUGUUAUUGACAUAAUUUUAUUUUUGUUUUCGAGGGAAUUUGUUUUUUUUGUUGACAAGAAAAUAGUAUUAUAUUUUACAAUCUAUUAUACAUAUUUUAUCAUAUUAAAGUAAUUUUAAUAUUAAAUGGAAACAUUAAAUUUAAAUUAAUUAAUUAAAAAUUGAAUUAUUUUGAAUAUUAUGUAAAAAAUUAUUUUAAUAUCAUUAAUAAGGAGAUAUUUUGUUAAUUGUAAAAUAUUUUUAACCCAAAUAUAUAUUAAAUUUUUUAUAAUAAAUACAAAUACAAAUAUAAAAAUAAAAUAAAUAUCAUAGUUUAAAAUUUUAAUGUUAUUUUAAAUAUUAAAAAUAAUUUAAUGCUAUUAGUCUAUUACACAGGUUAUAUUAUAUUUGCAUUAAUUAAAAGUUUUAAAGUCAAUUUUCCAGUUUCUAUAUUCAAAGGUAUAAUGGUUAAAAGAAAGUUCUUGGUGUUUCUUUUUAAAAAUUUGAGGGUCUUAAUGAUAAUUUUUCUAAAUCGUAAGGGUAUAGGUGUCUUUUUUUCCGAUAAUUUAUUUCACGGGUAUCCAAUAAGAAACAUGGUAAGAGAACGUCAAUUACUUAUCAUUUUCUAUUUUUUCUAUGAGUCAUUUAUUUUGAGCAUUAGUGAUCUUAUCUGGACUACUCCAACUAUUGAUGCAACUCCAGUGGCUGCAUCCACAGUUAAAUAUAUGAUAGUGUUAGCUCUUAUUUGAGAAUUUAGAGGGAUCUUUCUUUGUUUCUCUGUUGCAAUGUGCUAGUAUAAAUUUCUUUACCUUAAAAUUUAUAUAGUCUUGCAGUUAAAGAAUUCACUGAGGCAUUGUUGAUUCAAUUUCAGUGAAGCAAUUGUGGGUGAAAGAUAAAUGAAGGAAAAGAGAACAGAGCUGAAGUGCUAAAUUGGCUAUUGAAGAAGGAUGUCACAUGAUCACAAUCACAUUGAUGCACAACUCUCUGGAGGCAAAGUUUGUCUAUAUGUACUCUGAAUUCAGCCAAGCCAUACAUGCAUGAACAAAAAUUAAACCGUAGUUCUAAUCACAACAGUAAUUGAAGCUACAAAAGCCAGCAAAUCUGAACGAAGACUUAAAAGAAAGAUCUUAUUCAAGUUUGUCCCCAAAAGACAGCUGAAAUGAAAAAUAUUGACUGUUGAAUGGGCCAAUGCUGAAUUACAUUUCAAAUGGAAAGCUUGGCAGCAGUUACAAUGUUUCCCCCUCUGAUUUUCCUCCAAAACAAAUUCAGUUGUAAACAAUAACCGAAGUAGUAAUAAUUUAUUCAUCAAAGAAAAUGCCCCCAAGUUUUCAAUUAAAAAAUCCUCUUGUCCAAACUAAAAGAACUCAUAUCUCUAAAAUUUAUUUGCAAAAUGUUGGAAAUGAGGAGUGAUCCGUUAACUCUGUAAAUAAACUCAUGCAUAAUGUUAACAAUAAUGAUAAAUUACAUAAUAAUUAUUAUAGAGAAUCAUAAAUUGGAAACGCUAAUCAUUCUACUAUUAUAUAAGUAAGAUAAAUAUCAUAAUAAGUUAAGUUAUAAUGUAAUAAAUAUUUGCAAUAUAUAAUUAUUUAAGAAGUCAUUUAACAAUAAAAUAUUUUUUUAUCCAGUUGAUCAUAUAGCGUUAUCUAAACUCUUGACAAUAUUAUUAUUACUCACUUUUCUCAAAAAAACAUGAUUAACUUUUAGAGAAAGUCAUGUCUUUGAGAAAGAAUAUGUAUACAAGCUAUCCAUACUUUAUCUUACUGUGACAAAAUUGAUGGUGAUUAAUUGUAUUUUUUAAAAUAGAUUUAACGCACAAAUAAGAUGACUUUUGGCAAAAAUUAUUUUCGGAAGAUAUAGUGAUAGAAAAUAGUGAUGAUAAUUAUUGUUUAAAUGUGUAAAUAGCCUAAGCAUAGCCCGUAAUACCAAUAUUCAUUUGCACCUUGAAAGAAACUUAGUUCUAUAUUGUUUGGCAAGCAAGAAAGUAAAGGAAAAUGAAAGAGAACUCUAAAGAACCUUUUUUAUUAUACUCAGAUAUCUCAACUUAAUGAAUACUGAUUGACAUUUAUACUAAGCUACAAUCUUCACUACACACACGAGUUUGUAACAUCACAUAACCAUUUGCUGCAUAACUAACUUUACACAUCAGCUCAACCAGCUAACUAACUUUGACAGGUCAGCUCAGUGAGUUGAUCUGCUACAACCAGCUACACAGCAACAGCAUGCUCUGCUCCAGCUAUACAGCAACAUCAUGCUCUGUUCCAGCUUUAUCCGCUCUGCUUUGCUCUGCUCCAGCUUUGACAGGUCAGCUCAGUGAGUUGAUCUGCUACAACCAGCUACACAGCAACAACAUGCUCUGCUCCAGCUAUACAGCAACAUCAUGCUCUGCUCCAGCUUUAUCCAAUUCACUAACAUCCCCCCUCAAGCUAAAAUGUUUAGGAUGAACAUUCAGCUUGCUUCUGAAGUAACUGAAUUGUUUGAAAGUAAGAGCCUUAGUUAACACAUCUGCUGUUUGAUCUGGACUAGGCACAUAGCAUACUGCAACCUCUUUAGCAGUGACCUUAUCUCGGAUAAAAUGUAUAUCCAAUUCAACAUGCUUAGUCUUAGCAUGAUAAACUGGAUUAUAAGCUAAAGCAAUUGCUCCUUGAUUAUCACACCACAUUAUAGGAGUGGAGCUUAAUGUGAUACUAAGUUCACCAAGUAAGGAUUUAAUCCAGGUAACCUCUGAAGCAGCAUGGGCAAGAGAUCUAUACUCAGCUUCUGUGCUGGAUCUGGAAACAACAACUUGUUUCUUUGACGACCAGGAAACAAGAUUAGGACCUAGAUAAACAGCAAAGCCAGCCACUGACUUCCUAUCAUCAUGAUCACAAGCCCAAUCAGAAUCUGAAAAACAAUGUAAUUGCAGAGCUCCUUGAUUGUAGAAAUGCAGCCCCAGAUGGAUAGUGCCUUUUAAGUACCUCAAUAACCUUUUACAUGCUUCCCAAUGUUGAGUUCUAGGACUGGAAAGGAACUGACUUAACUUGUUUACAGAGAAGGCAAUGUCAGGUCUGGUAAGAGUAACAUAUUGAAGAGCUCCUAUAACACUUCGAUAUUGAGAAACAUUUUCAAGUGGCUCUCCUGAGUCUUUGGUGAGAUAAAAGCCUGUAGACAUUGGAGUUGGCACAGGACUGCAGUCUGUCAUGCCAUGUUUAUCCAGAAUAUUAGCAAUGUACUUUGCUUGUGUCAAGGAAACCCCUUGUGAAGAUUUGCUGACUUCAAUCCCCAGAAAAUAGUGAAGUUCCCCCAGGUCUUUUAAAGCAAAAGCUUGAUGCAUAUGCUGGAUAACUUGUUGAAUUAUGGAUGGACUGGAACCAGUGAUGAUAAUAUCAUCAACAUAGACCAAAACAACAGUUAGAUGACCACUGUUCCAGGCAUAAAAGAGAGAGUUAUCAGACCUGGAAUGCUGAAAAUGCCACUUGGAGAUCAUUGCAUCCUUAAACCUAUCAAACCAGGCUCUAGGAGCUUGUUUUAAGCCAUACAAAGCCUUAUUUAGCUUGCAGAUAUGAUUAGGUUUAGUUGAAUCAACAAAACCUUGAGGUUGAGCCAUGUACACAUCUUCAAUUAAAAUGCCAUUUAGAAAGGCAUUGUUAACAUCCACCUGCCUUACAACCCAGUGACUCAAUACUGCUAAGCUAAGAAUAACUCUAACAGUGGAGGACUUAACCACUGGACUGAAGGUUUCUGUGUAGUCAAUCCCAUGUGUCUGAUGAAACCCUUUAGCCACAAGCCUGGCUUUAUACCUUGAAACUGAACCAUCUGAGUUAUACUUUACUCGAAAUACCCACUUGUUGCCAACUAUCUUCACUGGAGUAGCAGGUAAGACUAAAUCCCAGGUGUGAUUGGUUUUAAGAGCUAGAUACUCUUCUUGCAUAGCUUUAUACCACAUAGGAUCAGAAAGUGCUUUGGAAACAGAGGUUGGUUCUGACUUCUGAGCUAGUAAAGCUGACAAGUAGAUCUUGGGCUUGAAGAUACCUGCUUUUGACCUGGUUAUCAUUGGAUGACCAGAUGAUGCAGGUUGUGACAAGGUAUGUGGAGGUGAAUGAUGGGAUGGUGAAGAAGGAGAAGAAGAAGUGGAAUUGAAAUUAUCAGAAAAGUAAACUGGAGUAGAAUUUGGGAAGGAAAUAGAAGCAUGUGACUGAGAAUCAUUAAGAAGAUAUUCUGAUGAUGCUGCUAAAGGUGCUUGUAACUGAGUAACAAAAGGAGUAGAAGAAUUAAAAGAAGACUCAGAAUGAGUUGAUGACUGACAGUUUGAAGAAACUGAAGAAAAAUCUGUUCCUGACUCAUAAGGAAAAGAACGUUCAUAAAAGGUUACAUGAUUUGAAAUAUAGACCCUCCCAGAAGAGUGAAGACACUGAUAUCCCUUGUGUUGUGAACUGUAGCCAAUGAAUAUACAUCUAGCUGUUCUGAAAUCAAACUUAUGUCUAUUGUAUGGUCUGAGUGUUGGAUAACAAGCACAGCCGAAAAUUUUAAGUGUUGAAUAAUCUGGUUGGGAAUGAAACAACUUUUGAAAAGGAGAAAUGCUGUUUAGAACUGGAGUUGGAAGUCUGUUUAUCAAGUAGACAGCUGUAUGGAAUGCAUUCCACCAAAAUUUGAGUGGUAAAUGUGCUUGAGCUAAUAAAGUCAGUCCUACAUCAACUAUGUGUCUAUGUUUCCUCUCAAUUUUUCCAUUUUGAUGAUGAAUGUGGGGGCAAGGAUGUCGAAAAUGGAUGCCAGAAGUGGUGAGUAAUGAUGAAAAUGUUCUGAACUCCCCUCCCCAGUCAGUUUGGACAGUUUUGAUGGAAAGUUGAAGAUGCUUCUCAAUGAAUAUUUUGAAAUUGGUAAAAACUUCAAGAGCAUCAGAUUUUGCUGAUAAGGGAAAAAUCCAGGUAAACCUACUGUAAUCAUCUAGGAUUGACAAGUAGUAAUUAUAUCCUUGGGUAGAACAAACAUGAGAAGGGCCCCAAAGAUCUGCAUAUAUCAGUUGUAAAGGUGCUGAAGUUUUUGUUUCUACUGAAUCAAAAUGCAGCAUGUGAUUUUUACCAUAUUGGCAUGCUGAACAAAAUUUCAAACUGUCAACUUUAUUAAAAGCAGUAGAGUUGUUACAAGCUUUGAGAAUGGUUUUGAGAGUAUAAGAUGCUGGGUGUCAUAAUCUUCUAUGAAGAAGAUUUACAUCAAUAGAACCCUUUACAACAACUGACAGACAUGACUUUUUAUUCAACUCAUAAGAGCUAACAGUAGAGAGCUGAGCAGAAUUAAAAACAGGAGAACAAGCAAAAAGAGACUGAAUUUUGUUUUGACCAACUGAACUGAGAAAGACUGAAUGAACAGCAGCAUGAGAAGAGACUUUAUACAAGCUGUUGUGCAAAUUUUAAUGUACUCGCAAGCGCACGAAUCUAUUAUAGUAUAGAUCAAUGGUGACGAGUGUCGAUCCCACGAGGAGGUAGAUUUUAAUUGUGUAUAGAAUUAAUUUUGCAAAUGGUUGAUUGGAUUUGUAGUGGAAAUGAUUAGGAAUAUGCUAAAACUUAAAUUAAAAUGGCGAGAAUAAAUUCUAAAAUUGGAAUUGCAAUGGCGAGAAUAAAUUGAAGAGAAAUGUAUUGAAAUGACGUACUUGGGUAUCUGGAUCCGUAUCAACAUGCAUCAUGGGCUAAAUAAUCCGUAUUAAUGCCAAUUAAAUCAUGAGGGGGGAAUCCACACCUCAUGAACCACGCUCUAAUCAAUAUGGUGCUAAGGGCUUAUCGUGCCAAAUAAUAAUAACCUUAUACUAGAGAGCCGGUGUAACCAAGGCGGUAUCUAGACAAGAUCAGUAUUAUUUGUCGACGAUAAGUCAAAUCAUCCACAAAAACUAGAGGGGAAAAGAAAAUAAAUUUACCAAAUAAAGCCCAUGACACAUGUUGAGACUUCACCUUCAACCCAAGCUUGAAAGGAAAUUAGCUACUCAUAAUUGAACUAGGGGCAAAAUGGGAAUUUAUUAAAAUACAAAGAAAAUACAAGAUGGAGAGGGAAUUACAGAAAAUGGAUCCCAAAAAUGGAUUCAGAGAUAUCAAAUUAGGGGGGGAGGCCCAUUUUUUAUAGAUACAUGGAGUAAAUCAUGGCCAUCGGAUUAAAAACAGUUUGGACGCUCAGGAUUGCGCCACGUCAUCAGUCAACAGUCAACGGUUUGACCACGCGGAUGAACAGUAACAUGGUUUGGUUGAAAAUAAUCCUGUGUGAUGCAUACACCGUACGCGAGAUUUUUCGUCCACUGAUAUGCUGCCACGUCACCAUCAACAGUACAUAAGAAUUUUAGUCCAACAGGAUCGUGACACCUCAUCAGUCAAUGCCACAUCAUCGGUCAAUGCCACGUCAUCGAUCCGUCUAUGUGAACAGUGUCGUGAACAGUAACGUAGACAGUACCGUAUACGUGAAUAGUACCGUACAUGUGAAUAGUGCCAUUUUUCCUUUUAUGCUCCUCCUAAGGUUUUCGACCGUCCUGAGUUCAAAAGUGAUGUCCGUUUUGCCGUCUGAUCUCUCCUUUAUUGUGAAAUGACUAUAAUGCCCCUAAAAUACAUAAAAUACUUAAUUAAAAUAACACACACGUAAUUACAUCACAAGAGGGUUAAAUACAUAAAAGUAAGGGUUGUUAGUAAGACUUGAAACGUAAAAUGACGGUUUUCUCCUUUAUAAAUAUGCAUUUUCUAACACUCAACACAAGCCACCUUUAGCAACACCUUCAAGUAAAAUUUUCCCUGUGUUCCUGGCCUUUAUAAAACACAAAUUACCAAGAAAUUCAACAGUAACUGGAUUGUCAGCCAACAAUUUUGAGAUGCUAAGCAAAUUCUUAGUAAUAAAAGGGACAUGAAGAACAUGGUUAAGAAAUAAGGAUUGAGAAGCUGAAGUAUUUAGCACAACUGACCCUACAUGUGUAAUAGCUAAUGCAUUUCCAUCUCCAACAAAUAACCUUUCAGUACCAGUGUAAACUUUUGAAUCCAGAAGCUUACCUAGAUCAUUGGUAAUAUGAUUUGUUGCUCCACUAUCAAUAUACCAGGAAGGAUCUUCAAUGUGUUCAGGUGGGAGUGAAGAAGACAUAGCAGAGGAGGAGGAAGCACUUGACUGUUCCAGAUUAUUAUGUCCUAGACAGAAACAAAAUUAGAUGAUCCAGGGUUGAAUGAGAAAUAAGCAGAUGGGUUGCUUUCUGGAUAUACUAUAUUUCCUUGAUAGCCAAAACCCCUGGGGGCAUUACCAAAACCAACAUUUUGUCCAAAACCAGCAUUUGAACCAAAACCUCCAAAACCUCUUCCACUAUUACCAUUAAAGGCUCUUCCUCGACCAUAUUGCCCUUGAUUAAAACCUCUGCCACCAUUCAUAUUACCUCUACCAUGGUUCCUCUGUGGAACAAAAGAUGAGUUGUACCUAUUUCUGCAUUUAUAGGCUGCAUGACCAGGUAUGAAGCAAAUUUGGCAAACAACUUCAGAGAAAUUACUAUUAUUAUUAAACUGACCAUAUCCAUAUCCAGAAUUAUUACCACCUCCAGAGUUAUUUCCAUACUGUUUCUGAAAAUUUCCAUUAUUCUUUCCAGCAUAUGAGUUCUUCUGAACAAUAUUUGCUGUCAUGUUAUGCAUCACAUCACCAGCAAUUUUUCCUUUCUUUUGCUCAACUCUAUUUUCAUGAUUCAACAGCAAAGAAUAUAGUUCAUCUAAUGUUAUCUUUUCACCUCGAGCUAACACAGCAGUGACUAAAGAUUCAUAAUCUGAUGAAUCAAGACCAGUUAAUACAUGCAUCACAAGAUCAUUUAACUCAACAGGUUUUCCAGCUAGAGCUAAAGUAUCAGCUAUACGUUUUACUUUUACAAAGUAAUCAGACAUAUGCAUUGCACCUUUCUUAAUAGUUUGAAUCUGCAUUCUAAGUGUUUGAAUUCUAGCUUGUGAUUGAGAGAUAAACAUACUAGCAAGAGUCUCCCAAAGCUGUUUUGAGGUUGUUGAGUCAAUCACAGUAGCAAGCAGAUUUUGUUGUAUCAAUGACAUCAUCCAACUCAGCAGAAGUUGAUCAGCCUUCAUCCAAGCUACGAACUCUGGAUUAACAGAUCUGGAUCCAGAUUCAGUAACAGAUCUGGAUCCAGAUUCAAUUAAGAUUUCAGCUCCAUUGUUGUUGCCAGAAGAAAGAAACUGCUCAGGACAUUCUCGAUCACCAUUGAUAAAACCUUCCAAACCAUUUCCUUUGAUCGAAGCUAGAAUUUGUGUGCGCCACAAAAUAUAGUUGUUUUGAUCUAGCUUUACAGGCGUAACAAAACUAAAAGAGUUGUUGUUUUGAACUGUAUUUGCCAUUUAUGGCUCUGAUACCAUGAAAGAAACUUAGUUCUAUAUUGUUUGGCAAGCAAGAAAGUAAAGGAAAAUGAAAGAGAACUCUAAAGAACCUUUUUUAUUAUACUCAGAUAUCUCAACUUAAUGAAUAUUGAUUGACAUUUAUACUAAGCUACAAUCUUCACUACACACACGAGUUUGUUACAUCACAUAACCAUUUGCUGCAUAACUAACUUUACACAUCAGCUCAACCAGCUAACUAACUUUGAUAGGUCAGCUCAGUGAGUUGAUCUGCUACAACCAGCUACACAGCAACAGCAUGCUCUGCUCCAGCUAUACAGCAACAUCAUGCUCUGCUCCAGCUUUAUCCGCUCUGCUCUGCUCUGCUCCAGCUUUGACAGGUCAGCUCAGUGAGUUGAUCUGCUACAACCAGCUACACAGCAACAGCAUGCUCUGCUCCAGCUAUACAGCAACAUCAUGCUCUGCUCCGGCUUUAUCCAAUUCACUAACACACCUUCAUUUGUGUUAUCACAUUUCAUGAUAUUCUUUCAUUUAUGACCAUUGUUCAAGAUUUUAAUUUGAUUAUAAACUAAGUUGCAAGGGAGCUUACUUCAGUUUCUAAGCUUUUCAAUCGUGAUUCCUGCAUGCCAAACGUAACUGACCUUAUAAUUGGUCUGUAUAAGAAAUCAAGCCCUUUCAGGAUCGUUUUCUUUUUCUCCCUAUUGUAGUAGUCAACUAAAUAAAGAAUGAACAACUAAACUUGGUCUAUUUCGAGGAAGACUAAGGCUUCCAAUACUAGAUGAACUUUGAAGAAAAUUAAUCCGUUGUUUUUAUUCAUCUUUGGACUAUGAAUUUAUACAAAGACUUUAACAGAAAAUAACAAAGACACAGCUAAAUGAUAGCAAUAAGUGCUGACUUGGUGGACCACUUCUGCAAGUAAAUAAAAACUAAAUAUUUAUUUUGACUAUAACAACAACUACGCUGAUGAAUAGGAUUUCACAGCAGCCACGUGACAACUAAUUUCUCCUUAAUAUUAUUAUUAGUAGAAGUAGAUUUUAAAACUAGUCUUGAUAUAUUUCAAAGUUGUAUUAUCAAUGUAUAUGUGUCUAGAUUGUAACUAUAUUUUAAAAAAUAUAAAAUUUUUAAUUAUUGCACAGUAUAUGUAGCAAAAUAUCUAUAGAAUGAUAUUAUUAGGACUAAGAUUUUUUUUUAUUUUAGAUAAGUUAUUUAUUUAUUAUCGAAUGAAUAAUUUAUUAAUUUACUGAUAAAUGAAUAUUUAUUAAUUUAAAGAGAGAUUUUUUUGGUUUUAACAAGAGUUUGUUUGGUAAAUGUACACACUUAUAAAGAAACAUAAAAAGUGGUUCCUCAAGUCAAUAGUAUUUGCUUCAAUCGCAAUGGUUCAUAAUAAUAUAGCAUAGUUAGGAAAUUUGUAAUUAUAUUAUGGCUCUGUUUGGUAGUAAAACUCAUUUAAGUAGAGUUGUUGUUAAUAGAGCUUUUAUAAAUAAAGCUUUUACUAAAAAAAAUUUAGUUGUUUGCUUGUCAAUGUCCAAAUUGAUAAACUUUUGUUCUUUUGUUAAGAUAUGUUUGUUUUACUUAAUAAUAGCAUCGGCAAGAGUUUUCGAUUGUUGCAACUUGCAAUGCACGCGGUGAGAGAAAAUGAGAAUCUUGUUUAAUUGUCAAUAUAUAAUGACAAACCUAAUCCUUUCAUUAGGAGUAAUUUAAUAAUCGUUUGUUAUAACUGAAUAUGUAUAAAGAAAGGAAAAUUCUAUUCAUAAAUUUCGACUUAUUUUUUGUUUAAAGUAAUUAAUCAUUCAACCAUCUUCAUUUGCCUCUGGCCAAUGCCCUUGUAGAUUAGUUUACUUAAUUAUGAUUAUAUACAUUUUCAUAUAGCAAGUGGCAUUGUAGAUCUAAACUAAGUUGCUAUUUCAAUACCAGCAAAUUCAAAAUAGAAAAGGAGUGCAACUAUUCAACUUUGUAGACAAUAUUGCAACCAUGGCAUAUUUAUAGCAAAUCAUUGAAAUCUGCUAAAGAAAACAAUGCCCUGUCUCAUGAAUCGAUGCUCAAUUAAAAUUUAAAUUGAAAGUCCGGCUGGUGUUGUUUUCCUCUCCAGCGAAAUAAGAAUCAUAAGUGAAAAUAGGCUUUGACAGGUCUUAUUUCUUUGUUUCUCUGCUGCAAUGUGUGGUUAUCCCACUCUGUUUUGCCACUCAAGCUGAGUCUACGUUGAGACAUUAUUUCAGUAUUGAGGUAACAAUAAUUUCGGACUCCGUAAGAAGGUUUUGAAAAAGUGGAGUCACAUUUGUUGAAUCAGGCAACGUCAACGUGCCUUCUUCACCUGCUAACACCCUUUUCAACCUCUCACAAAAUAGUCGGAGGUGGACGUCCAGCAUAUCUCAUUCACAUUUGUUGAAUUUGCAUGGAAUUUGCAAGGAGUAUGCCAAAGAAUUUGCAAGGAAUAUGCCAAGAAUUUGCAAGGAAUAUGCCAAGAAACUGGCCAACCCGCUUAGCUUAAUUCCACAAAUAUGACGUUAUUGCUCAUUUUUCUCUCAAGCACAUAAUACACGUUCUUCGAGACGCGUGCCUUCUGAAAAGGACAGGUAUCCAACCUCAUCUUAAUUACUACCAUGACAUAAUUGAUGGUUGCUUAAAUCAAUUUUUUCUUCUUUUUUUUUUUUAAUUUAAAGAAUUUUCCCUUAAAAAAAAUUUAAUAUCAAAAUGCCUUCAAUGUUAUUACUGCCGAAAGCCAAACUUCCUUUGGGUAAUUAAUUUAGAAGUGAAGCAGAGAAUAAAGUCCUAGAUGCCUUUUGAAAUUAGAAAUACAUUUUAUAUGCUUUAAUUAAUCAAUUCACUGAGGCAUUAUUGAUCCAAUCCCAGUGAAGUAAUUGUGGGUGAAAAAAAAAUAAAGUGCUGAAUUGGCUACUAAGAAAGAGUGUCACUUGAUCACAAUCACAUUGAUCCACAACUCACUCGAGGCAAAUUUCAUCUAUGUGUACUGCAAAUUUAGCCAAACCAUACAUGCAUGAACAAAAUUAGGCCGUAGUCCUCAUCACAACAUUAAUUGAAGCCACAAAAGCCAGCAAAUCCAAACAAAAACUUAAAAGAAAAUGCUUGGUAUAGAGAAGCACGAGAGAAAGACGAGAAAAACAAUGAAGAAAGUGGUAGAGAGAGAGUGAGUGGGUAGAGAGAGAGCAAAAUUCUCUCGUCUUUCUCUCGUGCUUCUCUCUCUCUAUCACUACUCAAACUUAAAAGGAAGAUCUUAUUCAAGUUUGUCCCCAAAAGACAGCUGAAAUGAAAAAUAUUGACUAUUGAGUGGGUCGAUGCUGAAUUACAUUUGACAUGGAAAGCUUGGCUGCAGUUGCGAUGUUCCCCCUUCUGAUUUUCCUCCAAAACAAAUUCAUUUGUAAACAAUAACGGAAGUAGCAACAAUUUAUUCAUUAUAGAAAAUACCUAAAUUUUCAACUAUCAAAUCCUCUUGUCUAAACUAAAAAACUCAUAUCUCUAAAAUCUAUAUACAAAAUGUCAAAAACGGGUGAUCUCUCAAUUCGAUAAAUAAAUUCAUGCAUAAUGUUACUAGUAAUGAUAAAUUACAUAAUAAUUAUUAUAAAGAAUCAUAAAUUGGAAACAUUAAUCAUUUUACAAUAUAUUACAUAAUAAAGAUAAAUUUUAUAACAAGUUAAGUUAGAACAUAUCAAAUAUUUUCAAUAUAUAUAAUUAUUUAAGAAGUCUUUUAACAAUAAUUUUUUUCUUUUUCAGUUAAUCAUGUCAUAUACCGUUAUCUAAAAUGCUGGCGAUAUUAUUAUUCCUCACUUUUCUCAAACAAAAAAGAAAAGAAAAAAGAAACAUGAUUAACGUUUAGAGAAAAGUCACGCCUUUUAAAAACAAUAUGUAUACAAUAGCAAUCCAUACUUUAUAAAAUUGAUGGUGAUUACAAAGAAAAAUUGUUUAAAAUAGAUUUAAUGCACAAAUAUGAUGACUUUUGGCAAAAAUUAGUUUCGGAAAUGUUGGGAUGAAAACCAUAUUAAUUGAGAAUUAAAAUUACUUAAUAAAAUUACUUAACUACCAUCUAAUAGAUGAAAACCAUAUCAAUUGGGACUUAAAUUAAGAUUUAAAUGUUGAAAUAUCUAGCAUUACUCACAAUAACCAAUUCAAAUUAUGACUAUCAUGUAGAAGCAAAUGUUUAUGCUUGGGUUUUUUACUUCUUGAAUUUGAUUGGAAAAAUUUCUGAGAUAGAGAAGUGUUUUGGAUAAUUUUUUCGGGAUUGAAACCACAAAUUGGUAGAGGAAAUUAAUUUUGGACAAAUUUUUCUUAUAUUGUAGGACCUUCUAGUUGGAGUAGUGAUGGCUUUGUCUUCAUUUUUGGUUCCUUUUGUGUCAGCAACCCCUUACUAUUCUCUUGACCCUGAGUUUGAGAUAGAAAUUUAUCAACCUCCAACCCCACAUCCACAAACAAGUUGAUUGAAACAAUUACUCUUUUAAUUAAGAGGACCCAAAUGAUUUAGGUUUCAGUUCUUAUCAUUUGUCUAUUAUUUCUUUGAAACAUUUAUUUUGAGCGUUACUGAUCUUAAUUAUCUGUAUUUCUCCAAUUAUUGAAGAAUUUCAAGUGGCCACUUUUUCUCCUUUUUAUAUAUGUUUAUUUUUUGGAGUGAUCAAACGGGUGAAAAAUCAAGUAUUCGCUGGUCUGUAGUUUAGCCAACGAUGGCUGAUCCACACAGUUGAUUAUAUGAUACUAUUAGCUCUCAAAAUCUUUCUUAUUUGAGAACAUAAAUUGCCCAUUGAAGUUAAACUAUGUUACCCAGCUCCAUGCACAUACAUUAAAUGUUUAGGUAGUUUUACAAAAUGAUAACAGCAUGCCAAAACUUGAUGUUGUCAUAUUCGACAUUUCAAAUUGAAAAAUAUGCAAGCAAUCUUCAGUGACCAUUACGUUUUUAUUGAAUAAUUUAAAUGGCCAGUAAAUCAACAGUCCGUGAGUUUUAAAUCUGUUAUGACUUAAUGUAUCUUUCUGUAUUCGUACACAGGUUAUAUUAUCAUAGUUUAAAAUUUUAAUAUUAUUUUAAAUGUUAUAAAUACUUUAAUGCUAUUAGUCUACUACACAGGUUAUAUUAUUUAUAUUAUAUUUGUAUUAAUUAAAACUUUUAAUGUCAACUUUCUAAUUACUAUAUUGAAAAGGUAUUAUGGUUAAGAAAAAGUUUUGGCAUUUCUUCUAAAAAAUUUGAGGGUAUGCAUGACAACACUACAAGAAAAAUGACCUACCAUGACAGUCCUCUGUGUGACAGUUUUUGGUCUGCAGAGCUACUACGAUAGAUGGAUGAUAAAUUUUUUUUCUAUCAUUCAUUUAUGACAUACUUGUGAUAGAAAUUUCAUCUAUCAAGCACUUAUGAUAGACUGAUGAUAAAUUAUUUGGUUAUCAAGAAGUAAUGACAAGUUUGUGAUAUAAUUUAGAUCAUCAAGUAGCUUUUUUAUUUUGACUUUAUUUCACAAGGUUGACUGAAAAUUUUAAAAUGAAUGAAAAAAAUAAAUAAAGAAUAAACGGUACCGUUUGGAUUAAAAGUUUCUCUUUGGACAAGAAACGACACCGUUUAGAUUGAAGCUAAAUAAAAACAAAACCCUCUUCAGUUUUCACUAAUCGAAUUUUUUUUCCCUAAGUGUCGGCACUCUCACUCACUCUCGUCUCUCGCUCAGUCAUUCUCGUCAAUCUCACACUCACAAAGCCCUUUUCACCCGAAAUCCUUGCAUGGGCACUGAACCACUGCCGCCAUUCUCUUGUAUUUGACUAUCAAUUUUGGCUCUCACCGAGAACUAUAUGGAAUACCCACCAAACGCAUGUGCUUCUACUAUUGAAUUUCAAUACCCUAACUGAGAGCCCACGCUCACCCACUAUUGUAACCGUUCGAUCAAUACAGGUAAAUAAUAUUUCUAGUGUUGUGUUCCAUUUCAAUUUUAAUGUUCUUGUCAAACUCGAACCCUAUAUAUGUAAACUUAAAAACCCUAGAUGUGUUCUUGUCAAAUUCGAACCCUACACACCUAAAUCUUGUAAAACCUAGAUGUUUUCUUGUCAAAUUUGAACCCUGUACGUGUAAAACUUGAAAAUCCUAGGUGUGCUCUUGUUAAAUUUGGAUCUAUUUGAUUGGUCUUCUAUGUUUCUUUAUUUAUGGAAUUUUAAACAUUUAUUUGAUUUUUUUGGAAUUUAAUUAUUAUAGUUUUAUUGUUAAAUUAAUUUGAUUUAGGCUGUAAAGAUCCUUGCCAAUUUAAUCGUGAUGGGUGUUGGGAUAUUGUCUAGGCUGCUUUAUCUUUGGGGUUUUCUAAUAACUAAUUUUUUUUUUUCACUUUUUUGUGGAUGCAUGGAACUAUAUAUAUAGAUAAUUCUCAAAUUCGUUCACUGUGAUGCAAAGUCUUUUUUUUUUCAAUUUCAUUGGUUAAAUUCACUAAUUCGUUGAAAUUAGUGGUGAUUGUGGGCCGAGUCGCAUGUGCAGGAAGUGGUGUCAGGUCUGGGCGCACAUUGAGUCAUGCACUUGGUGGGCAAUUGGUAUUGUUUCUAUUGUGUGUGUUGGAAAUAAUGUCAAUAUCAUCCAACCAAUGUGUGUUUCUAGUGGCUGUUUUUGCACCGAGCAGAUAAUUUAUUAUUACAUCAGAGUUCCCCAUCCCUUGUUUCUCUUUUGGGUAAUGCAGGUAUUGACUAGUUCAUUUCCAUUUUCAUUUGUCUUGAGGGAAUGUUAUCAAUUUUUCGAUCUUACAAGAUAUUGAUUGAUACAUAUGUGUACAAUACAUUAAAAAUCAUUAAACAUUUUGCUCUUAGUUACAAUUUUGAAUGAAUGUCACAUGGAAAGAUCCUCUAAGAAUAUCAAUAGUAUUGUGGUUUCUACUCAAUUUCCACUCUCCGCACUCAUAUGAGCAUGGUUUGAAUCUCAAGCCUUUUGUACCAUUCAAAAAUUUAUACCAAUUAACAACAUAGCUUGCUAGCACCACAAAUUGUUUCAACUCCAAGGCAGAGAAUUCCUAGAAGAUAUAUACAUAUUGAUAUAUACUUGCAUGUAGCCGUAUGCUCACUACCUUCGAAUUGGGGAUAUAGUCACUAUUUUUGUAUUCCCUCCAAGUGUUUGAUAAAAAGCAUGAAUGAAUCUUGGCUCUUUAAUUGUUGCAGGCCAUUUCUACCUAUGAGGAGCAAAGGAAUAUGAAGCUUAUUAUAUUCAUUCACAAAGCAAAGCUGAUAUAAUUCAUGGCAAAGCUUGAUGAGGUGUUGUAUUUAAUCUUGCUCAUGAGAUCAAUUACCUAUCUUGUUGGACUUUAUUCUUGUAAUUAAGGUCCAUCCAAAGUUGAUGGCUUGUUUGUCAGAAAGAUAAUCUGAAGGCUAUGAUUGAUUACUUGCGGGCCGAUGGAAAUGUCUCCAUGAUUGGUUUAUGAGGUUGUUAAAUUACUAAAUAGGUAUAUUUACUUUUCAUGAGCUUUAUCUUCGUUUUUCCAUUAUGGAAAUGUCUCUAUGAUUGUAACUUUUAACACGUGGAACUCUUGAACCCUAUGUUUAGUUAUAUACUUAUAUUGGGACUUGUAUAAAUUAAUAUGAUGGUUUUAUUAUUAUUAUUAUUAGUAGUAGUAGUAGUAGUAGUAGCAGCUACAAAAGAUCAAAAGAACUUAAAGGUGUGGCUUGUGGCUUUCUUGCUGUUUGGGCUUUAACUGCUGCCUCACUUGUCAUUGUUGCUAAUCUGGUGUGCCACGUCCAUUUCAGUGUAAUUACAUAAGUUAGUUUGCUUGAUUAAUUAAUUAAUUAGUUAGCGGAUUGAAUAGCCAGAGUACUACAUUUUGCAUAGGUCUGAUGCUGGAUGAAUUUUCAUGUCUUGGCUUUGGGGCUGCUGGAUUUUGCUGCUGGAAGACUAGAUUUUGCAAUUUUGUUGCUGGAAGACUACAUUUUGUGUAGGUUUGUUGCUGGAUGUUGCUGAAUGCGGAGUACUUUGCUUGGUUUUGGAUUGGCCUUUGUUGUCUAUUGGCUCGACUUUGGAAUAUGGAUUAACUAAUGUAAUGUACUUUGGAUAUUUUUAUGGUUAAUAAAGUUCACUAAUUUAGUUCAUUAGUUUUGGAUUUAAUUGCAUUUAGUAAUUUAUUUUCUUUCAUAUAAUUUUAAUAAUUUUAAUAAUUUUAAUUUUUAAAUUUCAUAAUUUUUAUUUUAAAUUAAUAAAUAAAAUAAAUAAUCAAUUUUUUCAAAAAAAAUGUGAUAGAAAAUACUAGUCAUACACACAAUUGAUAUCCCAAAAAAAAAUACAAUCCAAAAAUUUCUAAAAAAAUGAAAAUAUAAAAUAAAAAAAUAAUUUCCCUCUUCUAAGUAGUAUGACAUAAUUAUGAUAGGUAAAAUCUAUCACAACUUGUGACGCGAUUUUAUCUGUCAUCUUUUCUUGACGCUGACUAUAAUGACAGUAAGGAUAACCGUCAUCUACCCCCUAAGAUGACAGUUUUUACCUAUCAUAAUAGGUCAUUUUUCUUGUAGUGCAAUUUUUCCAAUUCUAAGGGUAUAGGUUUGAAAAUUUAACGUUAUUUAACUUAAUGAAACAAAAGGGGAAACCAAGAACUAUUCAAUUUUGUAUUUUUUGUUUGUAAUUCAAAAAAUACAUCCACCAAACAAGUUUUACACAUUAAUGCUGUCAUAAAACGAAAAACAGUUUGCCAAAAAAUGGUACCGUCACAUGAUUUCUUAGUAAGUCCAUAUUAGAUAUAUUUAUACAUUUUAGGUAUUUUAGUUAUAAAAGAAGUUGGUCCUCCCCCUAUUUAUAAAAGAUAACUUUGUUUCGAUAUUACCACUAAACUCUUACAUAGAAUUAGUGUAAUGUUAAGAGAGAGUAAUGCGGUUUUCCAUUACCAUCUUUGAAAAUAGAAAGAUAUGGAUGCGUGCAUUUAAGAGUCAUCGUGAAAAUCAUACAAUUCAAUUUCCUGACAUAUAUAUUUAUGCACGUAUGCCAAAAGAAUAAAUAGACAGAAAGUAAAUUUAUAGUCCUCACUUCCUCACAAUUGUUAACGUGGAGAUGCAUUACAACUGUGAACUGUCACUACUUUAGCCUUUUUUUUUUUUAAUUAUAGUGUGAUGGAGACAUUAAGGAUGAGCAUAAUAGUUAAAGAUGACUCAUUUCUCAUUUUCUUUUUAAAGUGCUCUGCUGAAAGCCAAACUUCCUUUGGCUAAUUAAUUUAGAAGUAAAGCAGAGAAUAAAGUCCUAGAUGCCUUCUGAAAUUAGAAAUACAUUUUAUAUGCUUUAAUUAUGAUUAUUUGGUAGACUAAAGACCUAAAAGAUAUGUCAAAAGUAUAAAACAGAGCGAUUAAAGAAAAAAGAAAAAAAAAACAGAGUAUUUGUGACGUAGAAUAACAAUUGGUAAAUAAAUCCUAAAUAUUUGAGUUGUUAAAAGCAAAUAUAACAGAGACGGUAAGAGAGAUGCUGAAACAGAAAACUAUUAGCUUAUCUUGAUUUUCCCACUAUAUUCAUUUUCGAUGCUUUUCAAACGAGAUUCUUUUAAUUCUUCUGGUGUCUCUUAUAGAUCUCCAUCCCACAUCUGCACUACGAACAAGUUGAUUAAAAUUAAAUACUGUUGGAGAUGUGGGGUGAGCGGUCAACUUGGUAAAAAAACUAUGUAUAAUAUUGUUAAUAAUAUAAAAUAUAAAAUAAUAAUUACAAAGAAUCAUAAAUUAGAAAAAUUAUUUAUUUUACAAUCUAUUUCUUAAGUAAGAUAAAUCUCGUAAUAAGUUAAGUUAUAAUGUAAAAAAUAUUUUCAAUUUAUAAUCAUUUAAGGAGUCAUUUAACAAUAAAAUCUUUCUUUUUUUGAUCAAUUGGUCAUGCUACAGAGCAUCAUCUAUUCGUGGUGAUAUUAUUAUUACUCCGUAUUCUCAAAAAACACGAUUUAACAUUUAGAGAAAGUUCCUACCUUUUAAAAAGAACAUGUAUGCAACAACUACCCAUACUUUAUCUUACCACGACAAAACUAAUAGUGACUAAAUCAAUUUUCUCGAAUAAAGAAAAAUUUCUUAAAAUUAAUUUAAUAUACAAAUAUGAUGACUUUUUGCAAAAAUUAGUUUUGGAAAAUUAGUGACAGAAAAUAGUAACGAUUAUUGUUUAGAUGUGUAAAUAGCCUAAACAUGAUCCCUAAUACCAAUAUCCACGUGCAUCUUAACACCUUUCGUCAUAUUCUUUCAUUCAUGGUCACUGGUUCAAGAUUUGAAUUUGAUCAUUAAAUCAUGUUCAAUAAUAUUAGAGAUCCCAACAAUUGAGUACCAACUUAAAUCCCAAUGCUAUGUGUCAUUAACAAAUGUUGUGUCAUUUAUAAUUAUUGAAUGAAUAAUUCGUUAAUUUAUUGAUAAAUGAAAAUUUAUUAAUUUAAAGAGAGAUAUUUUUUUUUUGGGUUUUAAGAAGAGUUUUGUUGGUACAUGUACAUACUUAUAAAGAAAUAAACUUGUAAUUAUACUAUAUCUUUCUUUCUUUAUUCAGUUUGGUGGGAUAUUGUGAUAAAUCAUUGGAUUAAAAUGCAUUUCUAAAUUAAAACUUGUUAAAAUCUAAUUUAUUUGGGAAGCGCAUAUUAUUUGUCAGUCGUACUUCUCAAGUCUCAACUUAGCAAGUUAUUUCUAACUUGUCAGUCUCUAUUUGUUCUCUAAAAGCUAAUAGUCUCGAAUCUCCCGCAUUUGAUAUCUUGCCAUUAUUGUUGGCAUUAACAUGUUACCUGAGAUUGGGAUUCAUUAAAAUCCUCAAUGUAAUCGGUGGAACGAAUGGAUUUCUUCUGUUCACCAAUCCACCAAAAUUUCUGUAAUUAAAUUCAAGAGUCAAGAUCUAUGCUUAUAAUCUAUUCUAACAGCUAAUAUUCUAUUUUAUAUUUACUUAAAUAUGAAGAGCUAUGCUUGUCAUUAACUUCAAAUGUGAUCGAAGCAGCCAUACAUCUGUAUAUUACUUAUUCCCAACCUUUUUUUUUGACUUCAUAUACUUUCUUUUCAUGUUAUUUACUCUUUUUUUCCCCUCUCUGACAAUUGAGGUAGGGGGUCAAACUUGAAAGUAUCUUAAAAUCAGACAAUUUUUUUUUUUUUUAAGAUAGCUGCUAAUAUGCUCUAUUAGACAAUGAUAAGUAAUAACCUAGUUGUUUGCAUUAGAAAUGAUAUUUUUUGUGGUGCUGAUAAAGAGGUUGAUUAUGAUUCAACAAUUUAAAAUAUGAAAACAUGUGGAAGACGGCCGCAAUUAAAUUGAUUGUAUGAAAAUAUUUCAAUGAAAUUUUAAAAAUUUAGUACUUGUUAUCUUAUCGAGAGUUUUUUUAAAUUAUAUUACUACUUGAACUUGGGUACUUGUUAUCUUAUCGAGAGUUUUUUUAAAUUAUAUUACUACUUGAACUUGGCUGCUUUUGUAUUGAAUUCCUAGCGUUGCCAUUGCUUCUACUCAAAAGCCAUUUAAGUUUGUGUAAGCUACCUAUAGUUUGAACAACAAUUUACUCAUGAAUUGUUGUUCAUAAUAGCAAUUUGAUUGAAAGUGCGGCUGCACUAAUUUUCUAGAUGAAUUUUUUCCUACAUGCUUGUUCUCGUAUGACCCAAAAUCCUGCUACAUCAGUUGUAUUAGAAAUUAAUACUGGGUUACAAUUAUGCAUCCCCACCAAUAUUUAAGCAAUUUAAUUACAGGAACAUUUCUUGAGGAAAGAAACUCAUAUCGCCCCUAGGCUUUUAAUGAGGCUCAUUUUUAUGAAUCUGGAUGGCAUUAGAUAUCUCUCCGAAUAUUGGUGGGAGUAUAUCGCAGAUCUCUGGGCUAUACUACAAAGUGUAUGUACGUUGACUCUCAAUAAAUACAAACGAUUCUCUGAUAUGAUUCAAAACAUCAGUGCACGCAUCAUUUUAACGAGAGAGAAUAUUCUAAGAACGAAAUUGAAGGUGCAAUCAACAACUAAAAUGAAGCCAGAAAUGUACACGCAUGAGGAAGUUUUCCUAGAAGAUUGAUAUUUCUUUAACUAGCAAACAAUACAAGUCCAAAGCUAACCAAACCAUACCUGCAAGUCCGGGGCUUAAAUGGAGUACUUGUAAGCAUAAAACAUUAAUCAAAACACAGUAUAGACACACACACACACCCCUACAUACAUACCAGCAAAUUCGAAAUAGAAAAAGGAGUGCAACUAUUCAAGUUUGUUGACAAUAUUGCAACCAUGGCAUAUUAAAGCAAAUCCUUAAAAUCAGCUAAACGAAACAAUUCCCUGUCUCAUGAAUCGAUGCUCAAUUAAAAUUGAAAUUGAAAGUCCGGCUGGUGUUGUUUCCCUCUCCAGGUUUGCCUACAUAAGUAAAGGGAAAUGAGAAUCAUAAAUGAAAAUCUGCUUCGAUCACUGUUCACAAAUCACUGUUCACAAAUCCCUAAUUCAAAAAUUACUGUUGAUUAUCGUUUUACAGCAGCGCCUCAGCUCCAGCCUUCACCCCGCAACGCAAGCAGCAGCCAGCGCGAACCAGUCGCGCCCAACGCAAGCCCCAGCAACCCAGAUUGUUAGCUCCAGCCGCGCGCAACGUAGCUGAGCAGCAGCAGACCAGCAGCGCGAACCAGCUCUCGCGCGCAACACAACGCGAACGCAGCAGUGCGUAGAUGCAGCCCAGCAACGCAGCGCGAACCAGCAAUGCAGCCUCACCAGCGCGCAACGCAAGCCCCCGCACGCGCAGCACCAGCAUCCCGUUUCUCGCAGCGCAGCAGCGCGCAACGCAGCGCAGCACCCGCAAAGCAAGCCUCACCAGCGCGCAACGCAAGCCCGCAACGCAGCAACGAGCACGCCCUGCAACGCAACCAGCUUACGCCUUGUAUUCCAGCCGGGUAAAUCGAAAUCCGUGAGUACAAUUAUUGUAACAAUGCCGAAGAGGAAAGCAUCCACUUCCAAGUCAUCGAAAAAGACACCCAUCGCAAAGAAAUCUAAGAUUGCCGCUCCCACUACGGUUCCAUGGAACACAAUUUCAGAUUCACGCCAAGCCGUGAGACAAAGAUCGAAGCAUGGAAAAGGCAUGAGUAUUUUGCCACUUGCGGAAUCCAAUCUCGAAGGGUGCCUUGCAUUCGCGACUCAACAAGAGAAAGAGAGGUACAAAGAUAUUUCCACGGGCAAAAUACUUCCAGCUAAGAAUUUUUGGAUAUGUCUAUGUUUGAAAGAACAUGUGUGGUUGAAUUCAAGGAGGGGAGAUUUCAGUUUACUGAACCAGGACCCACUCAACUUCCGAAGAAGCUUUAUGCUAGGAGUGGUGCUACCUCUGAUGACGAGUUUGACGACGACACUGCUGCCCCGCCAACUAUUCCUUCUACAUCCGCACCACCUUUGAGCAUUCAAUUAGAGAAAAUGGAGCACAAGCUGAACAAGAUGGAGCAGAAUUUGGCCGCAUACUUCGAGAGUGUGGGAUUUACCCCACCAUUUCCGCCAAGCCCAUAGACGUUAUGUGGAUCAAAGCUCACAAUUCAGGGAAGUUUCUUUUUGCCCUUAAUCCUUUAUCCUUACGCUUUAAUUUUUAUGUGAGCUUUGAUUAUCUUACAUUGGGGACAAUGUAAGUUCUUGGUGUGGGGGAGGGAUUUUUGCAUUAUUGAUGUCUGGAAUUAUUGUUUUCACUCUACUUAUUUUUUUUUUUCACUCUACUCAUCCUUAAAUGAUUUUGGAGUUAGUAUGCUUUAUAUAUUAUUAUUUUUUCUUUUCUUUUAUUUCUCACAACUUUUUUUUUCCCAUCUAUCUCAAAUUAUUUACAUCUAUUUUUAUUCUAUCAUACUGUUUCAUCGCUCACAUUUUAUCUUUCACUUUUCAUCUUUCUCACUUCUUAUCAUUUUUACCUUUCCUUUUAUAUAUCACCCAUACCUUCUUCUCAUUCUACACCACUAUUGAUGGUUGAUUCAUUUGAAGAGUGUACAUGAUUUGAUGGCAAAUUUACCAACUUUGUGAGGAUUUGAGCCUAUGAGCAACCACUUUGCUCUAAUAUUUUUGUUAUGUGAAUAUCAAUCUUAGUUUGUUUAUUCUAGAACUUGCUUUGUUAUGCAUGUUGAAGCCGCAUUACGGGAUUUUAUGCACUAAAAUGAUAAGGGCAAACCCUUUUCCAUUUUUCUAUUCUCGCAUUUUUUUUCUCUACCCGAAGAUCUUUAUUUGCUAUCUUUGUUUGAGCCUUAACAAUUACCCAUCUAAUUCUCUCCGUCUACUUAACCAUUUUUCUUCUUUUUUUUGAGCCUCAAUUUAAGGAGAUUUUUGGACUCAUUGUGUGGAUAUAUUUUGUUGCUUUUUCUACCUUGUAAUAAAGUUUCUCAAUUAGAUCAACAAGCAUUAUGCUUGAAUUAAAUUGUGCAAGGUUCGUUUCUUUUGUUUGAUUCAAAAACAAAAACAAAAAAAAAAAAACAAAAAACAAAAAAAAAAAAGAAAAAAAAAGAAAAAAAAAAAGAAAAAGAAAAAUCACAAAAAAAAAACAAAAAAAAAUGUUUACAUUCUUGGUGACUUAAGUAGAAAUAAGCAUUUUGAUAUCAUAAGUUCAUUCAAUGAGUUCAUUUUUCUCGUUUUAAUCUCUUUUUCUUUCGUAAACCUUUCUUUUUCAUUUAACCCAUUUAACCCCAUUACAACCCUCUUAAGACCCUUAGAUUUUUGCAUUUUAUUCAUGUUUUGUGGAUUGAGAUGUGAUAUAUGAGCAAGCUUAUGGUAAUAGCAUUCUUUGAUUUGAUUUGAGUGGAUAAAUGACACCCUAAAAACUUUGAGUGCAUGGAGUGAAGUUAUUGAGAGGGCUAUUAAAUCUUGUUGCACUUGAAUUUUGAAUGGAUCUCCUUGGUGGUUGAAUGUUCUUAUUCUAUCUUAUGAAAUUCUAUGCUUUAAAAUCCUUGUCUCUCGAAUGUUAAUCGACUUAAUUUCUUGAGGUAUGCUUUCUUAAAAUUGUUUUUGGAUGAGUUGAGAUGAGAAUUGAGUGGAGAUUUGAGAUUAAUCUUGAGUUAUAUGCUUGAGGACAAGCAUCAUCUUGGUGUGGGGGAAUUUGUUAGAGUGCAAUUUAUGCACUAGUUUUGCAUUGUUUACUUCCCUUAAUAUCGAUGUUUUACACUUAAUAAUAAUGUUUUACUUGUGUUUUACUUUUGUAGGUGCAAUUCUAUUGAUUGGUGAUAAAAUUGAGCUAAAAGAUGAUGUUUAAGGAGGAUUGUUCUCUUGGAGAAAUUAUGAGCGUCGAAAGAACUUUGUUGAUAAGGCGUGGGCGCGUGCUGUCAACUGCGGACCUGCAGUUUUUAGUUUAACGUGUUUUGUAUUUUUGGUUAUUUUUGUAAUUACGAAUUUAAUAUUUCAGAUAUUAGUAUUUUAUUUUAAAUAGAAUUCUAAAAGAGAAGAGAGAGAGAGUAUUUAAGGGAGGAAUCUAUUGUGAAAAGGGGGAUUUGGAUUGGAGAAAAAGAAAGAAACCCUAGAUCUAAUUUUUCUCUUCUCUCUAUGAAGAACUAAACCUAUUUUUCUGGUUGAAGGAUAAUGACGCUUUGAUUCAUCACUACUGUGAGAUUUUUCUUAUGCUUUAAUUGUUUUAUUACUUUUUGGGUAUUUGUUUAUUCUCUGAAUUAGUUUCAUGAUUAUGUUUGUUAAUUAGGUAAUUGUCCACUAUUUAAUUAUCAACUUAAUCUAUUGUCAAUUAAAGGAUUCAUCGUAUGAAGAAUUUAAUGUUUGUGACAAAUAACAUAGCAGAGAGUUGUGUUGUGAGAAUAAACAAUCUAAUUUAAAUGAAUCAUCAUAUGUGUUGAUUAGGAUUUGGGUCUCUCUGGUUUUUCAGGCUGUCAAUUGAUUAAAUCCUAUGAUCGUAUCAAGGGUUGUCUAUUGAUUAGGGAAAUAUCCAACGGUCGUACCUUGGUUAUCGACUAGUUAAGGAGAGAUUGGCUAUUAGAGGGUCUCAAUAGCUAUAACCGGUCUAUUCAUAAGUAAUAAUAAUAUAUAUUUGAAUCAAUGAUCAGUAGUCGAAUCAAGCUGAGUUAAUUCCUUCAACCAGAGCUUUCUCCAAUUUGAAUUACAACUUUAAUUUGCAUUUUGUAUUUAAUUUGAUUUUUAUUAUUGUCUACAAUUCCCCCAUUUUAUGUUUUACGUUUCAAAAGGAUUUAAAUAAUUACCGAUCUCUGUGGACACGACCCUGCUCAAUCACUAUACACAAUUUAUUUAGAGUAGGAAUUUAUUUUUGUUGGCUUCGACACCCAUCAGUUGAUUUGUGUUGUUUAUUGCUAGAUUUCGCAUAAUUGUUUGCUGAUUACUAGAACUGGCUCUGUUUGGAUCUGAUACCAUGUUUAAAAACAUAAAAAAUCACUGAUCAGUUUGUUUGGUUGCUAAGAAAAUUUGCUCUGUUUGCUGAGAAAGUUUCAAAGAAGAUUCUCGAUUUUUUUUAUUUCAUCUUUCUUACUUCACGAAUGAUUACAAACACACCUUUUAUACACAACUCAACUAGCUAACAGAAAGAAAGCUACAAAACAGAAUCUCAGUAAGCUUAACUAAUUUUGCUGAGCUGGCAUUACACACUUAACUAACUUCGGCUAACUAAAUUCUCACAUGUGCUAAGCAUGAGCAGACUGUUUGUACACAUUAUGUGCUUCUUUAACACAAUGGAGUUUUAAAAAUUUGGUACUUGUUAUCUUAUCGAAAGUUUUCAAAAUUAUAUGAAUGUUCAAACUUAGCCCCUCCCGGCACUGCCACUGCUUCUACGUGAAAGUCAUUUAAGUUUGUGUUAGCUGCCUAUAGAUUGAAUAACAAUUUUACUCCGGAUUUUUUGUCCAUUAUGAAAAUUUGAUUGAAAGUGCGGCUGCACUAAUUUUCUAGAUGAACUUCCCUACAUGUUUUUUCUCAUAUGACCCAGAAUACUGCUAUAACAAUUGUAUUGGAAACUAUUCAACUGGGUUACUAUUCUACAUCCCCACCAAAAUUUAAACAGUCGACAUUGUGGAAAGAAACUCAUUUCGCCACUAGGCUUUUAGUGAGGCUAAUUUCUCUGAAUUUGGACAGAGUAGAUUUCUAAGCUAAUGCUUGGAAGAUCUCUGGCGAUAUUACAAAGUGCAUGUACAUUGAGUCUUAAUAAAUAUAAACGAUUCUCUAAUAUGAUUCAAAACAUCACUACAUGCAUAAGUUAAUAAGAGAAAAAAUUAUAAGAUUAUUUAUGCAUCACCAUUUAUAGUUGCACCCUCUCUAAUGAAAUUGAAGGUGCAGCCAGCAAUUAAAAUGAAGCAGAAAUGUACAUUGACCCUUAAUAAAUAGAAACUAAGGCGUUAUCGAUUCAACUUCAGUUGAUCAAUUGCGGGUGAAAGAUAAAUAAAGGAUAAGAGAAUAGAGCUGGAGUGCUAAAUUGGCUAUUGAAGAAGGGUGUCACAUGAUCACAAUCACAUUGACGCACAACUCUUUGGAGGCAAAUUUUGUCUAUGUGUACUCUAAAUUCAGCCAAACCAUACAUGUAUGAACAGAAUUUAAACCGUAGUUCUCAUCACAAUAGUAAUUGAAGCUACAAAAGCCAGAAAAUCUGAACAAAAACUUAAAAGGAAGAUUUUAUUCAAGUUUGCCCCCAAAAGACAGUUGAAAUGAAAAAUAUUGACUAUUGAAUGGGUCAAUGCUGAAUUACAUUUCAAAUGGAAAGCUUGGCAACAGUUACAAUGUUUCCCCUCUGAUUUUCCUCCAAAACAAAUUCAGUUAUAAACAAUAACUGAAGUAGGAAUAAUUUAUUCAUCAAAGAAAAUACCCUAGUUUUCAACUAACAAAUCCUGCUAUCCAAAUUAAAAAAACUCGCAUCUCUAAAAUUUAUUUGUAAACUGUUGGAAAUGAGGAGUGAUCUGUCAACUCCGUAAAUAAACUCAGGCAUAAUAUUAAUAAUAAUUAUAAAUUACAUAAUAAUUAUUAUAAAGAAUCAUAAAUUGGAAACGCUAAUCAUUCUACAAUCUAUUAUAUAAGUAAGAUAAGUCUCAUAAUAAGUUAAGUUAUAAUGUAAUAAAUACUUUCAAUAUAUAAUUAUUUAAGAAGGCAUUUAACAAUAAAAUAUUUUUUUUUCUAUUCGGUUGAUCAUAUAGUGUUAUCUAAACUCUUGACGAUAUUAUUAUUACUCACUUUUCUAAAAAAAAAACAUGAUUAACGUUUAGAGAAAAGUCAUGCCCCUUAAAAAUAAUAUGUAUACAAGCUAUCCAUACUUUAUCUUACCAUGACAAAAUUGAUGGUGAUUAAAUCUACUUUUAAAAUAGAUUUAAUGCACAGAUAUUAUGACUUCUGGCAAAAAUUAGUUUUGGAAGACAUAAUGGUAGAAAAUAGUGAUGAUCAUUAUUUAAAUGUGUAAAUAGCCUAGGCAUAGCCUGUAAUACCAAUAUCCAUUUGCCUUUAUUUGGAUUAUCACAUUUCAUGAUAUUCUUAUAUUUAUGACCAUUGUUCGAGAUUUGAACUUGAUCAUAAAUUAAGCUGCAAGAGAUUUUACUUCAGUUUCUAAGCUUUUCAAUCGUGAUUCAUCCAUGCCUUUCUUGGAUACCAUUAUGUUACGUGCCAAUGUAACUGACCUUGUAAUUGGUGUGUAUAAGGAAACAUGCCCUUUCAAGAUUGUUUUCUUUUGUUUCCUUAUUGUAGUAGUCAAAUAAAUAAAGAACGAACAAUUGAACUUGGUCUACUUCGAGGAAAACCAAGGCCUGCAAUAUUAGAUGAACUUUGAACAAAAUUAAUCUACUGCUUUUAUUCAUCUUUGGACUAUGAAUUUAUACAAAGACUUUAACAAAAAAUAACAAAGACACAACUGAAUGAUAGCAACAAGUGCUGACUUAGCGGACUACUGCAACAACUAAAUAAAAACUAAAUAUUUAUUUUGACUGUAACAACAAUUGCCCUGAUGAAUAGGACUCCACAGCAGCCACGUGACAACUAAUUUCUCCUUAAUAUUAUUAUUAGUAGAAGUAGAUUUUCAAACUAGUCUUGAUAUAUUUCGAAGUUGUAUUAUUAUCAAUGUAUAUGUAUCUAGAUUGUAACUAUAUUUUAAAAAAUAUAAUUUUUUUAAUUAUUGCACAGUAAAUGUAGAAAAAUAUCUAUAAAAUAAUAUUAUUAGGACUAAGAAAAAAAUAUUAUUUUAUAUAAGUUAUUUAUUUAUUAUUGAAUGAAUAAUUUAUUAAUUUAUUGAUAAACGAAUAUUUAUUAAUUUAAAGAGAGAUUAUUUUGGUUUUAAGAAGAGUUUGUUUGGUACAUGUACACACUUAUAAAGAAACACAAAAGGUGCUUCCUCAAGUUAAUAGUAUUUGCUUUAAUCGCUAUAGUUCACAAUAAUAUAGCAUAGUUUGGAAAAUUGUAAUUAUACUAUGUCUACGUUUGGUACAAUUUUUCAAGAAGAACUUAUUUAAAUAGAGUUUUUGUUAGUAGAACAUUUAUAAAUAAAAUUUUUACUGAAAAAAUUUAAGUUAUUUGGUUGUCAUUGUCAAAAUUGAUGAACUUUUGAUCUUUUGUUAACAUGUGUUUUUUUUACUAAAUAAUAAAUGUUAGGUUACAAUUAUUUUCAAUAGUUUUUGAAGGAAUCAAGUUAUGAAAUUUUUAUCAAUGAACUUUCAAUAUGUCAGCAUAUGGUCUGUAAAAUUUGAGAGUUUUCCAAUGAGGGAAUAAUUUAUUAAAAAUAAGAGAAUAUGGAUUGUUCUGUUUUAAGGGCCGAUUAUUGAGGACAUUUGAGGUUGAGCUUAGGAGAUGUUUAAAUUGAGAUAUUUGAGGACAUUAUGUUAGCCUAAAGGGCUACACAUAAUGUAAUUUUGAUGAUAACAAACAUGUGUCUUAAGUAAAAAUAAUAAAUAUUGUAUUUCACAUUUUCACUAGUUUUUGAAGGAUAAUAUUUAUGCAAGUGAAUCAAGUGAAAUCAAGAUUGAAGAUACUCAACGGACAACGGCGACAUCAAGAAUAUAGUUUAGAGCUCAAUGAACAAAUUAGUGCGAUAAAUUCUUGUAAAGCCGGUAUGAUUUAAUUGAUGCAUGAUUUAGCAUUUGAGAAGCUCAAGAGAUUAAUUUAAUUAAAUACUUUUCAUAAACUAAAAGGUUUUAUUUUUAUAAAGUAAAGUAUUUUGUGGAUUUGAGUAAUUUGGACUUAAAUGCUAAGAUUUGAAAUCUUUGAUUUUAAUAAGUAUUAAAUUUCGGAGUUGGACGUUUUGAUAAACAUUUGAAAUGUUUUGGGUCAUACUAUAAUUUAUAAAUAUUUUGGACUAAAGUGAAAGGUUUUGAGAACUUUGAAAAAUAUGGGUAUUAUGUUGAAAAGGACCUUUGUGCGAACUAAAAAUUUCUUUGGGGCCAUAUCAUAAUUUCAGAAAGUUUGGGAAGACAACUACUCUUAGGAAGUUCUGAAAUUGGACCUAUUUGCAAAGUUUUAUGACAUUUUGAGCCAUAGUAUAAUUAUAGAAAGUUUUGAGCCAAAGUAUAAUUUUAGUGAACAGUGUUACUAUAGCAAUUCAAAAAUAACGGUAAUAUCACUGUUCCUGAGCGGCUAGCCGGAUAAAUCAAGCGGCUAACUGCUUGGGCGAGGGAAUUUGCCUAUAACGGCUAGUUUUCAGGCUUUAACUAUAAAAACUCAGCUCAAACUUCAUUCUAAGUACUAAUGCAUGCAAAUAUAAGAUCAUACAACAUAUAUUGAGCUUCCAAAAUGCAAAUCAUCAUUGAUUGAAUCAUUGUUGAGCUAUUAGUUGCAUAUCCACUCUUAAAGAGAGUUUUUGUUGUAAUUUUCAUUUCUUAUCAAAUUGUGAGUGUGUGAGUGUGUAAGUGUGGGAAACACUUGGGGUGAAGAGAUUGGGGAGAUAAUCUCUUGGUUGUAAAGGUUCAUUGACACCUUGGAAGUCAAUUGUAAAAACUUGAACCCUUGAGAGGCUUGGAUAGUGAAAUCCUCGAGCAUGGUUGGCUUGGAGGCGUGGACGUAAGCAGGGAUUGCCGAACCACGUAAAAAUCCGCGUGUUUGUUUCUCUCUUCCCUUGCUCUUUUAUUUUUACGCUUGUUUGAAUUUAUUGUUCUCUAUUUCAUUAAGGCGUUAGAUUGAUUUAUUGUGCGAAUUGUAUUGCAUUAUUUUUAAAAACUCAAUUCACCCUCCCUCUUGGGUUGCAUUACUUGCAUUUACAUUAGAGUUUAUGAUUGAGACUCGAUUAUAUCUUAUGAGAAAUUUAUUGAUGAUUUUAGGUUGAUGAUAACAGUACGCAUUUGUUACAUGAGGAUGCCAAGAGGUAAGUAAACUAGACUUAAAAACGAAUCACAAUAAACAAUAUAUAUGUUUGACUUGUAUGAAAAGUCUAUUUUGAUAUGUACGAAUAUAGAUUUAUAUGUCUCUACUCAUGUGUUUAUGUGAUGUGUUGUUAUGUAUUGGGCGUGAUUAUGUACAUAGGCAUAUGUAUGUGUGAUGGUUCAUUGUCAUGAGCACGAAAAUGCAUUGAGUUUUCUAUGAAUGAAAAGUGGAUUUUAGCAAAUGAGAUUUCUCUUUUAUGAGAUUUUGCAUUGGGGGCCACCUCUUGAGGGCCAGAGUGCCGCAAAGUACCACGCACAACACAAAGUGCCACAUUGCAGGAUACGUAUUUUAUUGAAAGGAAAUAUGAAAGUUUGAAAGCGACAGAAAGAGAUUUUUAUGAAUUUGUUUUACAGUAUUUCCAAAAGAUCAUGGCAUAGCAUCCAUCUACAUUAUGUAUAAGUAUGCAUGUUUGCUUAUUGAGUUUUGUACUCAUUAUAGUUUAUUAUGAUUCAGUUUCCAGAAGUCAGGAUUGAUUCGUGAUGAGUGAGAAGAUGAAUUUAAAUUGAGGAUGGUAGAUGGUUUGGCUAAAUUUUUAAGUUAUUCCGCUGGCUUUUGUAUUCGAGGCUCGAAUUUUAUCGGUUGUAAAGAGUUAUUUAAAUUCAUAUGUGAGUUGUAGUCAGAUUUGCCCUCGGAGUUCGGGUUGGGGCGUUACAGAUGCAGAAACAGAAAACUAUUAGCUUAUCUUGAUUUUCCCACUAUAUUCAUUUUCGAUGCUUUUCAAACGAGAUUCUUUUAAUCCUUCUGGCGUAUGCAGCCCUUGCUCUUCUUAUAAAUCUCCAUCCGACAUCUGCACUAGGAACAAGUUGAUUGAAAUUAAAUAACAUUAGAGAUGACGGACGGUUGAGCCGUUAACUCGGUAAAAAAACUCAUAUAUAAUAUUACUAAUAAAAAAAAAUAUAAUAAUCAUUACUAAGAAUCAUAAAUUAGAAAAAUUAAUUAUUUUACAAUCUAUUUCGCAAGUAAGAUAAAUCUCAUAAUAAGUUAAGUUAUAACGUAAAAAACAUUUUCAAUUUAUAAUCGUUUAAGAAGUCAUUUAACAAUAAAAUCUUUCUUUUGGUCAGUUGGCCAUGCCACAGAGUAUCAUCUAUAUUCGUGGUGAUAUUAUUAUUACUCCGUAUUCUCAAAAAACUUGAUUUAACAUUUAGAGAAAAUUCCUACCAUUUAAAAAGAACAUGUAUGCAGCAGCUACCCAUACUUUAUCUUACCCCGACAAAAUUAAUGGUGACUAAAUCAAUUUUCUCGAUUAAAGCAAAAUUUUCUUAAAAACGAUUUAAUGCACAAAUAUGAUGACUUUUUGCAAAAAUUAGUUUUGGAAAAUAUAGUGAGAGAAAAUAGUGACGAUUAUUGUUUAGAUGUGUAAAUAGCCUAAACAUAAUUGCUAAUACCAACAUCCACGUGCAUCUUAACACCUUUCGUGAUAAUCUUUCAUUCAUGGUCACUGGUUCAAGAUUUGAAUUUGAUCAUUAAAUCAUGUUCAAGAAUAUUAGAGAUCCCAACAAUUGAGUUCCAACUUAAAUCCUAAUGCUAUGUGUCAUUGACCAAUAUUGUGUCAUUUUUUGUUAACUGGGUGAUGAAUUUCUAGUUGAUAAAAUUACUUAAAAAUAUCUUAAAAAUCAGAUAAUAGUUAGCUUAAUUUUUUGAAGCUAACUGCUCAAGAUGCUCUAUUAGAAAUGAUAACCUAAUUAUAUAAAAAAAAAAAUGAUGUAUUUUUUUCGGUGUUGAUAGUGAGAUUAUCAUUCAACAUGUUAAAAUAUGAAAACAUAUGGAAGAAGGUUGUAAAUUGAUUGAAUGAAAAUAUUUCAGUGAAGUCUAAAAAAUUUGGUACUUGUUAUCUUAUCGAAAGUUUUCUAAAUUACAUUCGUGGCACUGCCACUGCUUCCAUGUGAAGGUCAUUAAAAUUUGUGUUAGUUACCUAUAUGUUGAAUAAUAAUUUUAUUCAUGAAUUGUUGCUCAAUAUAGCAGUUUCUAGAUGAAUUUUCCUACAUGUUUGUCCUCAUAUGACCUAGAAUGCUGCCAUAUCAAUUGUAUUGGAAAUUAUUCAAGUGGGUUUGUGCUCUAUACCCCCACCAAAAUUUAAGCAAUCUACAGAACAUUCCUUGUGGAAAGAAACUUAUUUCGCUACUAGGUGGGAGUAGAUUUCUAAGCUAAUGCUCGGCAGAUCUCUAGGCUAUACUAAAAAGUGUAUGCACUUUGACUCUCAAUAUAUACGAGUGAUUCUAUGAUAUGACUGAAAACAUCAGUACAUGCAUGAUUUUAUAAGAAAGAAUAUUCUAAAAUUAUUUAUGUAUCACCAUUUGAAGUUGUACCCUCUCGAAUGAAGGUGCAAUCAGCAACUAAAAUGAAGCCCGAAAUGUACACGCGUGAAGCAGUUUUUCUAGAAGAUUGAUAUUUCUCAAACUAGCAAACCGUACAAGUCCAAAGCUAGAAAAAGGAGUGCUUCUAAGCAGAAAACAUUGAUUAAAACAGAAUGCACACAAACAUACCAGCAAAUUCAAAAUAGAAAAAGGAGUGCAACUGUUCAAGUUUGUGGACAAUAUUGCAACCGUGGCAUAUUUAUAGCAAAUCCUUGAAAUCUGCUAAAUAAACAAUGCCCUGUCUCAUGAAUCAAAGCCGAAUUAAAAUUGAAAUUGAAAGUCCGGCUGGUGUUGUUUCCCUCUCCAGUUUUGCCCACAUAAGUGAAGGGAAAUGAGAAUCAUAAACUAAAAUCUGCUUUUACAGUUCUUAUUAGAUAGAUAUAAAGGGAUCUUUCUUUGUUUCUCUGCUGCAAUUUGUGGCUAUCCCACUCUGUUUUGCCACUCAAGCUUAGUCUACGUUGAGACACAAUUUUGACAUCAGAAGCAACCUCAAUUAGUUUGGCAUUUUUAUGACCUCCUUGUACGUUUUACGAUAAACAUAAAUCUACUGAGAAAGUGGGAAAAAAAGAAAAUGCAUAUAAAAGUAUGAGUUAUCAGACAUGAUUAAAACUCACCCAAUUCAAUCCAUUAGAUUCCGUAAGGAUAUAACUGGAUGUCAUACCGCCAUUCCAUAUCCUCGAAAGUCCGUAGCCUCUGUCUCAACUCUGUCUGAGGCCAAUGUAAAUCCAAUAUGCGCAAGCUCUUUAUGCACCACAGCUCUUCUGGAAGCUUUCUCAAGUAAGCACAAGGGUUGACAAUUAAGCUUUCAAGUUUUGGCAUUGCUCCAGCCCCCAUCGUCCACUCAUCUAGCCAAAACAUUGAUUUCAGGUGCAAAACCUUACGUUCCGGAAAGCAACCAGGGCCAACGCAGGCCAGCUUUCUUCCUAAAUACGAGUUUUGCUUCAGUUUCAGCACUUGAAGGCGUGGAAGCUUUUCCAGCAUUGGCAUGGGAUCCUCCAUUAGCUCAGUAUUCGAUAAGCUCAGAUGGCUCAGACUUGGAGGAAAUUGGUAUUCAGACAGGAUAAUCCGUGAGGGCUUGCUCUCAUUCACCAGCUUCAAGCAUUCAAGUUUGUGCAGUUCGCAUAGGCUUUUGGAAACCCCGGAUUGAUAGUAACUCAAAUCUCCAGAUAUUCUUAGACUUUGGACAAGAUAUUCUUAGACUUUGGACAUUUGGUAGUCUGCCCAAUAUAGCUGGACUGCAACUACUAGGAUGUAAGGCUGAUAAGAAAAUGAGAUUUUUCAGAGAGCUUCAAUAAUUUUUUGGAGGUGCGGGCAGAGUGAUGCAACCGAAGUUUAGAUGCAUGAGUUUUUGCAUCAUCCAAAUAUCCUCUGGUGAAUGAUCUAUGUAGCUAGAUGGCAUUUCUAGCGUUUGAAGGUUUAAAAGGGAGCAUAGCAGUGAAGGAAUGCAUUUGAGCGAAGGGAUAUUCAAUUUCAAAUACUUCAAAAGGAAUAAAUUUUCUAAUCCGGCUGGAUAUUGGUCGAGAACUGCAGAACCCAAGUUCAAUACCCGAAGGUAUUUGAACUUGUCGCAAUCUAUCAGAGCGAGAUGAUCGCUUGCCGAACUGUUAUUCAGAAAAGAUUGGAGAUACAUGUCAGAAUGUCCUAAAGAUAAAAACCCAGUCAGAUCUUGGGCAAUGACGCACCGUUUAACAUUUGCCACUGGCUCCUCUUCCCUGUCACGCAUCCAUACAAAUUCCGUCUUCUCUGCCACCGAGCACAGUAAAGUAAAUUCAAAACCUGGAACAUAAAACGCUUUAAUUGUGCCGCCGGCUCCUCUUACUCACUUGAAUGAAGCCGCAAUGGAUUAGUUCUUUCAAGUAAUGUUCUGCCGUCUCCUCACUGUUGUAUGGUAUGAAACCUUCAGCUACCCACAACUGAUAUAAUUGUCUCGUAGAUAUCUCAAUGUCUGGACGGAAGACAAACAAAUAGGUGUAGCAGACUUUCAAGUGAAAAGGUAACUCCAUCACAGAAUAAAUUUGUCUCCAAAUUGUCCGAAUCGCUUAGGCUUGAAGAUAAUUUUCUAAUGGCAUACUUCCAUAGUGUAGGAUGAAAAAUUGCCAGGCCUCAUACUUUAAUCUGAUCAAUGGUCCUCCAACGAGCACAGAAUCAGGCCGAAUCUUCUCUCCAUUUUCCAUUUCCAACGACACAAGGAGUUCUGGAUCAGUGACUGUUAUCAAUACUCUGCUUCCAUUCUCAUUAUCAGGGAGACCUUCUUCGAGAUCAUCCCAUAUCUCACUGUUAUCGAAGACAUCAUCAAGCACAAUAAAGUACUUCUUGUUUGUUAGGUAAUCUCGAAGAAUAGAUUUCUUCAAUUGAUAAUUGAAAGAGUUUGUAUAUAGUGUUUGGUUUAAGAGAAACUAACAAGAAAAUAAAAGAAAAUCAUAAAGAACCAGAUCUGAAAAUGAUCAUAUUCUCAUUUUUUGACUAAUGAUUACAACUUGUUAUUUAUAGUAAAGAUCAGAGGCGUCACGUAGCUUGUCAGUUUGUUGGAUCUAAUAUGCAUGCAGUACAGUUCGUUAUCUUUGCUGCUGAGCUGGAUAACUAACUCAACACACGUAAGCAUCAGCAGCUCCAUUUAAUCAGAUGCUCUCAUCUAUACCAUAUUAUCAUACUCUAUAACAUCCUCCCUCAAGCUGAACUGACCUGGAUGGACAUUCAGCUUGCUUCUUAGAUAGUGAAACUGAUUGAAGGUUAGUGCCUUGGUAAGAACAUCGGCAUUUUGGUCUUCACUGGGAAUGAACUGAACUGUAAUUUGCUUAGCUGUUACUUUGUCUCUGAUGAAGUGAAUAUCAAGCUCAACAUGCUUAGUUUUAGCAUGAUAAACAGGAUUGUGAGCUAAAGCUAUGGCACUUUGAUUAUCACACCACAUUAUGGGGGCUGUGACAAGAUGAAUAUGUAGCUCUUUCAGUAAGGACUGAAUCCAAGUAACCUCAGCUGUAGCUUGAGCCAAAGCUCUGUAUUCAGCUUCAGUGCUUGAUCUGGAAACUACUGCCUGUUUCUUAGACGACCAAGAAACCAAAUUUGAACCAAGAUAAACAGCAUAACCAGCCACUGAUUUGCGAUCAUCCUUAUCACAUGCCCAAUCUGAGUCACUAAAACAAUUUAUCUGCAUAGUGCCGUAAUGAUAAAAAUGUAAUCCAAAAUGAAUUGUUCCUUUCAAAUAUCUAAGAAGCCUCUUACAAGCCUCCCAGUGCUCUGCUGUUGGUGAAGCUAAAAACUGACUAAGUUUGUUUACAGAGAAAGCUAUUUCUGGCCUAGUGAGAGUCACAUAUUGUAAAGCUCCAACUGCACUUCUAUAUUGAGAACUAUUUGAAAUAACACUUCCUGACCCCUUUGUAAGAUAAUGACCAGUGGCCAUGGGAGUAGGAACUGGACUGCAGUCAGCCAUAUUGUGUUUGGCUAGAAUAUCAGCUAUGUAUUUAGAUUGAGAGAGAUAAAUUCCAGAUGCUGUUUUGGUAACUUCUAUCCCAAGAAAAUAACUCAAUUUGCCCAGAUCCUUCAAAGCAAAAGCAUUUUGCAUAUUGGUAAUCACUUGCUGCACCAUUUGAUCACUUGAGCCUGUUAUGAUUAUAUCAUCCACAUAGACAAGAACAAAAAUUACUUGAUCACCUAUCCACUUGUAGAAAAGGGAGUUGUCUGACCUUGAAUUUUGGAAACCCCAUUUCACAACCAUAGCAUCUUUCAGUCUCUCAAACCAUGCCCUGGGGGCUUGUUUUAAACCGUAGAGAGCCUUUUUCAACUUACAGACAUGAAGAGGUCGAGAUGGAUCAAUGAAGCCCUCUGGCUGCCCCAUGUACACAUCUUCAACUAAUAUGCCAUUCAAAAAGGCAUUAUUCACAUCCACUUGUCUGAGCUCCCAUUUAUUCAUAACUGCCAAACUUAAAAUAACUCUGACUGUGGAUGCUUUAACAACUGGACUGAAUGUUUCUGUGUAAUCAACUCCUUGUGUCUGAUGAAACCCCUUAGCCACUAACCUGGCUUUGUAUCUAGAAAUGGUUCCAUCAGCAUGAUAUUUUAUCUUGAAUAUCCAUUUGUUACCAACUACCUUAACUGGUUCACUUGGCAAAACCAGAUCCCAUGUAUGAUUAUUCUGAAGUGCUUGAAAUUCUUCUUGCAUUGCCUUAAACCAUUUUGGAUUAGAUAAAGCAGCUGAAACAGAAGUAGGUUCUGAAGGUAUGGCUAGUAAAGCAGCUAAAUAAGAUUUAGGCUUAAAUAUACCAGCCUUGGAUCUGGUUAUCAUGGGAUGACCUAUAGGUGGUGCAGCAGGUAAUAUAUGAGGAGGAGAUUGUGUAUGAUGUAUAGGAUGUGUAUGUGAUGUCAAAGUAGAAGAUGAAGAGGAGGUUGAAGAAGGAGAGAAUACCUGUGGAGUGUCAGCAGGUAGGUAAUCACUUGCUAGAGAUUGUUGCAGGGGGGAUUGUACUUGUGGGAUUGGAACAAGAGUAACUUUGGACUCUGAAGAAAUAUCUGAGGGACUGCAAGACUGAGCAAUGGAAGAGAAGUCUAAUCCAGAUACAUAUGGAAAAGAUUGUUCAUCAAAGAUGACAUGAUUGGACACAUACACACGACCAGAUGAAUGAAGACACUGAUACCCUUUAUGAGAAGAGCUAUACCCAAUAAAAACACAUCUGUUUGAUCUAAAACUGAGCUUGUGUCUGUUAUAAGGUCUGAGAUAAGGAAAGCAAGCACAACCAAAGACCCUAAGAGAGACAUAAUCUGGUACUUGCUGAAAAAGUUUUUGGUAAGGUGAAAUGUAUUCAAAGUUGGUGUGGGUAGUCUGUUAAUAAGGAAUACAACAGUAUGAAAGGCAUUCCACCAGAACUUAAGUGGUAAAUUAGCUUGAGCUAACAGAGUGAGGCCAAUGUCCACUAUGUGUCUAUGUUUUCUCUCAAUUCUUCCAUUUUGAUGAUGGAUAUGUGGACAAGGAUGCCUGAACUGAAUUCCAAACUGAGUGAGAUAUGAUGCAAAGGUUCUAAACUCCCCUCCCCAAUCUGUUUGAACUGUUUUGAUGUGUUGUUGUAAGUGUUUUUCAAUAAAAGAUUUGAAUUCUGUGAAAACUUGGAGUGCAUCUGAUUUGGCAGUCAAAGGAAAAAUCCAUGUGAAUCUGCUAAAAUCAUCUAAAAUGGACAAAUAAUAUAUAUAGCCUUGAGUGGAUGCAACAUGUGAUGGUCCCCACAAAUCAGCAUAUAUAAGUUGUAAUGGUGCUGUUGUUUUUGUUGGAAUAGAUCCAAAAUGUAAAAGGUGACUUUUACCAUGUUGACAGGCAUUGCAAAAGUUUGGAGUUUUAUUGAGUACAUUGAAACUAUUACAAGCUUUCAAUACAGAUUUGAGUGUGUGUAAGGCAGGAUGUCCUAGCCUUUUAUGGAAAACAUUGACAUCGACUGAGCUAGUAUUGACAGCCAAGGCUGAUUUACACAGCAAAUGAUGAGACAAAGUACUCUUACUUAUUUCAGGAGAAAUAUCACUAGACAAAGGAGAAUGAAAAGCAAACAAAGACUGAGGUUUAUUGGAAGAAAGUUGACAAGACAAGGCUGAGCUAGUUUCAGAGACUUGAGCUGCAGAUUGGACUUGAUACAAUCCCCCUGUUGCAAUUCCUCUAAGCAAAGUGAUCCCUGAGUUCCUGGCCUUGACAACACAGACAUUUGCAAAAAACUCAAGUGUCACAUUAUUAUCUACUAAGAGCUUUGAAACACUGAGUAAAUUUUUCUUAAUAUUUGGAACAUGAAGAACAUGGUUUAAACACAAGGGUUUAUUUGCAGUAGUAGCUAGCAAUACUGAUCCAAUAUGCUGAAUAUGCAAUGCAGAACCAUUCCCAACAAGCAAUUUGUCAGUUCCAACAUAUGGCUUGAGAUCCAGUAAUUUACCUGGGUCAUUUGUGAUGUGGUUAGUAGCACCACUGUCAAUGUACCAAGCUGGAUCUUCAAUCAUCUCAGGUGCAUGAGCUGGAACAGGGACUGAAGGAGAUCCAGAGUAAUCUCCAGUAGGAGCAAAAGCAUGAGCAGGAGAGUAACCACCAUGAGAAUUAGAUGGUUGAUAAACAUUGAAAGCAGCUGGAUCUGAAUACAUCAAAUGGCCUUGAUAACCAGGUGCUCUUGGUAUGUUGAAAUUACCAAACUGAGAGUUACCAAUUCCAGCACCAUAUUGAGGAUUAAGAUUUCUACCAAAAUUACCAAAAUUUCCAUAAGCCAUAGAAGACCUAUUGCCAUUAGCAUAGCCAAAACCUCUACCAUACUGCCUCUGACCAGGCCUAAAAUUUCCAUUAAAACCACCUCUUCCUUGAUUUCUUGAAGGAACAAAAGCUGAGUUAAACCUAUUCCUGCAUUUAUUGGCACCAUGACCAGGAAUGAAAUAGAUCUGACAUACAAUUUGUGAGAAGUUACCAUCACUAGAUCCAGCUCCAGAAUUAUAACUUCCUCCAUACGAUCCAAUGUUAAACUUCUGAUUACCACUAGUGUUUUUACUAGGAUUGAACUGCUUUUGAGCAACAUUAGCUGACAAGUUAUGUGUAACAUCACUUGCAAUUUUUCCUCUCUUUUGUUCCACAUGAUUUUCAUGACUCAAUAACAAUGAAUAAAACUCAUCAAGACUGAUAUUAUCUCCUCUAGCUAACACAGUAGUAACUAGUGAUUCAUAAUCAGAGGAAUCCAAUCCAGUCAAAACAUGUUGAACGAAAUCAUUCACUUCAACAGGUUUUCCAGCUAAAGCCAAGCUAUCAGAUAUCCUUUUCAUUUUUGCAAAAUAAUCAGUUAUGGACAUCGAGCCUUUUUUAAGAGUUUGGAUUUGCAUUUUUAGAGGCAUUAUUCUAGCUUGUGACUGGGAAACAAACAUACUUGUAAGUGUAUCCAGCAGCUCCUUUGCAGUUGAGCAGUGGAUCACAGUUGUCAACAGAUUCGGCUGAAUAGAUGAGAGCAUCCAGCUCAGAAUCAAUUGAUCCGUCUUUAUCCACAUUGUGUAAGCUGGAUUGAUCUCUUGAUUCUCUGUUCCAGUUGAGAAACCAGCAGCAGAGCUUAUAGCAGAGAAAAAUUUUCCCGGACAGACUUGAUUUCCAUUGAUGAAAUCUUCUAAACCAUUUCCUUUAAUGGAUAUGAGAAUCUGAGUUCGCCAAACAAUGAAGUUAUUAUGAUCUAGUUUUAUCGGAGUAAUAAAACUAUAGGAUCCAGAAUUUUGAUUCGAAUUUGCCAUUUGUUAGCUCUGAUACCAUGAAAGAGUUUGUAUAUAGUGUUUGGUUUAAGAGAAACUAACAAGAAAAUAAAAGAAAAUCAUAAAGAACCAGAUCUGAAAAUGAUCAUAUUCUCAUUUUUUGACUAAUGAUUACAACUUGUUAUUUAUAGUAAAUAUCAGAGGCGUCACGUAGCUUGUCAGUUUGUUGGAUCUAAUAUGCAUGCAAUACAGUUCGUUAUCUUUGCUGCUGAGCUGGAUAACUAACUCAACACACGUAAGCAUCAGCAGCUCCAUUUAAUCAGAUGCUCUCAUCUGUACCAUAUUAUCAUACUCUAUAACAUCCUCCCUCAAGCUGAACUGACCUGGAUGGACAUUCAGCUUGCUUCUUAGAUAGUGAAACUGAUUGAAGGUUAGUGCCUUGGUAAGAACAUCGGCAUUUUGGUCUUCACUGGGAAUGAACUGAACUGUAAUUUGCUUAGCUGUUACUUUGUCUCUGAUGAAGUGAAUAUCAAGCUCAACAUGCUUAGUUUUAGCAUGAUAAACAGGAUUGUGAGCUAAAGCUAUGGCACUUUGAUUAUCACACCACAUUAUGGGGGCUGUGACAAGAUGAAUAUGUAGCUCUUUCAGUAAGGACUGAAUCCAAGUAACCUCAGCUGUAGCUUGAGCCAAAGCUCUGUAUUCAGCUUCAGUGCUUGAUCUGGAAACUACUGCCUGUUUCUUAGACGACCAAGAAACCAAAUUUGAACCAAGAUAAACAGCAUAACCAGCCACUGAUUUGCGAUCAUCCUUAUCACAUGCCCAAUCUGAGUCACUAAAACAAUUUAUCUGCAUAGUGCCGUAAUGAUAAAAAUGUAAUCCAAAAUGAAUUGUUCCUUUCAAAUAUCUAAGAAGCCUCUUACAAGCCUCCCAGUGCUCUGCUGUUGGUGAAGCUAAAAACUGACUAAGUUUGUUUACAGAGAAAGCUAUUUCUGGCCUAGUGAGAGUCACAUAUUGUAAAGCUCCAACUGCACUUCUAUAUUGAGAACUAUUUGAAAUAACACUUCCUGACCCCUUUGUAAGAUAAUGACCAGUGGCCAUGGGAGUAGGAACUGGACUGCAGUCAGCCAUAUUGUGUUUGGCUAGAAUAUCAGCUAUGUAUUUAGAUUGAGAGAGAUAAAUUCCAGAUGCUGUUUUGGUAACUUCUAUCCCAAGAAAAUAACUCAAUUUGCCCAGAUCCUUCAAAGCAAAAGCAUUUUGCAUAUUGGUAAUCACUUGCUGCACCAUUUGAUCACUUGAGCCUGUUAUGAUUAUAUCAUCCACAUAGACAAGAACAAAAAUUACUUGAUCACCUAUCCACUUGUAGAAAAGGGAGUUGUCUGACCUUGAAUUUUGGAAACCCCAUUUCACAACCAUAGCAUCUUUCAGUCUCUCAAACCAUGCCCUGGGGGCUUGUUUUAAACCGUAGAGAGCCUUUUUCAACUUACAGACAUGAAGAGGUCGAGAUGGAUCAAUGAAGCCCUCUGGCUGCCCCAUGUACACAUCUUCAACUAAUAUGCCAUUCAAAAAGGCAUUAUUCACAUCCACUUGUCUGAGCUCCCAUUUAUUCAUAACUGCCAAACUUAAAAUAACUCUGACUGUGGAUGCUUUAACAACUGGACUGAAUGUUUCUGUGUAAUCAACUCCUUGUGUCUGAUGAAACCCCUUAGCCACUAACCUGGCUUUGUAUCUAGAAAUGGUUCCAUCAGCAUGAUAUUUUAUCUUGAAUAUCCAUUUGUUACCAACUACCUUAACUGGUUCACUUGGCAAAACCAGAUCCCAUGUAUGAUUAUUCUGAAGUGCUUGAAAUUCUUCUUGCAUUGCCUUAAACCAUUUUGGAUCAGAUAAAGCAGUUGAAACAGAAGUAGGUUCUGAAGGUAUGGCUAGUAAAGCAGCUAAAUAAGAUUUAGGCUUAAAUAUACCAGUCUUGGAUCUGGUUAUCAUGGGAUGACCUAUAGGUGGUGCAGCAGGUAAUAUAUGAGGAGGAGAUUGUGUACACACUGAUCCAUGUACAACACAUCUCUUGAUUAUCUGUGUGUGUGCUGCUCAUCAAUGAUUAACAAGAUACAGUAGUUUUGUGAAGUCUCAUGUCUUGUGUUACAAAAUUUUGUGAUGGAAAGAAGGAAUAAUUCAACUAAAAAAAAAAAACACACGCGCGCAGCACACACACAGAGGGCCGCAACUAGCCCUUGAACCCCUAUUGAACUCGCACAAGAUACUAUUGAACUAAAUUCAAAAACAGCUGUUAAUAGCAUCUUAAAAUAUGGGUUCUAUCCAUACUCCCACCUGAAUCAUUUCUUGCGGCAUGACUCAAAAAUAACAAUAAGCCUGUCGCACCGAUAACUCAUUAGUGCAAUUUUUUUAACUCAAAAAAUUGAUACGCGUUCAUUUAGCGAAAAGUCCAAGACGCUUGCCUUUUGAAAAGAAGAGGUAUCCAAUAGAUAUCCAACCUUUAUCUUAUUUAAUUACUACCACGACAUGAUUGAUGGUGCUUAAAUCGAUUGUUUCUUUUUUAAUUUAAAGAAUUUUUCAUUAAAAAAUAUUUUAAUAUCAAAUUGCCUUCAAUAGCGUAACUGCCGCAGGCCCAGUAACAAGAUUAAUUAAAAUUUUUUGAAUUUUUGGGCAUGGAAAGAGUAGUAUUAGACUUCAGAAAGCUUAAGGUUGUUAUGUUAAAGAAUUGAUAUUGACAUAAUUUUAUUUUGGUUUUCGGGAAACAAAUUAUUUGUUGACAAGCAAGAAAAUAUUUUUGUAUUUUACAAUUUAUUAUACAUAUUUUAUCAUAUUAAAGUAAUUUUAAUAAUAAAUAGACACAUAAUAUUACAACAAAUAAAGUAAAGUUUAAAUUAUUUUGAAUAUUAUAAAAAUAAUUUUAAUAUUAUUAAUAGGAAGACAUUUUGUUAAUUUUAAAAUCUUUUUAACCUAAAGGUUUAUUUAAAAUCUUUAGAAAUCUCCAUCCCACAUCUACCCUAUUAAACAAGUUGAUGGAAAUUGAACAAUUGCUUUUUGAAGUGGACCCAUUGAGUUAUGUUCAUUACUGGUCAUUGUCUAUUCUUUCUAAGAGCCACUUGUUUUGAGCAUUAGCAAUCCUAUCUGGACUACUCCAAUUAUUGAUGUAACUCCAAUGGUUGCAUCAACAGUUGAAUGUAAGAUAGUGUUAGUUCUUUUUUGAGAAUAUAGAGGGAUCUUUAUUUGUUUCUCCGUUGUAGCGUAUUAGUAUAAAUUUCUUUACCUUACAGUUCCUACAGUCUUCCUGUUAAUGAAUUCGCUGAGGCAUUAUUGAUCCAAUCUCAGUGAAGUAAUUGUGGGUGAAAAAAAAAAAUAAAGGAUAAGAGAACGUAGCUGAAGUGCUGAAUUGACUAUUAAAGAAGAGCGUCACCUGAUCACAAUCACAUUGAUGCACAACUCACUCAGAUCAUUACAACGUCCUUUUCGCUAAUUAAUUAUGAUUAUAUACAUUUUCAUAUGGCAAGUGGCAUUGUAGAUCUAAACUACGUUGCUAUUUCAUUACGUUAAUUAAGUGAUUCUCCUCAUUGUCAUCAGCGCUUUUUGGGCAUGGAAAGAGUAGUAUUAAACAUUAGAAAGCAAAGGUUGUUCUGUCAAAGAAUUGAUAUUGGCAUAAUUUUAUUUUUGCUUUCGAGUAAAAAAAAAAAAAUUGUUGACAAGCAAGAUACUGUUUUUAUAUUUUACAGUCAGUUAUACAUAUUUUAUCAUAUUAAAGUAAUUUUAAUAAUAAAUGGAAACAUAACAUUACAAUAAAUCAAUUAAAGUUUAAAUUAUUUUGAAUAUUAUAAAAAAUAAUUUUAAUAUUAUUAAUAGGAAGAUAUUUUGUUUAUUGUAAAAUCUUUUUAACCCAAAGGUUUAUUUAAAAUCGUUAUAAUAAAUAAAAAUAUAAAAACAAAAUAAAUAUCAUAAUUUAAAAUUUUAAUAUUAUUUUAAAUAUUAAAAAUACUUUAAUGCUAUUAGUCUACUACCCAGGUUAUAUUACGUAUAUUAUAUUUGUAUAAAUUAAAACUUUUAAAGUUAAAUUUUUAAUUACUAUAUUGAAAAGUUAUUAUGGUUAAAAAAAGUUUUGGCAUUUCUUUUUGAAAAUUUGAGGGUCUGCAUGACAAUUUGUCCAAAUCCUAGAGGUAUAGGUGUCUUUUUUUUUUUUCGAUAAUCAUUUUACUUUUGAGGGAAUCCGAUGAGAAAUAAGAUAAGAGAAACGUCAAUUUAAGGUUCUCUAGGGAAAACCAAGAACUAUUCAAUUUUGUAUUUUUUGUUUGUAAAACGAAAAACAGUUUGCCAAAAAAGGUACCAAACAUAUCCUUAAUGUCUCACAUGAUUUCUUAUUAAGUCCAUACUCGAUAUAUUUAUACAUUUUAGGUAUUUUAGUUAUAAAAGAAGUUGGUCCUCCCUUUGUUUAUAAAAGGUAACUUUAUUUCGAGAUUACCACUAAAGUCUUGCAAAGAAUUAGUGUAAUGUUAAGAGAGAAUAACACAGUUUUCCAUUACCAUUUUGAAAAUAGAAAGAUGUGGAUGUGUGCAUUUAAUAUUGCGUUUACUUGCUGGAUUGAGGAAUCGGAAUCUAGAAUCGGAAUGAUUGAUGGUGUUUACUUUGCAAAUAUGGAGCAGGAAUCGGAAUUGGAAUGGUGGGGGCCACCACUAUUUGGGAAUGGGAGAUUGAUUCUCAUGGGGGAAGGUGGGAAUGAGUCUCCCAUUCCCUGGAUUGACCAUUUUGCCCUCCCUCAAAAUUAAAAAUGCCUACUUUGUCCUCUUUUAUAAUUAAUUAAUAUAAUAUUAUAAUUACUUAAUUAAUAUAUAAAUAUUUUAUUAACUAUAAUUAUUAAAAAUUAUAGUUCUUGAAUAAAUAAUCACAAUAAUUAAUUUAUUAUUAUUAUUGUUAUUUUAAUUAAUUAAUUAAUAUACUAUUAUAAUAAUUAUUAAUAUAAUUAAUUUAUAUAUUAUUAUUAUUAUUAAUGAAUUAAUAUAAUUAUUACUAUUAAUUAAUAUAUUAAUAUAUUAUUAACAAUAAUAUAUUAAUAAUUAUUGUUCGUGAAUAAAUAAUCACAAUAAUUAAUAUAUUAUUAUUGUAAUUAAUUAAUUAAUAUACUAUUAUAAUAAUUAUUAAUAUAAUUAUUAUAAUUAAUUCAUAUAUUAUUAUUAAUUAAAUUAAUAUUAUUAAAUAAAUAAAUAAUAUAAUUAUUACUACUAAUUAAUAUAUUAAUAUAUUAUUAAAAAAUAUUAAUAAUUAUAAUUUUUGAAUAAAUAAUCACAAUAAUUAAUAUAUUAUUUUAAUUAAGUAAUUAAUAUUAAUAUUAAUAUUAUUAGUUAAUAUAUUUUUAUAAUAAUUUUUAAUAUAGUUAUUAUAAUUAAUUAAUUUUUUUUACAAUUAAUUAAUAUAUUAGUUAAUAAUAAUUAUGACAAUAAUCCAUUAAGUACUUUUUAGUAAUUUGUUACAAUCUAAUUCAUUCCGAUUCCGAUUUCAAGACAAAGUAAACACAUUAAUGGCAAUUUAGCUCAUUCUGAUUUUGAUUCCUACAGUUCAAGUAAACAACUUAUUUUGAUUCCUAUUACAUAUUCCCAUUCCAACCCAUUCUCAUUUCUGUCCAUUCUCAUUUCUGCCCAUUCCGAUUUUAGCUCAUUCCGAUUUCAGUUUAGUAAACGCAGUAUAAGAGUUAUCAUGAAAAUCAUACAAUUCAAUUUCCUGAAAUAUAUAUUUUAUUCACAUGUGCCAAAAGAAUAAAUAGAUAGAAAGUAAAUUUACAAUCCUCACUCCCUCACAAUUGUUAAAGUGAAUAUGCAUUACAACUGUGAACUGUCACUACUUUAGCCCUUUUUUUUUUUUCAAUUAUAGUGUGAUGGAGACAGUGAACAUUAAGGAUAAAGUGCUCUGCUGAAAGCCAAACUUCCUUUGGCUAAUUAAUUUAGAAGUAAAGCAGAGAAUAAAGUCCUAGAUGCCUUCUGAAAUUAGAAAUACAUUUUAUAUGCUUUAAUUAUGAUUAUUUGGCAGACUAAAGACCUAAAAGAUAUGUCAAAAGUAUGAAACAGAGAGAUUAAAGAAAAAAGAAAAAAAAAAAAAAACAGAGUAUUUGUGACGUAGAAUAACAAUUGGUAAAUAAAUCCUAAAUAUUUGAGUUGUUAAAAGCAAAUAUAACAGAGACGGUAAGAGAGAUGCAGAAACAGAAAACUAUUAGCUUAUCUUGAUUUUCCCACUAUAUUCAUUUUCGAUGCUUUUCAAUCGAGAUUCUUUUAAUUCUUCUGGUGUCUGCAGCCCCGGCUCUUCUUAUAAAUCUCCAUCCCACAUCUGCACUACGAACAAGUUGACUGAAAUUAAAUAAUGUUGGAGAUGAGGGGUGAGCCGUCAACUUGUUAAAAAAAACUCAUGUAUAAUAUUAUCAAUAAUAUAAAAUAUAUAAUAAUUGUUACAAAGAAUCAUAAAUUAGAAAAAUUAAUUAUUUUACAAUCUAUUUCUUAAGUAAGAUAAAUCUUGUAAUAAGUUAAGUUAUAACGUAAAAAAUAUUUUCAAUUUAUAAUCAUUUAAGAAGUCAUUUAACAAUAAAAUCUUUCUUUUGAUCAUGUGGGCAUGCCAUAGAGUAUCAUCUAUAUUCGUGAUGAUAUUAUUAUUACUCAGUAUCCUAAAAAAAACACGAUUUAACAUUUAGAGAAAAUUCCUGCCUUUUAAAAAGAACAUGUAUGCAAUAGCUAGCCAUACUUUAUUUUACCACAACAAAAUUGAUGGUGAUUAAAUCAAUUUUCUCAAUUAAAGCAAAAUUUUAAAAAUUGAUUUAAUGCACAAAUAUGAUGAGUUUUUGUAAAAAUUAGUUUUGGAAAAUAUAGUGAGAGAAAAUGGUGACGAUUAUUUUCAGAUGUGCAAAUAGCCUAAACAUAAUCUCUAAUACCAAUAUCCAUGUGCAUCUUAAUACCUUUCAUGAUAUUCUUUCAUUCAUGGCCAUUUGUUCAAGAUUUGAAUUUGAUUAUUAAAUCAUGUUCAAUAAUGUUAGAGAUCCCAACAAUUGAAUACCAACUUAAAUCCCAAUGCUAUGUGUCAUUAACAAAUGUUGUGUCAUUUAUAAUUAUUGAAUGAAUAAUUCGUUAAUUUAUUGAUAAAUAAAAAUUUAUUAAUUUAAAGAGAGAUACUUCUUCUUUUUUUGUUUUAAGAAGAGUUUUGUUGGUACAUGUACAUACUUAUAAAGAAAUAAACUUGUAAUUAUACUAUAUCUUUCUUUCUUUGUUCAGUUUGGUGGGAUAUUGUGAUAAAUCAUUGGAUUAAAAUACAUUUCUAAAUUAAAACUUGUUAAAAUCUAAUUUAUUUGGGAAACGCAUAUUAUUUGUCAGUUGUACUUCUCAACUUAGCAAGUUAUUUCUAACUUGUCAGUCUCUAUUGGUUCUCUAAAAGCUAAUAGUCUCGAAUCUCCCGCAUUUGAUAUCUUGCCAUUACUGUUGGCAUUUGUUAAGUAUAGCUGAAGCUGGUGACGUGUAUAAGCUGCUGAUGAAGCUGCUGAGUUGGCUGGCUGGUGAUGUGUAUAAACUGAAGGUGCUGAGCUGGAUUGGGUUGUUGUUCACACCAACUAAAGAUGUAACAGAUUAUCCAGCUGGCUUGUUAUGAUUGGAAGUUAGAUUAGUUUGUUAAUACAGCAAACAAUGAGCUCUGUUUUGGUAGUUAGUUUUGAGUGUAACUAUAAAUACUGGCUAACAUGUUUUCAGUGUUAAGCUUGAGUUUUAAUCAAUAAAAAUCAAUUCAGUUAAAGUUUCUUUGUUAACUUUCUUUCACUUUCUCACUUGCCAAACAACCUAUUAAUUCUAAAAUGGUAUCAGAGCUUGCACCUAUGUCAGGAUCUAAUCAUAUAGCUUCCUCAUCACUUUCAUUCAAUUUUGUUCAACCUAUAAAACUCGAUAGAUCAAACUACUUGGUGUGGAAAGCUCAAGUUAGAACAUCGAUCAUUGCUAAUGGACUUGAGAGCUUCAUCAAUGGUGAGAGUGUAUGUCCAAAAUGUUAUCUCAUUGAUUCUAUUCAAGAACUUCAAAGAUCUGGAGCUGAAACAUCACAGAAGCAGGAAAAUCCAGAGUAUAUCUUAUGGAUGAAAACUGACAAACUUCUGCAGAGCUGGAUGCUUUCGUCAAUGGUGGACAAUGUAUUAAUCAUGGUGAUCAAUUGUGAAACAUCACUUGAACUUUCGGAGAUGCUUGCUAGAAUCUUCAUGUCACAAUCCAAAGCGAGAUAUCUGCCUUUGAAGAUGCAGAUUCAAUCAACAAAUAAAGGAUCUCUCUCCAUCAGUGAUUACUUCAAAAGGAUGAAGAAAAUUGCUGAUAGCUUGGCCAUUGGAGGUAAUCCAAUUACUUCGAAUGAACUGAUUAUUCACUUGCUUACUAGAUUGGAUGAAAACUAUGAAUCCAUAGUCACAAAUAUACUUACUAGACUGGAAAAAGAGAGACUUACUGCUGAAGAGGUGUACUCUAUGUUACUUAGUCAUGAAACUAGGUUGGAAAUGAGCAAAGGAAAAUCACAUAAUGAACCUCUGCAUGAUAUGACAUCAAAUUUUGCUCAGAAAGGCCAAGGUUAUAAUACUGGUCCUGGAAGAGAUGUUGUGUGUCAAAUCUGUUACAUUCCAGGCCAUGGAGCUUAUAAGUGUAAACAUAGAUUCAAUCAAGGGUUUAUUCCUAGAAACAAAGGCUUUGGUGGUUUCAGGCCAAGAGGUGGAGGUCAGAAUUAUAGAGGAUUCCCUAGAAAUAAUCAGAAUUAUUUUGGUAGAGGUUCUGGAUACAAUAGUUCUGCUUUUGGAUCUGGAUUCAGACCUAACUUUCCCAGGCAAGCCGGACCUACUGGACCUUUCUUUGGCUAUGUUGCCUAUCAGAAUCCAGGAUUCAUGAAUCCUCAAGGUGCCUUUGACUUUCCAAGUGCAAAUGGUGAUUAUACUGGUGUUCCAACAGCAAACAUGUAUGUUGGAAAUUAUGGCAUUCCUCAUAAUGUCUCUCCCUCUGCACAAUUGGCAAACUUCAGCAAUGUAGCUGAUUCAGCCUGGUACCUUGACUCUAGAGCAACAAAUCACAUUGCUCAAGAUGCAGGUAUACUUUCUAAGUGCUCAACUUACCAUGGCCUUGAAAAACUACAUGUAGGAAAUGGUAUGGGGCUGCCUGUUCAUAAUGUUGGUUUUGUUGCUGUUAAAACCUUGACUACAACACCUAUAUACCUAAAUCAUGUUCUGCAUGUCCCUAAAAUUACUAAAAACCUUAUCAGUGUUUCCAAAUUGCUUGCUGAUAACAAUGUUUUUAUUGAGUUUUACAACCAUGUUUGUUUUGUUAAGGACAAGAAUUCAAGAAUCACAUUGCUCAAGGGGAUUGUUAGAGGAGGUCUUUAUCAAGUUUCAAGCUUAAAUACAGUCUGUGAUAACUCCAGUUCAGUGUUCCCAGUGUCAACCACUUCUGAGUUUGUUUUUACUUCAAUAAGUACAUUCCCAGCAACUCCAGUGUCUAUGUUUACUCAACUAAGUUCAUUUGAUACUAAGUUUCACUCUUGUAUGCUUGUAAAUAAUUCUCAAAUCAAUAAGAAUGUCCCUGUGGCUCACUUUGCUUCAUAUAACAAGCCUAUUGAUUAUAGUUUACUGCACAAAAGAAUGGGUCAUCCAACUACUCAUGCUUUAAAACAGAUCAUGAAAUGCCUGAACUCAAAUUUUAUUCUUCCCAAAGAUUUCACAACACAGUUCUGUGAUGCCUGUCAACUAGGCAAGUGCCAUACGCAGCAUUUUCCCUCCAUAGAAACUUCAACCACUCAGCCCCUUGAAUUACUACAUGCUGACCUUUGGGGACCAGCUCCCAUUACCUCUUCACAAGGUUACACCUACUAUCUAUCUAUCUUAGAUGACUACACUCGAUACACUUGGAUUUUUCCUCUCAUUGCCAAAUCCAAAACCUUGUCAGCCUUUAUUGAAUUCAAAAACAUGAUUGAAAACUGCCUGAACUUGAAAAUUAAAUGUUUACAAACUGAUUGGGGUGGAGAAUUCAGGCCUUUUGUGUCAUAUCUUUCUAACCAGGGUAUACAAUUUUGACAUCCCUGCCCUUAUAUCCAUCAUCAACAUAUUACCUGAGAUUGGGAUUCAUUAAAAUCCUCAAUGUAAUCGGUGGAACGAAUGGAUUUCUUCUGUUCACCAAUCCACCAAAAUUUCUGUAAUUAAAUUCAAGAGUCAAGAUCUAUGCUUAUAAUCUAUUCAACAGCUAAUAUUCUAUUUUAUAUUUACUUAAAUAUGAAGAGCUAUGCUUGUCAUUAACUUCAAAUGUGAUCGAAGCAGCCUUACAUCUGUAUAUUACGUAUUCCCAACUUUUUUUUGACUUCAUUUACUUUCUUUUCAUGUUAUUUACUCUUUUUUCCCCCUCUCUGACAAUUGAGGUAGGGGGUCAAACUUGAAAGUAUCUUAAAAUCAAACAAUUUUUUUUUUAAGAUAGCUGCUAAUAUGCUCUAUUAGACAAUGAUAAGUAAUAACCUAGUUGUUUGCAUUAGAAAUGAUAUUUUUUGUGGUGCUGAUAAAGAGGUUGAUUAUGAUUCAACAAUUUAAAAUAUGAAAACAUGUGGAAGACGGCCGCAAUUAAAUUGAUUGUAUGAAAAUAUUUCAAUGAAAUUUUAAAAAUUUAGUACUUGUUAUCUUAUCGAGAGUUUUUUAAAUUUUUCUACUUGAACUUGACUGCUUUUGUAUUGAAUUCCUAGCGUUGCCAUUGCUUCUACUCAAAAGCCAUUUAGUUACUCAUGAAUUGUUGUUCAUAAUAGCAAUUUGAUUGAAAGUGCGGCUGCACUAAUUUUCUAGAUGAAUUUUUUCCUACAUGCUUGUUCUCGUAUGACCCAAAAUCCUGCUACAUCAGUUGUAUUAGAAAUUAAUCAACUGGGUUACAAUUAUGCAUCCCCACCAAUAUUUAAGCAAUUUAAUUACAGAAACAUUUCUUGAGGAAAGAAACUCAUAUCGCCACUAGGCUUUUAAUGAGGCUCAUUUUUAUGAAUCUGGAUGGCAUUAGAUAUCUCUCCGAAUAUUGGUGGGAGUAGAUAUGCUACAAAGUGUAUGUACGUUGACUCUCAAUAAAUACAAACGAUUCUCUGAUCUGAUUCAAAACAUCAGUACAUGCAUCAUUUUAAUGAGAAAGAAUAUUCUAAGAACGAAAUUGAAGGUGCAAUCAGCAGCUAAAAUGAAGCCAGAAAUGUACACGCAUGAGGAAGUUUUCCAAGAAGAUUGAUAUUUCUUUGACUAGCAAACCAUACAAGUCCAAAGCUAGCUAAACCAUACCUGCAAGUCGGGGGUUUAAAUGGAGUACUUCUAAGCAUAAAACAUUGAUUAAAACAGAAUACACACAUACAUACCAGCAAAUUCAAUAUAGCAAAAGGAGUGCAAAAGUUCAAGUUUGUAGACAACAUUGCAACCAUGGCAUGUUUAUAGCAAAUCCUCGAAAUCUGCUAAAUAAAACAAUGCCCUGUCUCAUGAAUCAAUGCUGAAUUAAAAUUGAAACUGAAAGUCUGGCUGGCGGUGUUUCCCUCUCCAAUUUUGCCUACAUAAGUGAAAAUAAGAAUAAUAAAUGGAAAUCUGCUUUUACAGUUCUUAUUAGAUAGAUAUAAAGGGAUCUUUCUUUGUUUCUCUGCUGUAAUUUGUGGCUAUGCCACUCUGUUUUUCCAGUCAAGCUGAGUCUACGUUGAGACAUAAUUUUGACAUCAGAAGCAACCUCAAUUAGUUUGGCAUUUUCAUGACCUCCUUGAAGGUUUUAUGAUAAACAUAAAUCCACUGAGAAAGUGGGAAAAAAAGAAAAUGCAUAUAAAAGUAUGAGUUAUCAGAUAAGAUUAAAACUCACCCAAUUCAAUCCAUCAGAUUCCGUAAGGAUAUAACUGGAUGUCAUACCGCCACUCCAUAUCCUCGAAAGUCCGUAGUCCUUGUCUCAACUGUGUCUGGGGCCAGUGUAAGUCCAAUUUGCGCAAGCUCUUUAUGCACCACAGCUCUUCUGGAAGCUUUCUCAAGUAAGCACAUGGGUUGACAAUUAAGCUUUCAAGUUUCGGCAUUGCUCCAGCCGCCAUCGUCCACUCAUCUAGCCAAUACAUUGAUUUCAGGUGCAAAACCUUAAGUUCGGGAAAGCUACUCAAGCCAACACAAGCAAGCUUUCUUCCUAAAUACGAGUUCUGCUUCAGUUUCAGCACUCGAAGGCGUGGAAGAUUUUCCAGAAUUGGCAUGGGAUCCUCCAUUAGCUCAGUAUUUGAUAAGCUCAGUUGGAUCAGACUUGGGGGAAAUUGGUAUUCAGACAGGACCAUCCGUGAGGGCUUGCUCUCAUUCACCAGCUUCAAGCAUUCAAGUUUGUGGAGUUCGCAAAGGCUUUUGGAAACCCCAGAUUGAUAGUAACUCAAAUCUCCAGAUAUCCGAAGAGUCCGAACACUAGGUAGUCUGCCCAAUAUAUCAGGAGUACAACUACUAGGGUUUAAAGCUGAUAUGAAAAUGAGAUUUUUCAGAGAGCUAGAAUAAUUUUUUGGAGGUGCGGGCAGAGUGAUGCAACCGAAGUUUAGAUGCAUGAGUUUUUGCAUCAUCCAAAUAUCCUCUGGUGACUGAUCUAUGUAGCUAGAUGGCAUUUCUAGUGUUUCAAGGUUUAAAAGGGUGCAUAGCAGUGAAGGAAGGCAUUUGAGCGAAGGGAUAUUCAAUUUCAAAUACUUCAAAAGAUAUAAAUUUUCUAAUCCGGGUGGAUAUUGGUCCAGGACUGCAGAACCCAUGUUCAAUACCCGAAGGUAUUUGAACCUUUUAAAAAAAUUCUCGCAAUCUUUCGGAUUAAGAUGAUUGCUUUUUGAACUGUGAUUCAGAAAAGAUUGGAGACACAUGUCAGAAUGUUCUAAAGAAAAGAACUCAAUCAGAUCAUCGUCAAUGACGCACCGUUUAACAUUUGCCACUGAUUCCUCUUCCACGUCAUGCAUCCAGACAAAUCCCGUCUUCAUUGCCACAAUAUACAAUGAAGUGUAUACAAAACUUGGAACAUAACACGCUUUAAUUGUGCCUCUGGCUCUUCUCUUACUCACUUGAAUGAAGCCGCGAUGGAUUAGUUCUUUCAAGUAAUGUUCGGCAGUUUCUUCACCGUUGUAUGGUAUGAAACCUUCAGCUACCCACAACUGAUAUAAUUGCUCCGUAGAUAUCUCAAUACUUGGAGGGAAGACAUACAAAUAGAUGCAGCAGACUUUCAAGUGAAAAGGCAACUCCAUCACAGAAAAAAUUUGUCUCCAAACUGUCAGAACCACUUCGCCUUGAAGAUAAUUUUCUAAUGGCAUACUUCCAUAGUGUAGGAUGAAAAAUUGCCAGGCCUCAUGCUUUAAUCUGAUCAAUGGUCCUCCAAAGAGCACUGAAUCACGCCGAAUCUUCUCUUCAUUUUCCAUUUCCAACGACGCAAUGAGGCCCGGAUCAGUGACUGUUAUCAAUACUCUGCUUCCAUUCUCAUCACCAGGAAGAAGUUCUUCGAGAUCACUCCAUAUCUCACUGUUAUCGAAGACAUCAUCAAGCAAAAUAAAGUACUUCUUGUUUGUUAGGUAAUCUCGAAGAAUAGAUUUCUUCAAUUGAUAAUCUUCACCGAUAAUUACACUAACCCGAGAUGGAGGCAUCACAGACUUGAUUAUGUCAUCCAACAUCUUGCCAAAAUCAUAGAAUAUAGAAACCCUGACCCAAGCAAGACAGUCAAAAUAGAACUUGACAUGGUUAUUAUUGUAAGUAUCUUCUGCAAAAGCAGUCUUAUCGAAGCCACUGCUGUCGAGAAUUGUAACCACUGCAAGCCGAGGGCGUCCUUCAAUCAAUAAAUCAAACAACUCCUCCCUGCCCCUUUCAAAUUCAUUGAUAUCAAGCCGAGGUUGUCCCUCACUCAAUAGGUGAAUGAUUUCGUUACUUUUUUUACUGAUAUCAAAACCAUUGUCGCCGGGUGGAAGUUGUUGCAUCCGAUUACUAAUAUCAAUGAUUUUACUGUGGAGACCAGCAAGAAGAGCCAUAUUAGUACUGCUUUCACUUUCGUUUUCACUGUUUUGCUGCUGCAUAAUGUUGAUGAAGAAUGUGUCAAUGGCUUCCUCAGAUUCAUGGACAAAGUCAUUGAUGUCCUUCACAAUGCCCAAAAGGUCCGCUCUUUCAACUUCUUCUUCAUCGCUUUCUUCUAAGUCCAACAGUUGCAAAAAAGGCAAAGAUAUUUUGGAGUCAUCGAAUUCUUCUCUAAUGAGUUGAAAGAAAUGCCGAGCCAUGUCAGCUUCAUAUUUUCCCAGCAGGGUAGUAGCAAUAAUUUCGGACUCCGUAAGAAGGUUUUGAAAAAGUGGGGUUAAAUUUGUUGAAUCAGGCAGCGUUAACGGGCCUUCUUCACCUGCUAACACCCUUUUCAACCUCUCACAAAACAGUCGGAGGUGGAAUUCCAGCAUAUCUCCUUCUCUCCGUAGCACUCAGAGGUAUAGCUGAAAGAUUAAACACCAUGGAAGAAUUUGAAAGGAAAAUGCCAAGACAUUAUUGCUCAUUUUUUAACUCAAAAGAUUGAUACGCGUUCAUUUAGAGAAAAGUCCAAGACGCGUGCCUUUUGAAAAGAACAGGUAUCCCAAUCGGUAUCCGACCGAUAUCUUAUUAAAUUACAACCAUGACAUAAUUGAUGGUGCUUAAAUCAAUUGUUUCUUUUUUAAUUUAAAGAAUUUUUCAUUAAAAAAAUAUUUUAAUAUCAAAUUGCUUUCAGUGGCGUAACUGCCUCAAGCCCAGUAACAGGACUAAUUAAAAAUUUUACAAUUUUUGGGCAUGGAAAUAGUAGUAUUAAACAUUAGAAAGGUAAGGUCGUUCUGUUAAAGAAUUGAUAUUGACAUAAUUUUUUUUGGUUUUCGGGGGAAAAAAAAUUGUUGACAAGCAAGAAAAUAUUUUUAUAUUUUAUAAUUUAUUAUACAUAUUUUAUCUUAUUAAAGUAAUUUUAAUAAUAAAUAGAAACAUAAUAUUACGAUAAAUAAAUUAAAGUUGAACUUAUUUUGAAUAUUAUAAAAAAUAAUUUUAAUAUUAUUAAUAGGAAGACAUUGUAUUAAUUUUAAACUUUUUUAACCCAAAGGUUUAUUUAAAAUCUUUAUUAGAAAUACAAAUAUAAAAUUAAAUAUCAUAAUUUAAAAUUUUUAAUAUUAUUUUAAGUAUUAAAAAUAUUUUAAUGUUAUUAGUCUACUACAUAGAUCAUAUUACUUAUAUAAUAUUUGUAUUAUUAAAAAUUGUUAAAAUCAAAUUUUUAGUUAGUAUAUUCAUGAGCUAUUAUGGUUAAAAAAAAAAAGACCUUAUUAUUACUUUUUUAAAAAUUGAGGGCCUGCGUGAUAAUUUUUUCAAAAAGAAAAUGCUUGGUAUGUAGGAGGGGUACAGAAACAGGACUCCCAAAAUCUCUCACCCUUUUUUAAUUAAAAAAAAAAAUUAAAAUAUCAAUAAAAAGUAAUAAAGAAAAUAGAAUUUUAUCUGCUCCUUACUCCAUUUUUGCAACUCUCUCACCAUCCCUAUCGAGCAGCCCUCUCUCUCACUGUCUCACUCACACAGUCCUUUUCACGAUUUGAAAUUCUUUGGCCCUCUGCAUUACAAGAAAUUAACGCUUUGGUUCUCCCAAGGGUAGAUUGGUUUUAUUGGGAAGCUAUUAAUUUUUUUUUUUUUUGAAUACUGAUUAAUCAUCAGAUUACUGCAUUACACAGAUAUUUACAACAACUGCUAUUGUAGCAGAGAUAUUAUACUGAUAUUUACAAUCAGAUAUACAUAAUUGGGACUUAUAUUAUGACAUUGAAUUCUAUGAAGUACAUGCCCAAACAAAUAACCCCUCACAGGAGAGGGAUGUCCAUACUCCACUCGCAUUUCGCAAGGGAGAAUGAUUUUUUGGAAGUAUAAAGAACAUUUAGCCCCCACAAUACUUUUGUGGGGGCUAGAACCGCUGCAGCAUUGUGAGGGCAGCAGCCCACCACUUCGGCCUUGGCCGAAGUGGCGGGAAGCUAUUAAUUAGAAGGAGGAAAAAGGACUAUAUUUAGAAUAUGAUUUGUUGGAGAAUCUCAGAGUUAGUCAAUUUUCAAGCCACACUUUCAAUAGCCAAUUGAUUUAGUAACCAUUAAUUACUUUAAUUUCCAUAAAUUGUAAUGACAGUGCAAAUGCAUCUGGUUGUGAUAGCUAAGGGUUAGCUUGAAGAAUUAAAUUUCAUAAGAUAUUACUGGAAAAUGCUUUGCAGAUAACGUGCUGCUUCCUUUGCUAGACUACAAUUUCAAAAAUCUCACGAGUUUUCCAUUGUUGUCACAAACCGAGAAAUUAUAAAAUACAUGGCCUGGUUCUUUGGCAAUGACCAUCUCAUCGUCGGCGGUCGUGUCGUCAUUGUCACUGUUCUUGCUCGACCGAGACAGUGAGAGAGAGGUUUGUUAGAUGGAGUUAGUGAGAGAGAGUUGUAAAGAUGGAAUGAUGAUAAAAGGAUUCUAUUUGUUUUUAUUGUUUUUUAUUAAUAUUUUAAUUUUUUAAAUUAAAAUGUGCUGCCGUUUCUCUAGCCUUUUUAGCUGCUUAACUUAACAGUAUUCUUUUCAAAAUUUAAGAAUGUAGUAGGUGUCCUUUUCUCUAAUAAUUUAUUUCAUUUUUAGGGAAUCCAAUGAGAAAUAUGAUAAAAGAACGUCAAUUACUUGUCGUUUUCAAUUUUUUCUAUAAGCUAUUUAUUUUGAGCAUUAGUGAUCUUGUCUGGACUACCCCAAUUAUUGACGUAACUCCAGUGGCUGCAUCCACUGGAAAAAGUGGAUGAGACCAUUUUUUUUUUCAUAAAGGUAACUACUCCAAUUAUUGACAUAAUUGAUGGUGCUUAAAUCAAUUUUUUCUUUCUUUUUUUUAAUUUAAAGAAUUUUGCUUUAAAAAAUAAUUAAUAUCAAAAUGCCUUCAAUGUUGUUACCGCCACAAGCCCAGUUAGAGGACUCAUUAAAAAUUUUAGAAUUUUUAGGCCUGGAAAGCAUAGUAUUAAACAUCAGAAAGCAAAGGUUGUUAUGUCGAAGAAUUGAUGUCGACAAAAUUUUAAUUUUGUUUUCGGAAAAAAAAAAAAAUUUUGUUGACAAGCAAGAAAAUAUUUUUUAUACUUUACAAUCUGCUAUACAUAUUUUAUCAUAUUAAAGUAAUUUUAAUAAUAUAUGGAAACAUAAUAUUAUAAUAAAUAAAUUAAAAUUACUUUGUAUUAUUGAAUAUUACAAAAAGAUAAUUUUAAUAUUAUUAAUAGGAAAACAUUUUUUAAUUGUAAAAUCUUUUUAAUACAAAAAUUCGUUUAAAAUCUUUAUAAUAAAUACAAAUAUAAAAUUAAAAAAUAUCAUAAUUUAAAAUUUUUAAUAUUAUUUAAAUAUUAAAAAUACUUUAAUGUUAUUAGUCUACUACAUAAAAUAUAUUAUUUAUAUUAUAUUCGUAUUGAUUAAAACGUUUUAAAGUCAAAUUUUUAAUUAGUGUAUUCAAAGGUACAAAAGAUUUAAGUAUUAUUUUUUAAAAAUUUCAAGAUACGAAUGAUAAUUUUUUCAAAUUUUAAAGAUGUAAAAAUCUUUUUUUCUGAUAAUUUAUUUCACUUUUGAGAGAAUCCGAAAACGUUAAUUUAACAUUCUUUACCUUUGUAAAAAAAGUGAAAAUCAAGAACUAUUCAAUUUUGUUUUUAUUUGUAAUUCAAAAACUUUAUUCAUUUUCGAUGCUUUUCAAAAGAGAUUCCUUUAAAUGUCUGCAGCUCCUGCUUUUCUCAUAAAUCUCCAUCCCACAUCUACACUAUCAAGUAUCAAACAAGUUGAUGGAAAUUCUUAUAAAAAAAAAAAAAAAAUUGAUGGAAAUUGAUCAAUUGCUUUUUGAAGUGGACCCAUUGAGUCAUGUUCAUUUCUGGUCAUUGUCUACUCUUUCUAUCAGCCAUUUAUUUUGACCAUUUGCGAUCUUAUCUGGACCUACUCCAAUUAUUGUUGUAACUCCGAUGGUUGUAUCUACAGUGGAAUGUAAGAUAGUGAAAGCUCUUUCUUUGAGAAAAUAGAGGGACCUUUCUCUGUUUCUCCGUUGCAACGUGCUCGUAUAAAUUUCUCUACCUUACAGUUUAUACGGUCUUGCUGUUAAUGAAUUCGCUGAGGCAUUAUUGAUCCAAUCUGAGUGAAGUAAUUGUGGGUGAAAAAUAAAUAAAGGAUAUGAGAACGUAGCUGAAGUGCUGAAGGGGCUAUUAAAGAAGAGUGUCACUUGAUCACAAUCACAUUGAUGCACAACUCACUCGUGGCAAAUUUCGACUAUACGUUCUGCAAAUUCAGCCAAACCAUACAUGCAUGAACAAAACUAAAAUGUAGUUCUAAUCACAACUGCAGUUAUGAUGUUUACCUCUCUGAUUUUUCUCCAAAACAAAUUCAGUUCAAAACAAUAAUCAAAAUAGCCACAUUUUGUUCGUCAAAAUAAAUGCCCAAAUUUUCAAUUAACAAAUCAUCUUCUCUAAACUAAAAAGCCCACAUCUCUAAAAUCAAUCUACAUAAUGUUGGAGAUGAGGGUUGAAUUGUUAACUCAGUAAAAAAAAAAAAACUCAUGCAUAAGAUUACUAAUAAUAUAAAUUAUAUAUUAAUCAUUAUAAAGAAUCAUAAAUUAGAAAAAUUAAUCAUUUUAUAAUUUAUUACACAAGUAAGAUAAAUCUCAUAAUAAGUUAUAACAUAAAAAACGUUAUCAAUAUAUAAUCAUUUAAGAAGUCAUUUAACAAUAAAAUCGUUCUUUGAUCAGUUGGCCAUGUCACAUAGUAUCAUCUAUAUUUAUGGUGAUACUAUUAUUACUCAGUAUUCUCAAAAAACAUGAUUUAACAUUUAGAGGAAAUUCUUGCCUUAAAAAAAAAACAUGUAUGCAACAGCUACCCAUGCUUUAUCUUACCAUGACAAAUAUUUUCUCAAUGAAAGAAAUUUUUUAAAAAAUUGAUUUAAUGCACAAAUAUGAUGAUUUUUGCAAAAAUUAGUUUUGGAAAACAUAGUGAGAGAAAAUAGUGACGAUUAUUGUUUAAAUGUAUAAAUAGCCUAAACAUAAUCCUUAAUACCAAUAUCCAUAUGCAUCUUAUCAUCUUUCAUGAUAUUCUUUCAUUUAUGUCCAUUGGUUCAAGAUUUGAAUUUGAUCAUUAAAUCAUGUUCAAUAAUAUUAGAGAUUCCAACAAUUGAGUACCAACUUAAAUCCCAAUGUUAUGUGUCAUUGACCAAUUUUGUGUCAUUGACCAAUUUUGUUAUUAACUAGGUGAUGAAUUUCUAGUUGAUAAAAUCACUUAAAAAUAUCUUAAAAAUUAGACAAUAGUUUGCUUAAUUUUUCCAAGUUAACUGCUCAAGAUGCUCUAUUAGAAAUGAUAACCUAAUUAUAUACAUAAAAAAUGAUGGAAAUUGAACAAUUGCUUUUUGAAGUGGACCCAUUGAGUUAUGUUCAUUACUGGUCAUUGUCUAUUCUUUCUAAGAGCCACUUGUUUUGAGCAUUAGCAAUCCUAUCUGGACUACUCCAAUUAGGAUAGUGUUAGUUCUUUUUUGAGAAUUUCUUUAUUUGUUUCUCCGUUGCAGCGUAUUAGUAUAAAUUUCUUUACCUUACAGUUCCUACAGUCUUCCUGUUAAUGAAUUCGCUGAGGCAUUAUUGAUCCAAUCUCGGUGAAGUAAUUGUGGGUGAAAAAAAAAAAAAAGGAUAAGAGAACGUAGCUCAAGUGCUGAAUUGACUAUUAAAGAAGAGCGUCACCUGAUCACAAUCACAUUGAUGCACAACUCACUCGAGGCAAAUUUCAUCUAUAAAUAAAAGAUCCCUUACUAUUCUCUUAACCCUGAGUUUUGAGAUAGAAAUUUCCCGAACUCCAACCCCACAUCCACAGACAAGUUGAUUGAAACAAUUGCUCUUGUAAUUAAGAGGAUGGGUUAGGGUUCAGUUCUUAUCAUUGUCUGUUAUUUCUUUGAAUCAUUAUCUUAAUUAAUUACAUCAAUUGUUUCUUUUUUUUAAUUUAAAGAAUUUUUCUUUAAAAAAAUAUAUUUUAAUAUCAAAAUGCCUUAAAUGGUAUUACUGCCGCAAUCCCAGUAACAGGAUUAAUUAAAAAUUUUAGAAUUUUUGGGCAUGGAAAGAGUAGUAUUAAAUAUCAGAAAGCUAAGGUUGUUCUGUCAAAGAAUUCAUAUUGGCAUAAUUUUAUUUUUGCUUUCGAGUAAAAAAAUAUAUAUAUAUAUAUUUGUUGACAAGCAAAAUACUGUUUUUAUAUUUUACAAUCAGUUAUACAUAUUUUAUCAUAUUAAAGUAAUUUUAAUAAUAAAUGGAAACAUAACAUUACAAUAAAUCAAUUAAAGUUUAAAUUAUUUGGAAAAUUAUAAAAAAUAAUUUUAAUAUUAUUUAUAGGAAGAUAUUUUGUUUAUUGUAAAAUCUUUUUAACCCAAAGGUUUAUUUAAAAUUGUUAUAAUAAAUAAAAUAUAAAAACAAAAUAAAUAUCAUAAUUUAAAAUUUUAAUAUUAUUUUAAAUAUUAAAAAUACUUUAAUGCUAUUAGUCUACUACAAAGGUUAUAUUACUUAUAUUAUAUUUGUAUAAAUUAAAACUUUUAAAGUUAAAUUUUUAAUUACUAUAUUGAAAAGGUAUUAUGGUUAAAAUAUGUUUUGGCAUUUCUUUUUAAAAAUUUGAGGGUCUGCAUGACAAUUUGUCCAAAUCCUAGAGGUAUAGGUGUCUUUUUUUUUCGAUAAUUCAUUUUACUUUUGAGGGAAUCCGAUGAGAAAUAAGAUAAGAGAAACGUCAAUUUAACGUUCUCUAUGGAAAACCAAGAACUAUUCAAUUUUGUAUUUUUUGUUUGUAAAACGAAAAACAGUUUGCCAAAAAAGGUACCAAACAUAUCCUUAAUGUCUCACAUGAUUUCUUAUUAAGUCCAUACUCGAUAUAUUUAUACAUUUUAGGUAUUUUAGUUAUAAAAGAAGUUGGUCCUCCCUCUAUUUAUAAAAGGUAACUUUAUUUCGAGAUUACCACUAAAGUCUUACAAAGAAUUAGUGUAAUGUUAACAGAGAGUAACAUAGUUUUCCAUUACCAUUUUGAAAAUAGAAAGAUAUGGAUGUGUGCAUUUAAUGGUGUGUUUACUUACCGGAUUGAGGAAUCAGAAUCUGGAAUUAGAAUGAUUGAUGGUGUUUACUUCGCAAAUAUGGAGCAGGAAUCGGAACUGGAAUGGUGGGGCCCACCACUAUUUGGGAAUGAGAGAUUGAUUCCCAUGGGGGAAGGUGGGAACGAGUCUCCCAUUCCCUGGACUGACCAUUUUGCCCUCCCUCAAAAUUAAAAAUGCCUACUUUGUCCUCUUUUAUAAUUAAUUAAUAUAUAAAUAUUUUAAUAACUAUAAUUAUUAAAAAUUAUAGUUCUUGAAUAAAUAAUCACAAUAAUUAAUUUAUUAUUUUUAUUUUUAUUUUAAUUAAUUAAUAUACUAUUAUAAUAAUUAUAAAUAUAAUUAAUUUAUAUAUUAUUAUUAUUAUUAAUGAAUUAAUAUAAUUAUUACUAUUAAUUAAUAUAUUAAUAUAUUAUUAAAAAUAAUAUAUUAAUAAUUAUUGUUCGUGAACAAAUAAUCACAAUAAUUAAUAUACUAUUAUUUUAAUUAAUUAAUAUAAUUAAUUUAUAUAUUAUUAUUAUUAUUAAUGAAUUAAUAUAAUUAUUACUAUUAAUUAAUAUAUUAAUAUAUUAUUAAAAAUAAUAUAUUAAUAAUUAUUGUUCGUGAACAAAUAAUCACAAUAAUUAAUAUACUAUUAUUUUAAUUAAUUAAUAUACUAUUAUAAUAAUUAUUAAUAUAAUUACUAUAAUUAAUUCAUAUAUUAUUAUAAUUAAUUAAUUAAAUUAAUAUUAUUAAAUAAAUAAAUAAUAUAAUUAUUACUACUAAUUAGUAUAUUAAUAUAUUAUUAAAAAUAAUUAUAAUUUUUGAAUAAAUAAUCACAAUAAUUAAUAUAUUAUUUUAAUUAAGUAAUUAAUAUUAAUAUUAUUAGUUAAUAUAUUUUUAUAAUAAUUUUUAAUAUAGUUAUUAUAAUUAAUUAAAUUUUGUUACAAUUAAUUAAUAUAUUAGUUAAUAAUAAUUAUGACAAUAAUCCACUAAGUAUUUUUGAGUAAUUUGUUACAAUCUAAUUCAUUUUGAUUCCGAUUUCAAGACAAAGUAAACACAUUAAUGACAAUCUAGCUCAUUCCGAUUUCGAUUCCUACAGUUCAAGUAAACAACUUAUUUUGAUUUUCAUUACCUAUUUACAUUCCAGCCCAUUCUCAUUUCUUCCCAUUCUCAUUUCUGCCAAUUCCAAUUCCAGCUCAUUCCGAUUCCAGUUUAGUAAACGCAGCAUAAGAGUUAUCAUGAAAAUCAUACAAUUCAAUUUCCUGAAAUAUAUAUUUUAUUCACAUGUGCCAAAAGAAUAAAUAGAUAGAAAGUAAAUUUACAAUCCUCACUCCCUCACAAUUGUUAAAGUGAAUAUGCAUUACAACUGUGAACUGUCACUACUUUAGCCCCUUUUUUUUUUUCAAUUAUAGUGUGAUGGAGACAGUGAACAUCAAGGAUAAAGUGCUCUGCUGAAAGCGGAACUUCCUCUGGCUAAUUAAUUUGGAAGUAAAACAGAGAAUAAAGUCCUACAUGCCUUCUGAAAUUAGAAAUACAUUUUAUAUGCUUUAAUUAUGAUUAUUUGGUAGACUAUUGACCAAAAGACAUGUUAAAGUAUAAAACAGAGCGAUUAAAGAAAAAAAAAGGAGUGUUUGUGACGUAGAAUAACAAUUUGUAAGUAAAGUCCUAAUUUGAGUUGUCAAAAAGCAAAUAUAACAGGGAAGGUAAGAGGGAUGCAGAAACAGAAAACUAUUAGCUUAUCUUGAUUUUCCCACUAUAUUCAUUUUCGAUGCUUUUCAAACGAGAUUCUUUUAAUCCUUCUGGCGUCUGCAGCCCCUGGUCUUCUUAUAAAUUUCCAUCCCACAUCUGCACUAGGAACAAGUUGAUUGAAAUUAAAUAACAUUGGAGAUGACGGACAGAUGAGCCGUCAACUUGGUAAAAAAACUAUGUUAAUAUUGUUAAUAAUAAAAAAAAAUAUAAUAAUCAUUACAAAGAAUCAUAAAUUAGAAAAAUUAAUUAUUUUACAAUCUAUUUCGUAAGUAAGAUAAAUCUUGUAAUAAGUUAAGUUAUAACGUAAAAAAUAUUUUCAAUUUAUAAUCAUUUAAGAACUCAUUUAACAAUAAAAUCUUUCUUUUGAUCAAUUGGUCAUGCCACAGAGUAUCAUCUAUAUUCGUGGUGAUAUUAUUAUUACUCCGUAUUCUCAAAAAACACGAUUUAACAUUUAGAGAAAAUUCCUACCUUUUAAAAAGAACAUGUAUGCAACAGCUACCCAUACUUUAUCUUACCACGACAAAACUAAUGGUGACUAAAUCAAUUUUCUCGAAUAAAGCAAAAUUUCUUAAAAUUAAUUUAAUAUACAAAUAUGAUGACAUUUUGCAAAAAUUAGUUUUGGAAAAUAUAGUGACAAAAAAUAGUAAUGAUUAUUGUUUAGAUGUGUAAAUAGCCUAAACAUGAUCCCUAAUACCAAUAUCCACGUACAUCUUAACACCUUUCGUGAUAUUCUUUCAUUCAUGGUCACUGGUUCAAGAUUUGAAUUUGAUCAUUAAAUCAUGUUCAAUAAUAUUAGAGAUCCCAACAAUUAAGUACCAACUUAAAUCCUAAUGCUAUGUGUCAUUGACAAAUGUUGUGUCAUUUUUUGUUAACUGAGUGAUGAAUUUCUAGUUGAUAAAAUUACUUAAAAAUAUCUUAAAAAUCAGACAAUAGUUUGCUUAAUUUUUUGAAGCUAACUGCUCAAGAUGCUCUAUUAGAAAUGAUAACCUAAUUAUAUACAUAAAAAAUGAUGUAUUUUUUGCGGUGUUGAUAGUGAGAUUAUCAUUCAACAUGUUAAAAUAUGAAAACAUAUGGAAGAAGGUUGUAAAUUGAUUGAAUGAAAAUAUUUCAGUGAAGUCUAAAAAAUUUGGUACUUGUUAUCUUAUCGAAAGUUUUCUAAAUUACAUUCGUGGCACUGCCACUGCUUCCAUGUGAAGGUCAUUAAAAUUUGUGUUAGUUACCUAUAUGUUGAAUAAUAAUUUUAUUCAUGAAUUGUUGCUCAAUAUAGCAGUUUCUAGAUGAAUUUUCCUACAUGUUUGUCCUCAUAUGACCUAGAAUGCUGCUAUAUCAAUUGUAUUGGAAAUUAUUCAAGUGGGUUUGUGCUCUAUACCCCCACCAAAAUUUAAGCAAUCUACAGAACAUUCCUUGUGGAAAGAAACUUAUUUCGCUACUAGGUGGGAGUAGAUUUCUAAGCUAAUGCUCGGCAGAUCUCUAGGCUAUACUAAAAAGUGUAUGCACUUUGACUCUCAAUAUAUACGAGUGAUUCUAUGAUGACUGAAAACAUCAGUACAUGCAUGAUUUUAUAAGAAAGAAUAUUCUAAAAUUAUUUAUGUAUCACCAUUUGUAGUUGUACCCUCUCGAAUGAAGGUGCAAUCAGCAACUAAAAUGAAGCCCGAAAUGUACACGCGUGAGGCAGUUUUUCUAGAAGAUUGAUACUUCUCAAACUAGCAAACCGUACAAGUCCAAAGCUAGAAAAGGAGUGCUUCUAAGCAGAAAACAUUGAUUAAAACAGAAUACACACACACAUACCAGUAAAUUCAAAAUAGAAAAAGGAGUUCAACUGUUCAAGUUUGUGGACAAUAUUGCAACCGUGGCAUAUUUAUAGCAAAUCCUUGAAAUCUGCUAAAUAAACAAUGCCCUGUCUCAUGAAUCAAAGCCGAAUUAAAAUUGAAAUUGAAAGUCCGGCUGGUGUUGUUUCCCUCUCCAGUUUUGCCCACAUAAGUGAAGGGAAAUGAGAAUCAUAAAUUAAAAUCUGCUUUUACAGUUUUUUAUUAGAUAGAUAUAAAGGGAUCUUUUUUGUUUCUCUGCUGCAAUUUGUGGCUAUCCCACUCUGUUUUGCCACUCAAGCUUAGUCUACGUUGAGACAUAAUUUUGACAUCAGAAGCAACCUCAAUUAGUUUGGCAUUUUUAUGACCUCCUUGUACGUUUUACGAUAAACAUAAAUCUACUGAGAAAGUGUGAAAAAAAGAAAAUGCAUAUAAAAGUAUGAGUUAUCAGACAUGAUUAAAACUCACCCAAUUCAAUCCAUUAGAUUCCGUAAGGAUAUAACUGGAUGUCAUACCGCCACUCCAUAUCCUCGAAAGUCCGUAGUCUUUGUCUCAACUCUGUCUGAGGCCAAUGUAAAUCCAAUUUGCGCAAGCUCUUUAUGCACCACAGCUCUUCUGGAAGCUUUCUCAAGUAAGCACAUGGGUUGACAAUUAAGCUUUCAAGUUUUGGCAUUGCUCCAGCCCCCAUCGUCCACUCAUCUAGCCAAUACAUUGAUUUCAGGUGCAAAACCCUAAGUUCCAGAAAGCAACCAGAGCCAACGCAGGCCAGCUUUCUUCCUAAAUACGAGUUCUGUUUCAGUUUCAGCACUUGAAGGCUUGGAAGCUUUUCCAGCAUUGGCAUGGGAUCCUCCAUUAGCUCAGUAUUCGAUAAGCUCAGAUGGCUCAGACUUGGAGGAAAUUGGUAUUCAGACAGGACAAUCCGUGAGCGCUUGCUCUCAUUCACCAGCUUCAAGCAUUCAAGUUUGUGGAGUUCGCAUAGGCUUUUGGAAACCCCAGAGUGAUAGCAACUCAAAUCUCCAGAUAUCCGAAGAGUUUGAACAUUAGGCAGUCUGCCCAAUAUAUCUGGAGUACAACUACUAGGGUGUAAGGCUGAUAUGAAAAUGAGAUUUUUCAGAGAGCUGCAAUAAUUUUUUGGAGGUGCAGGCAGAGUGAUGGAACCGAAGUUUAGAUGCAUGAGUUUUUGCAUCAUCCAAAUAUCCUCUGGUGAAUGAUCUAUGUAGCUUGAUGGCAUUUGUAGUGUUUGAAGGUUUAAAAGGGUGCAUAGCAUUGAAGGAAGGCAUUUGAGCGAAGGGAUAUUCAAUUUCAAAUACUUCAAAAGGAAUAAAUUUUCUAAUCCGGGUGGAAAUUGGUCGAGAACUGCAGAACCGAAGUUCAGUACCCGAAGGUGUUUGAACUUUUUACAAAAAUUCUCGCAAUCUAUAAGAGCGAGAUGAUCGCUUUCUGAACUGUGAUUCAGAAAAGAUUGGAGAUACAUGUCAGAAUAUUCUAAAGAAAGGAACUCAAUCAGAUCUUCCAAAAUGAAGCACCGUUUAACAUUUGCCAGUGAUUCCUCUUCCAUGUCAGGCGUCCAGACAAAUCUCGUCUUCUCUACUACCAAAGCCAAUAACGUAUAUACAAAACUUGGAACAUAACACGCUUUAAUUGUGCCGCCGGCGCUUCUCUUACUCACUUGAAUGAAGCCGCGAUGGAUUAGUUCUUUCAAGUAAUGUUCGGCAGUUUCUUCACCGUUGUAUGGUAUGAAACCUUCAGCUACCCACAACUGAUAUAAUUGCCUCGUUGAUAUCUCAUUGCAUGAAAGGAAGACACACAAAUAGAUGCAGCAGAUUUUCAAGUGAAAAGGUAACUCCAUCACAGAAAAAAGUUGUCUCCAAACUGUCGGAAUCGUUUCGCCUUGAAGAUAAUUUUCUAAGGGCAUACUUCCAUAGUGUAGGAUGAAAAAUUGCCAGGCCUCAUGCUUUAAUCUGAUCAAUGGUCCUCCUACGAUCACUGAAUCAAGCCGAAUCUUCUCUCCGUUUUCCAUUUCCAACAGCGUAAGGAGGUGUGGAUUAGUGACCAAUAUCAAUACUCUGCUUCCAUUCUGAUUAUCAGGAAGAACUUCUUCAAGAUCACUCCAUAUCUCACUGUCAUCGAAGACAUCAUCAAGCACAAUAAAGUACUUCCUGUUUGUUAGGUAAUCUCGAAGAAUAGAUUUCUUCAAUUGAUAAUCUUCCCCGAUAAUUACACUAACCCGAGAUGGAGGCAUCACAGACUUGAUUAUGUCAUCCAAUAUCUUGCGAAAAUCGUAGGCUACAGAAACCCUUACCCAAGCAUGACAGUCAAAAUAGAACUUGAUAUGGUUAUUAUUGUAAGUAUCUGCAGCAAAAGCAGUCUUAUCGAAGCCACUGCUGUCGAGAAUUGUAACCACUGCAAGCCGACGAUGUCCUAAAUCAAUAAAUCAAACAACUCCUCUCUGCCACUUUCAAAUUCAUUGAUAUCAAGCCGAGGUUGUCCCUCACUCAAUAGGCGAAUGAUUUUGUUUCUUUGUUCACUGACAUCAAAACCAUUGUCGCCGGGUGGAAGUUGUUGCAUCCGAUUACUAAUAUCAAUGAUUUUACUCUGGAGUCCAUCAAGAAGAGCCAUAUUAGUGCUGCUUUUACUUUCGUUUUCACUGUUUUGCUGCUGCAUGAUGUUGAUGAAGAAUCUGUCAAUGGCUUCCUCAGAUUCAUGGACAAAGCGAUUGAUGUCCUCCAGAAUUUCCAAAAUAUCUGGUCUUUUAACGUCUUCUUCAUCGCUUUCUUCUAAGUCCAACAGUUGCAAAAGAGGCAAAGAUAUUUUGGAGUCAUCGAAUUCUUCUCUAAUGAGUUGAAAGAAAUGCCGAGCCAUGUCAGAUUCAUAUUUUCCCAGCAGAGUAGUUGCAAUAAUUUCGGACUCCGUAAGAAGGUUUUGAAAAAGUGGGGUUAAAUUUGUUGAAUCAGGCAGUGUUAACGUGCCUUCUUCUCCUACUACCACCCUUUUCAACCUCUCACAAAAUAAUCGGAGGUGGGCGUCCAGCAUAUCUCCUCCUGUCUGUAGCAGCCAGAGGUAUUGUUAUUUGCUCCAAGAAAUGUUAAAAGGAUUGGUCCUACCUCAAAGUGGUUAGUGGUGUAAAAUUAAACACCAUGGGAGAAUUUGAAAGGAAGAUGCCAAGAAACUGGCAAAGUGGCUAAAUUCCACAAAUACGGCAUUAUUGCUCAUUUUUAACUCAACAAAUUGAUACGCGUUCAUUUAGAGAAAAGUCGAAGACGCGUGCCUUUUGAAAAGAACAAGUAUCCAAUAGGUAUCCAACCUUUAUCUUAUUUAAUUACUACCAUGACAUGAUUGAUGGUGCUUAAAUCAAUUGUUUCUUUUUUAAUUUAAAGAUUUUUUCAUUAAAAAAUAAUUUAAUAUCACAUUGCCUUCAAUGGCGUAACGGCCGCAAGCCCAGUAACUAGAUUAAUUAAAAUGAAAUUAUGAUUGCACUACUUUUUUAUUUAUUUAUUUAUCUAAUCACUAUAAAAUUUUAACAUAUUUUAUUUACUAUAUUUUUUUUAAAUUUGCAUCAAUUAGUCACUUUUACACUAAUACCGUUAAAUAAUUUAAACGGAAUGAUAAUUUUACCCCUAAAUAAAAUUAAAAGUUCAUUUUAUUUUAUAAAAACUUUGAAAAUAAAAAAUUAUAAUUAUAAAAUAUCCCUAAAUUUAAUAAAGAAAUAAAUCCCAAAAUUAGAAUGUUUAUUUUUAAUAAAAAUUAUUUUAAUAAAAAAUUAUAAUUAGAAAAAUAAUUACAAAAUUUUGGGAUUUAAUAAAAAUCCCCUAAAUGAUUAAAAUUUUAGGAUUUAUUUUUUAAUAAAUAAAUUCAGUUAUUUUAAUAAAAUUUUGCAAAAUUAUAAUUUUUAAUAAAUAAAUUCACUUAUUUUUAUUAUAAUUUUAAAAAAAUUUAAAUUUUUAAUAAAAAUAAUUAUUAAAAUUUUACAACAUCUAAAUUGAAUAAAAAUCAGCUGAGCACCUAUAUUUUGUAUUUAUUUUUAUUAAAUUUAGGGGUAUUUUUAUAAUUAUAAUUUUUUAUUUUUCAAAGCUUUAUAAGAUAAAAUGGUCUUUUAAUUUAUUUAGGGGUAAAAUUAUCAUUUCGUUUUAAUUAUUUAACGGUGUUAGUGCAAAAGUGGCUAAUUGAUACAAAUUUGAAAAGAAAUGUGGCGCAGAGAACAUAUUAAAAUUUUGUGGUGGUUGGAUGAACAUAAGGCAACAGAAAGGUGGUGCAAUAAUAAUUUCCCUAAUUAAAAUUUUAGAAUUUUUGGGCAUGGAUAGAGUAGUUUUAAUUAUGUUAAAGAAUUGAUAUUGACAUAAUUUUAUUUUGGUUUUCAACGAAAAAAAAUUUGUUGACAAGUAAGAAAAUAUUUUUUUUUUACUUUACAAUCGGUUAUACAUGUUUUAUCAUAUUAAAGUAAUUUUAAUAAUAAAUAGAAACAUAAUAUUACAAUAAAUAAAUUAAAGUUUAAGUUAUUUUGAAUAUUAAAAAAAUAAUUUUAAUAUUAUUAAUAGGGAGGCAUUUUGUUAAUUGUAAAAUCUUGUUAACCCAAAGGUUAUUUAAAAUCUUUCUAAUAAAUACAAAUAUAAAAUUAAAUAUCAUAAUUUAAAAUAUUUAAUACUAUAUUCAAUGUAAAAAUAUUUUAAUGUUGUUAAUAUACUACAUAGAUUAUAUUACUUAUAUUAUAUUUAUAUUGAUUAAAAAUUUUUAAAAUUAAUUUUCUAGUUACUAUAUUCAUAAGGUAUUCUGGUUAAAGAAAAUAUCUUGAUAUUACUUUUUGAAAAUUUGAGAGCCUGCAUGACAAUUUUUUCAAAUUUUAAGGAUGUAAUUAUCCUUUUUUCCAUAAUUUAUUUCAAUUUUGAGGGAAUCCAAUAAGAAAUAUGGCAGGAGAAUGUCAAUAGGCGAAUGAUUUUGUUACUUUGUUCACUGAUCUCAAAACCAUCGUCGCCGGGUGGAAGUUGUUGCAUCCGAUUACUAAUAUCAAUGAUUUUACUGUGGAGUCCAUCAAGAAGAGCCAUAUUAGUACUGCUUUCACUUUCGUUUUCACUGGUUUGCUGCUGCUUGUUGUUGAUGAAGAAUGUGUCAAUGGACAAAGUUAUUGAUGUCCUCCAGAAUUCCAAAAAUAUCUGCUGUUUCAACGUCUUCUUCAUCGCUUUCUUCUAAGUCCAACAGUUGCAAAAAAGGCAAAGAUAUUUUGGAGUCAUCGAAUUCUUCUCUAAUGAGUUGAAACAAAAGCCGAGCCAUGUCAGCUUCAUAGUUUCCCACCAGAGUAGUAGCAAUGAUUUCUGACUCCGUAAGAAGGUUUUGAAAAAGUGGUGUCAAAUUUGUUGAAUCUGGCAACGGCAACGCGCCUUCUUCACCUGCCAACACCCUUUUCAACCUCUCACAAAACAGUCGGAGGUGGAAUUCCAGCAUAUCUCCUUCUCUCCGUAGCACUCAGAGGUAUAGUUGAAAGAUUAAACACCAUGGAAGAAUUUGAAAGGAAUAUGCCAAGAAACUGUGUAAGUGGCUAAAUUCCACAAAUAUGACAUUAUUGCUCUUUUUUGAACUCAAAAAAAUGGUACGCGUUCAUUUAGAGAAAAGAACAGGUAUCCCAAUCGAUAUCCAACCUUUAUCUUAUUUAAUUACUACCAUGACAUGAUUGAUGAUGCUUAAAUCAAUUGUUUCUUUUUUAAUUUAAAGAAUUUUUCAUUAAAAAAAUAUUUUGAUAUCUAAUACCCUUCAAUGGCAUAUCUGCCGCAAGCCCAGAACAGGAUUAAUGAAUUUUUUUUUUAAUUUUUUGGGCAUGGAAAGAGCAGUAUUAAACAUCAGAAAGCUAAGGUUGUUCUGUUAAAAAAUUGAUAUUGACAUAAUUUUAUUUUGGUUUCGGGGAAAAAAAUAUUUUCUGAAAAGCAAGAAAAUAUUUUUAUAUUUUACAAUUUAUUAUACAUAUUUUAUCGUAUUAAAUUAAUUUUAAUAAUAAAUAGAAACAAAAUAUUACGAUAAAUAAAUUAAAGUUUAAAUUGUUUUGAAUAUUAUAAAAAAUAAUUAUAAUAUUAUUAAUAGGAAGACAUUUUGUUAAUUUUAAAUUUUUUUAACCCAAAGGUUUAUUUAAAAUCUUUAUUAUAAAUACAAAUAUAAAAUUAAAUAUCAUAAUUUAAAAAAUUUAAUAUUAUUUUAAGUAUUAAAAAUAAUUUAAUGUUAUUAGUCUACUAUAUAGAUCACAUUACUUAUAUUAUAUUUGUAAUGAUUAAAAAAUUUUUAAAUCAAUUUUCUAGUUAAUAUAUUCACGAGGUAUUAUGGUUAAAGAAAAGACCUUGGUGUUACUUUUUAAAAAUUUGAGCGCAUGCAUGAUAAUUUUUUCAAAAUUUAAGAAUGUAUGUGUCCUUUUCUCCAAUAAUUUAUUUCACUUUUGAGGGGAAUCCAAUGAGAAAUAUGAUAAGAGAAUGUCAAUUACUUGUCAUUUUCUAUUUUUUCUGUAAGGUAUUUAUUUUGAGCAUUGGUGAUCUUGUCUGGACUACUCCAAUUAUUGAUGGAACUCCAAUGGCUGCAUCCACAGUUGAAUAUAUGAUGGUGUUAGCUCUUACUUGAGAAUUCAGAGGGAUCUUUCUAUGUUUCUCAAUUGCAAUGUGCUAGUAUAAAUUUCUUUACCUUACAGUUUAUAUAGUCUUGCUGUUAAUGAACUCACUGAGGCAUUAUUGAUUCAAUUUCAGUGGAGCAAUCGCGGGUGAAGGAUAAAUAAAGGAUAACAGAACAGAGCUGAAGUGCUAAAUUGGCUAUUGAAGAAGGUUUUCACAUGAUCACAAUUAUGUAAAAUAAUCAUUUUUCUGAAAUUGUGUUUCCUAAAAUUAAUAAAUUUCCUUUUUUUUAAAAAAAAAAAAAAACUCUUCUACGACGUGGUUGCACAGCAAAUUAGAGAAUUAUAGGGUCUCUAAUCAAUACUCCAACCAAUAAUGAUAUGUGCACAAAAAAUAGUAUCAAUCACAACAAGAUUAAAAUUAAAAAAAGUAACUAUAAGAUGGAAAAAAAAAUUAUUACAAGAAAAUAAUUUUUUUGUCUUUUCUAUCUUUUAUACUAUUUUUGUUUAUAUGUACUCUAAAUUCAGCCAAACCAUACAUGCAUGAACAAAAAUUAAACCGUCGUUCUAAUCACAACAGUAAUUGAAGCUACAAAAGCCAGCAAAUCUGAACGAAGACUUAAAAGAAAGAUCUUAUUCAAGUUUGUCCCCAAAAGACAGCUGAAAUGAAAAAUAUUGACUAUUGAAUGGGUCAAUGCCGAAUUACAUUUCAAAUGGAAAGCUUGGCAGCAGUUACAAUGUUUCCCCCUCUGAUUUUCCUCCAAAACAAAUUCAGUUGUAAACAAUAACCGAAGUAGUAAUAAUUUAUUCAUCAAAGAAAAUACCCCCAAGUUUUCAACUAAAAAAUCCUCUUGUCCAAACUAAAAGAACUCAUAUCUCUAAAAUCUAUCUGCAAAAUGUUGGGAAUGAGGAGUGAUCUGUCAACUCCGUAAAUAAACUCAUGCAUAAUGUUAACAAUAAUGAUAAAUUACAUAAUAAUUAUUAUAAAGAAUCAUAAAUUGGAAACACUAAUCAUUCUACAAUCUAUUAUAUAAGCAAGAUAAAUCUCAUAAUAAGUUAAGUUAUAAUGUAAUAAAUAUUUUCAAUAUAUAAUUAUUUAAGAAGUCAUUUAACAAUAAAAUAAUUUUUUUAAAUCAGUUGAUCAUACAGCGUUAUCUAAACUCCUGACGAUAUUAUUAUUACUCACUUUUCUCAAAAAAAUAUGAUUAAUGUUUAGAGAAAAGUCAUGCAUUUUAGAAAAAAUAUGUAUACUAGCUAUCCGUACUUUAUCUUACCGUGACAAAAUUGAUGGUGAUUAAAUCUAUUUUUAAAAUAGAUUUAAUUCACAAAUAUGGUGACUUUUGGCAAAAAUUAUUUUCAGAAGAUAUAGUGGCAGAAAAUAGUGAUAAUUAUUGUUUAAAUGUGUAAAUAGCCUAAGUAUAGCCCAUAAUACCAAUAUCCAUUUGCACCUUCAUUUGGUUUAUCACAUUUCAUGAUAUUCUUUCAUUCAUGACCAUUGUUCAAGAUUUUAAUUUGAUUAUAAAUUAAGUUGCAAGGGAGCUUACUUCAGUCUCUAAGCUUUUCAAUCGUGAUUCCUGCAUGCCAACGUAACUGACCUUAUAAUUGGUCUGUAUAAGAAAUCAAGCCCUUUCAGGAUCGUUUUCUUUUUCUCCCUAUUGUAGUAGUCAACUAAAUAAAGAAUGAACAACUAAACUUGGUCUAUUUCGAGGAAGACUAAGGCUUCCAAUACUAGAUGAACUUUGAAGAAAAUUAAUCCGUUGUUUUUAUUCAUCUUUGGACUAUGAAUAUAUACAAAGACUUUAACAGAAAAUAACAAAGACACAGCUAAAUGCACUACUAAAAAAAUGAGUUUUACUGACACUAAUUUAGCGUCAGUAAUUACUUUUAUUGACACUUGUUAAUUGUGUCAGUGUUGCUCAAGCCAGAACACACUGACACUAAUUUUUGAUGUCAAUAAUUUUUGUGUCAGUAAUUUGUUUCACUAUAGUAUCACUAAAAUAAUGACACGAUGAUGUUGGUAUUUAAUAAUACUAUUUACACGUCAGUAAUUUAUGUGACUAUAGUAUCAAAAACUGACUCGAUAAUAUAAAAAAUUCUUAUUGUUAUUUUAAAUAUGUAGUGUCAGUAUUUAGUAAUGUUAUGCUGCUUUUGGUUAAUAGUAUAUUUUUUAUUUUAAUUAUAUUUUUCGUGUUUGUUGUACAACCAAAAGAAAACUCGAAAUAUAUUUAUUAUUAAAUAUCUUGCAACACAAUUCAUAUAAUAAACAUCUCAAAUACAUCACUUAAAUUCACACAAUUCAACUACAUCACUAUGUGUAAAAGACUUAACAUAAGUAUCAAAUUAAAUUUUCAACAAUCUCUAAACAACAAGUGCUAACUACUACUCAAUUAAGUUUCCAACCCAAAAGAAAAAAAAAAAAGCACAAGGUCACUCAAUAUCCAUCCACGGCUUCAUUUUGUUCCCACCUACAAAUGCAUAAAAUCAAUUAGUAUACUGUGAAAAAUAAAUCUUAGUUAUUUUGAAGCAAAAAUACUCAUAAAUUACUUCAACAUGGAAGAGUAGGAUUAAAAGAAGCAAGUUAAGGAAUCAGAAAAAGAAAUUGUAGAAUCUACACGUUCCCAAGUUAAUUACAGCCUGCAAUCAUGAUACCACAAAUUGCUUCACCAAAAGUAUUCUAUCAAGUAUUAAAGAGAACACUUAAUAAGUACAUCAAUAUUUAGUAAUGAUGACAUGAACAAUGGUGUCUACAACUUGACAAGCAUAAGUUAUUUUUUUUGUAAUCUAUUUCAUUGUCUAAAUUUAAAGUAAACAAUGCUAUAAUAUAUGAUCAAGUACAUUAAGUUAACAAGCACUAUAACAUUUAUUUAGCCCACAUUCAACGAUGAUCAGUUGGACCGAAAGCCAUAAAUUGAAAAACAAAAGAUAUUUAAUGAGCUUAAAGAGGAAAAAUAAAAGUUAACAAAAUUUAAACGACUAAUGAAGAAAUUAACCAAGCCGAGAUGAAAAACAGAAAUAGAAGGCCACUAUAAGCCAAACAUUACAAAUCAGGUUGCUUUUUAAGACACGAACCCAGUUUCCAAUUACAGUACUUUGCAAUUCUUUAAAAAAAAAAGGGUUUCCCAAUUACUAAAUCUUUUUAGGUUUGAAGUGGAUUGAUAAUUAAAUUGAUGAAAGAAAGGAAAGUGAAGCAAAAAUUAGAUUCAAGUAUGGGUCAAGUAAAAAAGUAAAAGAUAAAAAUCAGAUUCAGUGCAAACCUGGGUUUCAAAUGAUUAGCAAAGGAACAACUUCUUCUUUCUUCAAUCUAAUAUUCUUCUUCGAACAUGGAAUACUAACAAAAUACAAUUAGUAAUUCAUAAACAUAUAGUAAAAUGAGAUAGGUAUUUUUUGAGAGGAGAUUGAGAAAUACAUAUUUGAUUGAAGAAAGAAAACACAACAAAAAAAAAGGACCAGGUCUCCUCAAAGAAAAGCAAAAUGGGAAAAUAGGGGAAUAGUCUAUACAAAAGCCAACCCACCACCCUUGGAGGACCAUCCUUCUUCUGAGCAAAAAUCUAUACAAGAUUAGCCCAAACCUCCAAUAUAGUAAAAUGGGUUCGACAGACUAUUUCUAAUCUGUCAUUUGCAAAGUAAAGCUAAAAUUAGAAUUGUCUACUAACAACCUUCCUAUAGUUUGUCCACUAUAUUAUUACUAUAUUAUUAGAUGUAAAAUGCCCACUAUAAAAGGUAAUUAAUAGAGAAACUUCUCUGUAGUAUUUUCAUACCUGUGCCAAAACAGAGAAGAGAAAGAAAUGGUGUCUGACCUCGGUGGUAAAGGAACCGCUAUGGUAAAGGAUCGAACAUGGAUGAAAAAUAAACUUGUGCAAAUGGAGCCACCAGCAUUUUGCAAGAAUUAAAGAUUUUGGGUGAAAUCCUCUCUUAUAAACACUUAUUUGUAUUGGGAGCAUGCAUACUUCCGAGUAUGAUAUAAUUCUAUAAAAUUUAGACUCCUGAUAGAUAGAUAGAUAACACGUAUUAGCAUUAAUUAAAUGGAAGCAUCAACAAUAAUCAAUAAAUCAUUAUAGAAAAAAAAUUAAAAAUGAAAGGAGCUGAGGCACACCAUUGUGAUGCAAGAUUGACAAUCAAAAGAACCUUUCCUUUGUAGAUGCUAAGAUCAACAUCCUGUCCCUUCGCAUCCUGCAAAUAAGAUAAAUUUUUAUAAAAAUUAAAAAAUAUAUCUGUCAAAUCCCAAAUUGAAUUAAAAAUCAAAACAAGGGAAAGAAAAUGAAAGGAACAUGUCAUCAAAUUGUAGGUGGCUGGUGGUGCUUUUUAGUGAAGUGUUUGUAGAACUGUUAGAUGUAACCAUUCUUUACGCAUCAACUUCGCUAGUGAUUUGAUUUGAUGAAGAGGAUCUUUCCUUAUCUAGUUAUCUUCUUGUGUAGAUCCAUGUAGGAUUCCUUCACGAUUUCUUUUUUUUUUUUUUGGGGGGGGGGGGGGGGAGGUUUAAUUAACAAAACAAUAAGAGUAAAUGAGGAAUCAAUCCCUAAUUUAAGGCCUUCUAAGAUUGCUGAAGCUCUGCAUAAUCAAUGUCUCCAAGAAAAAGGUUUAUUUGCAGGCUGUAGCAGCAAUUUUCUUCCCCAUGAAAUCCAACUGAUCCAUUUGUAUUGAAUUUAAGCACACGCCUGAGGCUGGAAAAGACAAAGAAAUUAAUGAAAACAGGCUAUGUAUCUUUUUUACUUAUCAUUGCUCUAUGAAUUAAUUAUGCUACUAAUCACGACGCCGUUUAAAUCUUAGAACAAUAAUAAUCUUUUAGCAACAAAUAUGACGGUUCAAUAAUAUGUUCCGACUAGGGAUGUCAUAUUGUGAGGGCUGUUAAGUUUAAGAAACGAUCAAAUCUAAUUUUGUGUUCCAAAAACUCAUUGGCUUAACAGAUUAACUCCUCUGUAGUAUUUUCAUACCUGUGCCAAAAGAGAGAAGAGAAAGAAAUGGUUCUUGAUCUCGACGGUAAAGGAGCGGUGGCUGGCUGGGCUGAAGUUGAUGUGACGGCAUAAAAGCGGUAGCAGCGACAUACUGAAAGGUGGCUAGCUAGUCGUAGGUGGCUGAAGCUUGACAACAGUAGAGCAAAGGCGGCAGUGACGUCAAGGAACGGCGGCCGACAGCAGUGAAAGUCGAGGAGCAGCGGCCGGCAGCAGUGAAAGUCGAGGAGCAGCGGCCGGCAGCAGUGAAAGCCGAGGAGCAGCGGCCGGCAGUAGUGAAAGUCGAGGAGCAGGGGAGCGGUCGGCAGCAGUGAAAGUCGAGGAGCAGGGGAGCGGCGGCAGCAACUUAAGAAGUGGUGUGUUUGAUUCGGUUAGAUUUAGGGUUUCUUAUUUUCAUUUUAUACUUUGAAAAAUUAUACAGUGUAAUUGUUCGCAUUGUAAUUUAAUAAAACAACAAACUACAAGUCAACAUGUGGUCAAGUAAAAUUAUUAUUAUUAACAACGAAUUACAAGUUGACAUGUGGCAAAAUAAAAAAUAUUAUUCUCAAAACUAUUAUUAUUAUUAUUAUUAUUAUUAUUAUUAUUAUUAUUAUUAUUAUUAUUAUUAUUAUUAUUGUCCACAAAGUAAUUGUGUAAAAUUUAAUUAAAUAAAAAAAUUAAUCAAAUUGAAAAUUUAAAAACACAUGCAUCAAUGGUUUGCACUCUAAACUUACAAAUUUUAAGUUUAGAGAUCUUGAGUUCGAGUUCAAAUUAAAACAAAAUUAAUAUUAUUAUUUUUUUAUCACUGAUGCUUUAGUAUCAAUAAUCAUUGAAUUUUAAGCUACUGACACCUUAGUAUCAAUGAUUUAUGAUACAUACUUGUUAAAGGCGGAAAAUGGUCCAAACGUACACCAUUUCUGACACUUUUUACUAAGUGUCAGAAACAAAGUGUCAGUAAAUGUCAUUUUUGUAGUAGUGAUGAUAGCAAUAAGUGCUGACUUAGACACUUAGUGGACCGCUUCUACAAGUAAAUAAAAACUAAAUAUUUAUUUUGACUAUAACAACAACUACGCUGAUGAAUAGGAUUUCACAGCAGCCACGUGAGAACUAAUUUCUCCUUAAUAUUAUUAUUAGUAGAAGUAGAUUUUCAAACUAGUCUUGAUAUAUUUCAAAGUUGUAUUAUCAAUGUAUAUGUGUCUAGAUUGUAACUAUACUUUAAAAAAUAUAAAAUUUUUAAUUAUUGCACAAUAUAUGUAGAAAAAUAUCUAUAAAAUGAUAUUAUUAGGACUAAGAAUUUUUUAUUUUAUUUUAGAUAAGUUAUUUAUUUAUUAUCGAAUGAAUAAUUUAUUAAUUUAUUGAUAAAUGAAUAUUUAUUAAUUUAAAGAGAGAUUUUUUUGGUUUUAACAAGAGUUUGUUUGGUAAAUGUACACACUUAUAAAGAAACAUAAAAAGUGGUUCCUCAAGUCAAUAGUGUUUGCUUCAAUCGCAACGGUUCAUAAUAAUAUAGCUUAGUUAGGAAAUUUGUAAUUAUACUAUAACUUUGUUUGGUACAACUUUUCAAGUAAAACUUAUUUAAGUAGAGUUGUUAUUAGUAGAGCUUUUAUAAAUAAAGCUUUUACUAAAAAAAAUUUAAUUGUUUGGUUGUCAAUGUCCAAAUUGAUAAACUUUUGUUCUUUUGUUAAGAUAUGUUUGUUUUACUUAAUAAUAGCAUCGGCAAGAGUUUUCGAUUGUUGCAACUUGCAAUGCACGCGGUGAGAGAAAAUGAGAAUCUUGUUUAAUUGUCAAUAAUGACAAACCUAAUCCUUUCAUUAGGAGUAAUUUAAUAAUCGUUUGUUAUAACUGAAUAUGUAUAAAGAAAGGAAAAUUCUAUUCAUAGAUUUCGACUUAUUUUUUGUUUAAAGUAAUUAAUCAUUCAACCAUCUUCAUUUGCCUCUGGCCAAUGCCCUUGUAGAUUAGUUGAAGCGUUAAUUACUUAAUUAUGAUUAUAUACAUUUUCAUAUAGCAAGUGGCAUUGUAGAUCUAAACUAAGUUGCUAUUUCAAUACCAGCAAAUUCAAAAUAGAAAAGGAGUGCAACUAUUUAACUUUGUAGACAAUAUUGCAACCAUGGCAUAUUUAUAGCAAAUCCUUGAAAUCUGCUAAACAAAACAAUGCCCUGUCUCAUGAAUCGAUGCUCAAUUAAAAUUUAAAUUGAAAGUCCGGCUGGUGUUGUUUUCCUCUCCAGUUUUGCCUACAUAAGUAAAGGGAAAUAAGAAUCAUAAGUGAAAAUAUGCUUUGACAGGUCUUAUUUCUUUGUUUCUCUACUGCAGUUUUGCCUACUCAAGCUGAGUCUACGUUGAGACAUAAUUUCAGUAUUGAGGUAACAAUAAUUUCGGACUCCGUAAGAAGGUUUUGAAAAAGUGGAGUCACAUUUGUUGAAUCAGGCAACGUCAACGUGCCUUCUUCACCUGCUAACACCCUUUUCAACCUCUCACAAAAUAGUCGGAGGUGGACGUCCAGCAUAUCUCCUUCUCUCUGUAGCACCCAGAGGUAACAGGAUUAAUUAAAAAUUUUAGAAUUGUUGGGCGUGGAAAGAGUAGUAUUAAACAUCAGAAAGCAAGGUUGUUCUGCUAAAGAAUUGAUUUGUUGACAUAAUUUUUUUUUUUUUUUUUUGGUUUUCGAGGAAAAAGGCAUAUUUGUUGACAAGCAAGAAAAUGUUUUUGUAUUUUACAAUCUGUUAUACAUAUUUCAUCAUAUUAAAGUAAUUUUAAUAAUAAAUAGAAACAUAAUAUUAUGAUAAAUAAAUUAAAGUUUAAAUUAUUUUGAAUAUUAUAAAAAAAUAAUUCUAAUAUUGUUAAUAGGAACAUAUUUUGUUAAUUGUAAAAUCUUUUUAAUCCAAAGAUUUAUUUAAAAUCUUUAUAAUAAAUACAAAUAUAAAAUUAAAAUAAAUAUCAUAAUUUAAAAUUUUUAAUAUUAUUUUCAAUAUUAAAAUAUUUUAAUGUUAUUAGUCUACUAUGUAAGGUAUCAGAGCCAUACCCAUCCUUGAAUGGGUCAAUGCUGAAUUACACUUGAAAUGGAAAGCUUGCUGCAGUUACGAUAUUUCCCCCUCUGAUUUUUCUCCAAAACAAAUUCAGUUGUAAACAAUAACCGAAGUAGCAAUAAUUCAUUCAUCAAAGAAAAUACUCAAAUUUUCAACUAACAAAUCCUCUUAUCUAAACUAAUUAAAAAAAACUCAUAUCUCAAAAAUCUAUCUACAAAAUGUUGGAAAUAAAGGGUGAUCCGUCAACUCGAUAAAUAUACUCAUGCAUAAUGCUAACAAUAUGAUAAAUUACAUCAUAACUAUUAUAAAGAAUCAUAAAUUGGAAACACUAAUCAUUCUACAAUCUAUUAUAUAACUAAGAUAAAUCUUAUAAUAAGUUAAGUUAGAACAUAAUAAAUAUUUUCAAUAUAUAUAAUUAUUUAAGAAGUCUUUUAACAAUAAAUUUUUUUUCUUUUUCAGUUGAUCAUGUCAUAUAGCGUUAAUGGUGAUUAGUGACUGAUUACAAAGCAAAAUUGUUUAAAAUAGAUUUAAUGCACAAAUAUGAUGAAUUUUGGCAAAAAUUAGUUUCGGAAAUGUUGGGAUGAAAACCAUAUUAGUUGAGACUUAAAGUUACUUAAUAAAAUUAUAUCACUACCAUUCAAUGGAUGAAAACUAUUUUAGUUGAGACUUAAAUUUAGAUUUAAAUGUUGAGAUAUCUAGUAUUACUCAAUCAGAAUAAACAAGAACCAAUUCUGACUAUCAUGUAGAAGCAAAUAUUUAUGCUUGGAUUUUUUACUUCUUGAAUUUGAUUGGAAAAGUUUCUGAGACAGAGAAGUGUUUUGGAUAAUCUUUUUCGGGAUUGAAACCACAAAUUGGUCGAGGAAAUUAAUUUUGGACAAAUUUUUAUUGAGUUGUGCUAAACAUCAAGAAGGGCGAGAGAAUGCUGAGAGAAACGGCAGCUUUGUGCUGCUGUUUCGACUUCUCACUCUCUCGCCAUUCUAAUAAUUUUUUAUUAUUAAAAAUAAAAAAGCGGAGAAAAUGAUAGCAGACAACCCACAUCUACCAAAUCUCCAUCACUCCAUCACUCUCUUUCUCUCUCUCCCUCUCUUGAUUUUCAUCCUCUCUCUGGCUUCCUCACUCUCUACGGCUCCCCAUCAAGCUUCCUCAGUCUCUUCGGCCUCACUAUCUCUAGCCUCACUCUCUCCAGAUUCUUUCAUUUUCUCCUUUUUUUUAUAUUUUUAACAAUAAAAAAUUAGCAUUCUGCUGAGAAAGAGAGUGGUACACGACUCUUGAACAAUUUUUUUUCUGUCGUGAUCGUCUAUCAAACCACCUAAAAAUGAGCCAAGGGGGUUCUCAGCCCUAGCAGCUCACGUACUUUCAAGAUUUAGAGUAUGGUUCCAGUCCAAGCUAUUUAAUUAGUAUUGGGAUUCGAUUUAGUUGUUCUUCUAAUUUAAUAGGAUAAAGAAUUUAAUUGGAGAAAUGUCAUUAAUAUCAUAGGAGCAUAUAUAUUGUUUUGAUUUAAAUAUUGCUAUUUUUUUAUUGUUGAAAAAAAAAACACUAGAAAAUGGGAAGCCAAAAUCUUAGCCCUGUGUUUUUACUUUUACUUUUCUCUUAAACAUUUUAAAGAUGUAAAGGAAAAUGCUCAGAAUGGUGAGAGAGUGAUGGACGUGAUGGGCUAUCUUCUAUCCUUUUUUUAAUAAAUUUUUAAGAAUAAAAAAUUUAUUAAAACAGUAAGAGAGCGAAACCAAAACGGCAGCUUGUGCUGUCGUUUCUCUUAACAUUCUCUCGUCAUUCUUGAUGUUAAGCAUUUUCCAUUUUUAUUAUGUUGUAGCACCUUUUUGGUUCCUUUUGUGUCGGCAGCCCCUUACUAUUCUCUUAACCCUGAGUUUGAGAUAGAAAUUUCCCGAACUCCAACCCCACAUCCACAGACAAGUUGAUUCAAACAAUUGCUCUUUUAAUUAAGAGAAUGAGUUAGGUUUCAGUUCUUAUUGUUGUCUGUUAUUUCUCUGAAUCAUUAAUUUUGAGCAUUACUGAUCUUAGUUAUCUGUAUUUCUCCAAUUAUUGAAGAAUUUAUUAUUGAAUGAAUAAUUUAUUAAUUUAUUGAUAAAUGAAUAUUUAUUAAUUUAAAGAGAGAUUAUUUUGGUUUUAAGAAGAGUUUAUUUGGCACAUGUACACACUUAUAAAGAAACACAAAAAGUGCCUGCUCAAGUCAAUAGUUUUGGUACAUUUACACACUUAUAAAGAAACACAAAAAGUGCUUGCUCAAGUCAAUAGUAUUUGCUUUAAUCGCUAUAGUUCAUAAUAAUAUAGCUUAGUUAGGAAAUUUGUAAUUAUACUAUGGCUCCGAUUGGUACAACUUUUUAAGUAGAACUUAUUUAAUUAGAGUUUUUAUUAGUAGAGUUUUUAUAAAUAGAGAUUUUACUAAAAUAAAAUUUAGUUAUUUAGUUGUCAAUGUCCAAAUUGAUGAAAUAUUGUUCUUGUUAACAUAUGUUUGUUUUACUUAAAAAUAAAAGUUUAGUUUACAAUUACACCAGUAUAAAAUCAGCAGAGCAUUUUUGCUUAAAUAUUUAUUAAUUUAAAGAGAGCUUAUUUAAAUAGAGUUUUUGUUAGCAAAACUUUUAUAAAUAAAACUUUGCUUAAAAAAAUUUAAUUAUUUAAUUGUUAAUGUCCAAAUUGAUGAACUUUUGUUCUUUUGUUAACAUGUGUUUCUUUUACCUAAUAAUAAAAAUUAGUUUACAAUAACACUGGUGUCAAAUCAGCAGAGAUAUUUUCCAGCCAGUCACAUUAUACAUACGGGAGCCUCUAUGUUACAUUGAAUGUACCAUACACAACUAAUAAGAACCACAUAAAUUGUGGGACCCACAUAAUUGUGUGGUUCUUAUUGGUUGUGUAUGGUACAUUCAAUGUAACAUAGCAAAAUCCUAUACAUUAUACUAAUAGCAUCGGCAAGAGUUUUCGAUUGUUACAACUUGCAAUGCACGCGGUGAGAGAAAAUGAGAAUCUUGUUUAAUUGUCAAUAAUGACAAACCUAAUCCUUUCAUUAGUAGUAAUUUAAUAAUCGUUUAUUAUAAUUGAAUAUGUAUAAAGAAAGGAAAAUUCUAUUCAUAAAUUUCGACUUAUUUUUUGUUUAAAGUAAUUAAUCAUUCAACCAUCUUCAUUUGCCUCUGGCCAAUGCCCUUGUAGAUUAGUUGCAGCGUUAAUUACUUAAUUAUGAUUAUAUACAUUUUCAUAUAGCAAGUGGCAUUGUAGAUCUAAACUAAGUUGCUAUUUCAAUACCAGCAAAUUCAAAAUAGAAAAGGAGUGCAACUGUUCAACUUUGUAGACAAUAUUGCAAGUUGCAACCAUCCAAAGGUGAAGAUCUAUGCUUAUUAUCUAUUUAACAGCUAAUAUAUAUAUAUAUAUAUUUAUUUAAAUAUCAAGAGCUAUGCUUUUAAAUAAGUUCAAAUGGGAUGAGAACAGACUUAUAUUUAUUUAUUUAAAUAUGACCCAGGCUAAUUUCUCUGAAUUUGGACAGAGUAGAUUUCUAAGCUAAUGCUUGGCAUAUCUCUGGCGAUACUACAAAGUGCAUGUACAUUGACUCUUAAUAAAUAUAAACGAUUCUCUGAUAUGAUUCAAAACAUCACUACAUGCAUAAGUUAAUAAGAGACAAUAUUCUAAGAUUAUUUAUGCAUCACCAUUUAUAGUUGUACCCUCUCUAAUGAAAUUGAAGGUGCAGCCAGCAACUAAAAUGAAGCAGAAAUGUACACGCAUGAGGCAGUUUUUCUAGAAGAUUGAUAUUUCUUUAACUAGAAAACCAUACAAGUCCACAACUAGCCAAACUGUACCUGCAUGUGUCUAGGGCUUAAAUGGAGCACUUCUAAGCAUAAAACAGUAACUAAAACACAUACACAAACAUACAUACCAAAAAAUUCAGAAAAUAGAGAAAGGAAUACAACUAUUCUUGUUUGUAGACAAUAUUGCAACCAUGGCAUCAGUUAUAGCAAAUCCUUGAAAUCUACUAAACAAAAUAAUGUCCUGUCUCAUGAAUCAAUGUUGAAUUACAGCUGAAAUUGAAAGUCUGGCAUCAGUUAUAGGAAAUAUUGAAUUACAAUAUUUCCCUUGCCGAUUUUGUCUACACAAGUAAAAUGGAAAUAAGAAUCAUAGAUGAAAAUCAACUUUUACAGUUCUAAUUAUUAGAUAGAUACAGAAUGAUCUAUCUUUGUGAGUUUGUUUUUCUGCUGCAAUGUGCGAUCCCACUCUGUUUUGAUACUCAAAUUGAGUCUAUGUUGAGACAUAAUUUUGACAUUGCAAGCAAUCCCAAUUAGUUUGGCAUUUGUAUGACCCUUUGAAGGUUUUACAAUAGAUGCAAAUCUACUGAGAAAAUGGUAAAAAAGGUGCAUAUAAAAUGAGGCAAGUAACAGAAGUAUGAGUUAUCAGAUUAGAUUAAAAGUCACCCAAUUCAAUCUAUCAGAUUCCGUAAGGAUAUAACUGGAUGUCAUAUCGCCACUCCAUAUCCUCGAAAGUCCGUAGUCUUUGUCUCAACUCUGUCUGAGGCCAAUGUAAAUCCAAUUUGCACAAGCUCUUUAUGCACCAUAGCUCUUCUGGAAGCUUUCUCAAGUAAGCACAUGGGUUGACAAUUAAGCUUUCAAGUUUUGGCAUUGCUCUUGCCCCCAUCGUCCACUCGUCUAGCCAAUACAUCGACUUCAAGUGCAAAAUCUUAAGUUCCGGAAAGCCACCAGAGCCAACGCAGGCCAGCUUUCUUCCUAAAUAUGAGUUCUGCUUCAGUUUCAGCACUUGAAGGCGUGGAAGCUUUUCCAGCAUUGGCAUGGGAUCCUCCAUUAGCUCAGUAUUUGAUAAGCUCAGUUGGAUCAGGCUUGGAGGAAAUUGGUAUUCAGACAGGACCAUCCGUGAGAGCUUGCUCUCAUUCACCAACUUCAAGCAUUCAACUUUGUGGAGUUCGCAUACGCUUUUGGAAACCCCAGAGUGAUAGCAACUCAAAUCUCCAGACACUCUAAGAGUUUGAAGAUUAGGUAGUCUGCACAAUAUAUCUGGCGUGCAACUACUAGGGUGUAAGGCUGAUAUGAAAAUAAGAUUUUUCAGAGAGCUGGAAUAAUUUUUUGGAGGUGCAGGCAGAGUGAUGGAACCAAAGUUCAGAUGCAUGAGUUUUUGCAUCUUCCAAAUAUCCUCUGGUGUUUGAUCUACGUAGCUAGAUGGCAUGUCUAGUGUUUGAAGGUUUGAAAGGGUGCAUAGCAGUGAAGGAAGACAUUUGAGCGAAGGGAUAUUCAAUUUCAAAUACUUCAAAUGGAAUAAAUUUUCUAAUCCGGGUGGAUAUUGGUCCAGGACUGCAGAACCCAUGUUCAAUACCCGAAGGUGUUUGAACAUUUUACAAAAAUUCUCGCAAUCUAUCGGAUUAAGAUGAUCGCUUUCUGAACUGUGAUUCAGAAAAGAUUGGAGGUACAUGUCAGAAUGUUUCAAAGAAAAGAACUCAAUCAGAUCAUCGACAAUGAUGUACCGUUUGGCAUUUGCCAUUGAUUCCUCUUCCAAUCCAGGCGACCAAAAAAAUCCCGUCAAUGCUGCCGGCAAAAGUAACGCAACAUAUGCAAAAGUUGGAACAUAGCACGCCUUAAUUGUGCCUCCGGCUCUUCUCUUAUUCACUUGAAUGAAGCCACGAUCGAUUAGUUCAUUCAAGUAAUGCUCGGCAGUUUCCUCACUGUUGUGUGGUAUGAAACCUUCAGCUACCCACAACCAAUAUAAUUGCCUGGUAGAUAUCUCAAUGCCUGGAUGGAACAAACACAAAUAGAGGCAGCAGAUUUUCAAGUGAACAGGUAACUGCAACACAGAAUAAAUUGUACUCCAAGCUGUCAGAAACGCUUUUUCUCCCAUGUAAAUUCUUAAUGUCGUUUUUCCAUAGUGUAGGAUGAAAAAUUGCCAGGCUUCAUGCUUUAAUCUGAUCAAUGGUCCUCCAACGAGAACUGAAUCAGGAUGAAUCGUCUGUCCAUUUUCCAAUUCGAACGAGGAAAGGAAGUCUGGAUCAGUGACCGUCAUUAAUACUCUGCUUCCAUUCUGAUUCUCAGGAAGGACUUCUUCAAGAUCAUCCAAUACAUCGUCACUCUCUUCACAGUAAUCAUCAAGCACAAUAAAGUACUUCUUGUUUGUUAGGUAAUCUCGAAGAAUAGAUUUCUUCAAUUGAUAAUCUUCACCGAUAACUACACUAACCCGAGAUGGAGGCAUCACAGACUUGAUUAUGUCAUCCAAUAUCAUGCGAAAAUCGUAGGCUAUAGAAACCCUGACCCAAGCAUGACAGUCAAAAUAGAACUUGACAUGAUUAUUGUUGUAAGUAUCAGCAGCAAAAGCAGUCUUAUCAAAGCCACUGCUGUCGAGAAUUGCAACCACUGAAAGCUGAGGUUGUCCCUCGAUCAGUAAAUCAAACAACGCCUCUCUGCCGCUUUCAAAUUCACUCUUAUCAAGCUGAAAUUGUCCCUCAAUCAAUAAGUGAGUGAAUUCGUUCCUUCGCUCUUUGAAAUCAAAACCAUUGCCUCCAGGUGGAAGUUGUUGCAACCGAUUUCUAAUAUCAAUGAUUUUACUGUGGAUUCCGACAAGAAGAGCAAUGCAAGUAGUGCUCUCACUUUCACUGUUUUGCUGCUGCGUGAUGUUGAUGAAGAAUGUGUCAAUAGCUUUCUCAGAUUCACGGACAAAGUAAUUGAUGUCUUUCAGAAGUUCCCAAAUGUCUGUUCUUUUAACAUUUUCUAAGUGCAAGAGCUGCCGAUAACGCGAAGGCAUUUCGUCUUCAUCGAAUUGUUCUCUAAUGAGUUGAAUUAAAACUCGAGCCAUGUCAACUUCAUAUUUUCCCAGCAGAGUAGUAGCAAUAAUUUCGGACUCCGUAAGAAGGUUUUGAUAAAGUGGAGUUAAAUUUGUUGAAUCAGGCAACGUUAACGCGCCUUCUUCACCUGCUAACACCCUUUUCAACCUCUCACAAAAUAGUCGUAGGUGGACGUCCAGCAUAUCUCCUUCUGUCAGUAGCACCCAGAUGUAUUGUCAUUUGCUUCAAGAAAUGUUGAAAGGAUUGGUUCUAUCUCAAAGUGUUUAGUGGUGUAAAAUUAAUUAAUUAAACACCAUGGAAGAAUUUGCAAGGAAGAUGCCAAGAAACUGGCGAAGUGGCUAAAUUCCACAAUUAUGACAUUAUUGCUCAUUUUCAACUCAAAAAAAUGAUACGCGUUCAUUUAGAGAAAAGUCCAAGACGCGUUCCUUUCGGAAAGAACAAUUAUCCAAUAGAGAUCCAACCUUUAUCUUAUUCAAUUACUACCCUGACAUGAUUGAUGGUGCUUAAAUCAAUUGUUUCUUUUUUAAUUUAAAGAAUUUUUCAUUCAAAUUUUUUUUAAUAUUAAAUUGCCUUCAAUGGCAUUACUGCAGCAAGCCCAGUAACACGAUUAAUUAAAAAGUUUAGAAUUUUUGGGCCUGGAAAGAGUAGUAUUAAACAUCAGCAAGCUAAGGUUGAUAUGUUAAAGAGUUGAUAUUGACAUAAUUUUUAUUUUGGUUUUCGGGGAAAAAAAAUUGUUGACAAGCAAGAAAAUAUUUAUAUAUUUUACAAUUUAUUAUACAUAUUUUAUCAUAUUAAAAUAAUUUUAAUAAUUAAUGAAAAACAAAAUAUUGCAAUAAAUAAAUUAAUGUUUAAAUUAUUUUGAAUAUAAUAAAAAUAAUUUUAAUAUUAUUAAUAGGAAGACAUUUUGUUAAUUUUAAAAUCUUUUUAACCCAAAGGUUUAUUUAAAGUCUUUAUUAUAAAUUAAAUAUCAUAAUCUAAAAUUUUUAAUAUUAUUUUAAGUAUUAAAAAUAUUUUAAUGUUAUUAGUCUACUACAUAGAUCAUAUUACUUAUGUUAUAUUUGUAUUGAUUAAAAAUUUUUAAAAUCAAUUUUCUAGUUACUACAUUCACGAGGCAUUAUGGUUAAAGAAAAGAUCUUGAUGUUACUUUUAAAAAAUUUGAGGGCCUGCAUGAUAAUUUUUUCAAAAUUUAAGGAUGUAGGUGUCCUUCUCAAAUAAUUUAGGGUGAGGCUAUUUGAAUCCACCAAUCUACUCACUACACCCAUUUACUAAAUAAACCCGCACUUAAGUUUUGAAAUUUUAAAUUUUACUCAACAAACCGACCUAAAUGUCCAAUAUACCCUUAUUGAACCCAAUUAUUAUAAUAAUAUGUUUUUGCUAAUUAAACCCAUUUAAUUCAUUUAAAGUUAAUAAAUGAUUAUAUUUAUUAAAUUGAAAACUAAAAGAUUAUACAAAACAUAAACAAUACUCUCAAUUAUAUAUUUUGGAGCAAAAAUUCCAAAGUGUAGUAAGCAAAGCCAAUGCAAAAUGGCUGGAGCAGCUAAUAAUGGUAAAAGUCAGAGCCUAGUAAUGUGGUACCGCUACUUGACUUUGGGAAAGAAGUGAUAAUUAUAUCAAUUUCUUCAACUUGGAAGUUGGAAGUGCUGUUGAAAGCGGUUGAUGCCAGAAAAAUAAUUAGAUAUCUGUCAAAAAAAAACUUUGGUAUUUUUAGAAAUAAAAUCCUAUAUCCAGUAUUUCAAUAUGAAAAGUCUCUAGUAUUUCUUUCAAUUGAUUCUUCCUUUGUCUUCUUCGACUCCAUGAAGGUUUAAUUAUGAUGAGAAAGCCAAGGGGAAUCAAUAAAGAAUAUCAAUUUAGGGUUUAAGAAAAAUAUCAUAAAGUUGAAUGUAAAAUGGAUUCAAAGAGUAAAUUUUAUUUUUAAAACUAUAUUUUAAUGUCUAAAAUUGUAAUUUAAUUUAGGGAUAUUUUAAUAAUUACAAUUUAUUUUUAAAAGUGAGUUUAUUAAGUAGUUUGAUGGGUUCAAAUAGUCCCAUCCAAUAAUUUAUUUCACUGUUAAGGGAAUCCAAUGAGAAAAAUAAUAAGAUAUCGUCAAUGACUUGUCAUUUUCUAUUUUUUCUAUGAGCUAAUUAUUUUGAGCAUUAGUGAUCUUGUCAGGACUACUCCAAUUAUUGAUGCAACUCCAGCGGCUGCAUCCACAGUGGCUACUCCAAUUAUUCAUGCCUUUUAAAAAGAAUAUGUAUACAAUAGCAAUCCAUACUUUAUCUUACAUUGAUUUUUUUCAAUUAAUGGUGAUUGCAUUGAUUUUUUUCAAUUAAAGAAAAAUUGUUUAAAAUAGAUUUAAUGCACAAAUACGAUGACUUUUGGCAAAAAUUAGUUUCGGAAAUGUUGGGAUGAAAACCAUAUUAGUUGAGACUUAAAUUAAGAUUUAAAUGUUGAGAUAGUAUUGCUCAGUCAGAAUAAACAAUAACCAAUUCAAAUUAUGACUAUCACGUAAAAACAAAUGUUUAUGCUUGGGUUUUUUACUUCUUGAAUUUGAUUGGAAAAAUUUCUGAGACAGAGAAGUGUUUUGGAUAAUUGUUUUGGGGAUUGAAACCACAAAUUGGUCGAGGAAAUUAAUUUUGGACAAAUUUUUAUUAUAUUGUAGCACCUUUUUGGUUCCUUUUCGGCGGCCCCAUACUAUUCUCUUAACCCUGAGUUUUUUUUUUUUUUUUUUUUUGAAAAGUCUUAACCCUGAGUUUGAGAUAGAAAUUUCCCGAACUCCAACCUCACAUCCAGGGACAAGUUGAUUGAAACAAUUGCUCUUUCAAUUAAGAGGAUGAGUUAGGUUUCAGUUCUUAUCAUUGUCUGUUAUUUCUUUGAAUCAUUAAUUUUGAGCAUUACUGAUCUUAGUUAUCUGUAUUUCUCCAAUUAUUGAAGAAUUUCAUGUGGCCACUUUUUCUCCUUUUCAUAUAUGUUUCGUUUUUGGACUGAUCAAACGGUGCAAAACCAAGUAUUUGCUGGUCCUUAGUUUAGCCAAUGAUGGCUGAUCCACAGUUGAAUAUAUGAUACUAUUAGCUCUUAUUUGAGAAUGUAAAGGGAUCUUUCUUAUUUGAGAAUACAAGUUGCCCAAUAGAGUUGAACUAUGUUACCCAACUCCAUGCUCAUACAUUAAAUGUUUAGGUAGUUUUACAAAAUGAUAGCAGCAUGCCAAAACUUGUUGUUGUCAUUUUCGACAUUUCAAAUUGAAAAAUAUGCAAGCAAUCUUCAGUGAACAUUACGUUUUUAUUGAAUAAUUUAAAUGGCCAGCAAAUCAACAGUCCGUGAGUUUUAAAUCUAUUAUGACUUAAUGUAUCUUUCUGUAUUCGUACACAGGUUAUAUUAUCAUAGUUUAAAAUUUUAAUAUUAUUUUAAAUGUUAAAAAUACUUUAAUGCUAUUAGUCUACUACACAGGUUAUAUUAUUUAUAUUAUAUUUGUAUUAAUUAAAACUUUUAAUGUCAAUUUUCUAAUUACUAUAUUGAAAAGGUAUUAUGGUUAAGAAAAAGUUUUGGCAUUUCUUCUUGAAAAUUUGAGGGUCUGCAUGACAAUUUUUCCAAAUUCUAAGGGUAUAGGUUUGAAAAUUUAAUGUUCUUUAACUUAAUGAAACAAAAGGGGGAAACCAAGAACUAUUCAAUUUUGUAUUUUUUGUUUGUAAUUCAAAAAAUGCAUCCACCAAACAAGUUUUACGCAUUAAUGCUGUCAUAAAACAAAAAACAGUUUGCCAAAAAAUGGUACCAAACAUAUCCUUAAUGUCUCACAUGAUUUCUUAGUAAGCCCAUAUUAGAUAUAUUUAUACAUUUUAGGUAUUUUAAUUAUAAAAGAAGUUGGUCCUCCCUCUGUUUAUAAAAGAUAACGUUAUUUCGAGAUUACCACUAAACUCUUACAUAGAAUUAGUGUAAUGUUAAGAGAGAGUAACACAAUUUUCCGUUACCAUCUUUGAAAAUAGAAAGAUAUGGAUGCGUGCAUUUAAGGGUUAUCGUGAAAAUCAUACAAUUCAAUUUCCUGACAUAUAUAUUCGUGCACAUAUGCCAAAAGAAUAAAUAGACAGAAAGUAAAUUUACAGUCCUCACUUCCUCACAAUUGUUAACGUGGAGACAUUAAGGAUGAGCAUAAAAGUUAAAGAUGACUCAUUUCUCAUUUUCUUUUUAAAGUGCUCUGCUGAAAGCCAAACUUCCUUUGGCUAAUUAAUUUAGAAGUAAAGCAGAGAAUAAAGUCCUAGAUGCCUUCUGAAAUUAGAAAUACAUUUUAUAUGCUUUAAUUAUGAUUAUUUGGUAGACUAAAGACCUAAAAGAUAUGUCCAAAGUAUAAAACAGAACGAUUAAAGGAAAAAGAAAAAAAACAGAGUAUUUGUGACGUAGAAUAACAAUUGGUAACUAAAAUCCUAAAUAUUUGAGUUGUUAAAAGCAAAUAUAACAGAGAAGGUAAGAGAGAUGCAGAAACAGAAAACUAUUAGCUUAUCUUGAUUUCCCACUAUAUUCAUUUUCGAUGCUUUUCAAACGAGAUUCUUUUAAUCCUUCUGGCGUCCGCAGCCCUUGCUCUUCUUACAAAUCUCCAGUCCACAUCUGCACUACGAACAAGUUGAUUGAAAUUAAAUAAUGUUGGAGAUGAGGGGUGAGCCGUCAACUUGGUAAAAAAAUUCAUGUAUAAUAUUAUCAAUAAUAUAAAAUAUAUAAUAAUUAUUACAAAGAAUCAUAAAUUAAAAAAUUAAUUAUUUUACAAUCUAUUUCUUAAGUAAGAUAAAUCUCGUAAUAAGUUAAGUUAUAACGUAAAAAAUAUUUUCAAUUUAUAAUCAUUUAAGAAGUCAUUUAACAAUAUAUUUUUUUUAUCAGCAGGCCAUGCCACAAAGUAUCAUCUAUAUUCGUGGUGAUAUUAUUAUUACUCCGUAUUCUCAAAAAACAUGAUUUAACAUUUAGAGAAAAUUCCUGCCUUUUAAAAAGAACAUGUAUGCAACAACUACCAAUACUUUAUCUUACCACAACAAAACCAAUGGUGACUAAAUCAAUUUUCUUGAUUAAAGCUAAAUUUCUUAAAAUUGAUUUAAUGCACAAAUAUGAUGACUUUUUGCAAAAAUUAGUUUUGGAAAAUAUAGUGAGAGAAAAUAGUGACGAUUAUUGUUUAGAUGUGUAAAUAGUCUAAACAUAAUCGCUAAUACCAAUAUCCAAGUGCAUCUUAACACCUUUCGUGAUAUUCUUUCAUUCAUGGUCACUGGUUCAAUAUUUGAAUUUAAUCAGUAAAUCAUGUUCAAUAAUAUUAGAGAUCCCAACAAUUGAGUACCAAUUUAAAUCCUAAUGCUAUAUGUCAUUGACCAAUAUUGUGUCAUUUUUUGUUAACUGGGUGAUGAAUUUCUAGUUGAUAAAAUUACUUUAAAAUAUCUUAAAAAUUAGACAAUAGUUUGCUUAAUUUUUUUAAGCUAACCGCUCAAGAUGCUCUAUUAGAAAUGAUAACCUAAUUAUAUACAUAAAAAAUGAUGUAUUUUUUGCAAUGUUGAUAGUGAGAUUAUCAUUCAACAUGUUAAAAUAUGAAAACAUAUGGAAGAUGGUUGUAAAUUGAUUGAAUGAAAAUAUUUCAGUGAAGUCUCAAAAAUUUGGUACUUGUUAUCUUAUCGAAAGUUUUCUAAAUUAUAUUCGUGGCACUGCCACUGCUUCUAUGUGAAGGUCAUUAAAAUUUGUGUUAGUUACCUAUAGGUUGAAUAACAAUUUUAUUCAUCAAUUGUUGCUCAAUAUAGCAAUUUGAUUGAAAGUGCCGCUGCACUAAUUUUCUAGAUGAACUUUCCUAAAUGUUUGUCCUCAUAUGACCUAGAAUGCUGCGAUAUCAAUUGUAUUGGAAAUUAUUCAAGUGGGUUAGUGCUCUACAUCCCCACCAAAAUUUAAGCAAUCAACAAAACAUUCCUUGUGGAAAUAAACUUAUUUCGCUACUAGACUUCUAAUGAGGCCCAUUUUCCAGAAUCUGGAUACGAGUUAGAUGUCUCCCAAAAUAUUGGUGGGAGUAGACUAUACUAGCACUCGACAACAUACUAACGACGCUAUGGUCCACCAGAAAGACCGGUCUCCGGUCAGCCGAAAAAUCUCACGUUCAGUCUCUUCUCAAUCUCCCUUCUCCCAGCCAAGUCGAUCCCGUAACAUGAUACUAAUCCACAGUUGAAUACAUGAUACUAUUAGCUCUUAUUUGAGAAUAUAAAGGGAUCUUUCUUAUUUGAGAACAUAAAUUGCCCAAUAAAGUUGAACUACGUUACCCCGCUCCAUGCACAUACAUUAAAUGUUAACAGCAUGCCAAAACUUGAUGUUGUCAUAUUCGACAUUUCAAAUUAAUAUGCAAGCAAUCUUCGGUGAACAUUACGUUUUUAUUGAAUAAUUUAAAUGGCUAGUAAAUCUAGAGUUCUUGAGCUUUAAUCUAAAUCAAAUCUAUUAUGACUCAAUGUAUUUUUUUGUGUUCGUACCAGUAAUGCAGGGGAUUAUUUACGCAACUCUUAUUAUUGACUGAGAUGUUCACCUUCAUCCAAUUAGAGAAAGAGUGACUGUAGAGGUGGCAAAAAUACCCGCCCGGUCCGGACCCGGACCGUACCCAUUACCUGGUCCGGGUAUGAAGCCGGGUCGGUCUUGGGCAUCACUUGAUAAACCUGGAACCCGGAUUUUAUUAAAAAAAUUAUAAAAUAUAUAUUAUUUUAAAUAUUUUAUAUUUAUUUGACUCAUUUAUUAUACAUAUAUAAAGUUUUAAACACUUAAAGUUUAUAUUUUCAUGUCAAAUUUUAUUGAAAUAAAUUUAAAACUUAUAAAAUUACUAAAAAAUAAAAAAUAUAUACACAUAAAAUAUUAAAAAAUAUAAAAUUCGGAUACCCGGAUUAAAACCCGGCCCGAACCCGGACCCAGACCGGUUGCAUCCGGGUAGGGUCCAGUCAUGGCAAUACUCGGACCUGGUCCGGGGUUUUGCCAUCUCUAAGUGACUGGGUUCCUAUAAAGGGACUCUUAACCAUUACGAGAGUAUUCAGACUACAAAUCUUUGUAAUUAAAUUCAAAGGUGAAGAUCUAUGCCUAUUAUCUAUUUAACAACUAAUAUAUAGUUAUCUAUUCAUUUAAAUAUCAAGGGCUAUGCUAAUAAUUAAGUUGAAAUGUUGAUGAAAGUAGCCUUACAUCUGUGUAUUACUCAUCUACUCUAAUCUUUUUUUUUUUUAACUUAAUGUACUUUUUCUAAUGUUGUUUACUCUUCCCCCCCCCCCCCCCCCCCCCCCCCCCCCCCCCCCCCCCCCCCCCCCACCUCUCUGACAAAAUAAUAAGAGUUUAGACUUGAAAAUAUCUUAAAGAUCAAACAGUAAUUUACCUAAUUUUUUGAAGCUAACUGCCAAAGAUAUUCUAUUAGACAUUGAUAACGUAGUUAUAUACAUUUAAAAUGAUAUUUUUUUGUGGAAAGGGAUUAUCAUUCAACAUCUUAAAAUAUGAAAACAUAUGGAAGAUGAUUGUAAAUUGAUUGAAUGAAAAUAUUUCAAUGAAGAUGGUUGUAAAUUGUUAUCUUAUUGAAAGUUUUCUAAAUUUACUACUAUUUGAACUUAGCCCUCCUGGUACCGCCACCAUUUCUGCUUGAAAGUCAUUUAAGUUUGUGUUAGCUGCCUAAAGCUUUUUUUUUUUUUUUUUUCUUUUUCUUUUUGAAAAGAGCUGCCUAUAGCUUGAAUAACUAUUUUGCUCACGAAUUGUUGUCCAUUAUAGCAAUUUAUUUAAUUGAAAGUGCGGCUGCAAUAAUUUUCUUGAUGAACUAUUCCACAUGUUUGUUCUCAUGUGAGGCAGUUUUUCUAGAAGAUUGAUAUUUCUUUAAGUCUUUAACUAGCAAAGCAUACCAGUCCAAAGCUAGCCAAACCAUACCUGCUGGUCCAGGGCUUAAAUGGAGUACUUCUAAGCAUAAAACAGUAACAAAAACACAAUAUAUGCAUACAUACAUACACACAUACAUACAUACCAGCAAAUUCAAAAUAGAAAAAAGAGUGCAACUAUUCAAGAAAUUGGUUAUUGUAGACAAACACACAUACAAACACAUACCAGAAAAUUCAAAAAAUAGAGAAAGGAGGCCAACUAUUCAAGUUUGUAGACAAUAUUGCAAUCAUGGCAUUACUUAUAGCAAGUCCUUGAAAUCUACUAAACAAAACAAUGCUCUGUCUCAUGAAUCAAUGUUGAAUUACAGACGAAAAUGAAAGUCUAGCAGGUGUUGUUUCCCUCUUCGAUUUUGCCUACACAAGUAAAGGGAAAUAAGAAUCAUAAAUGAAAAUCAGCUUUUACAGUUGUAAUUAUUAGAUAGAUCUAGAACGAUCUUUCUUUGUUUCUCUGCUGCAAUGUGCUAUCCCACUCUGUUUUGCUACUAAAAUUGAGUCUAUGUUGAGACAUAAUUUCGACACUAGGAGCAACCGCAAUUAGUUUGGCAUUGCAUUACCCCUUGAAGGUUUUACAAUAGUUGUAAACUUACCGAGAAAGUGGAAAAAAAAGGGCAUAGGGAAUUAGGCAAGUAACUAAAGUAUGAGUCAUCAGAUAUGAUUAAAACUCACCCAAUUCAAUCCAUCAGAUUCCGUAAGGAUAUAACUGGAUGUCAUAACGCCACUCCAUAUCCUCGAAAGUCCGUAGCCUUUGCCUCAACUCUGUCUGGGGCCAGUGUAAGUCCAAUUUGCGCAAGCUCUUUAUGCACCAUAGCUCUUCUGGAAGCUUCCUCAAGUAAGCACAUGGGUUGACAAUUAAGCUUUCAAGUUUUGGCAUUGCUCCUGCCCCCAUCGUCCACUCAUCUAGCCAAUACAUUGACUUCAGGUGCAAAAUCUUAAGUUCCGGAAAGCCACCAGAGUCAUCACAGGCCAACUUUCUUCCUAAAUACGAGUUCUUCUUCAGUUUCAGCACUUGAAGGCGUGGAAGCUUUUCCAGCAUUGGCAUGGGAUCCUCCAUUAGCUCAGUAUUUGAUAAGCUCAGAUGGCUCAGACUUAAAGGAAAUUCGUAUUCAGACAGGGCAAUCCGUGAGAGCUUGCUCUCAUUCACUAGUUCCAAGCAUUCAAUUUUGUGGAGUUCGCAUACGCUUUUGGAAACCCCAGAGUGAUAGCAACUCAAAUCUCCAGAUAUCUGAAGAGUUUGAACAUUAGGUAGUCUGCACAAUAUAUCUGGCGUGCAACUACUAGGGUGUAAGGAUGAUAUGAAAAUAAGAUUUUUCAGAGAGCUGGAAUAAUUUUUUGGAGGUGCAGGCAGAGUGAUGGAACCAAAGUUCAGAUGCAUGAGUUUUUGCAUCUUCCAAAUAUCCUCUGGUGUUUGAUCUACGUAGCUAGAUGGCAUGUCUAGUGUUUGAAGGUUUGAAAGGGUGCAUAGCUGUGAAGGAAGACAUUUGAGCGAAGGGAUAUUCAAUUUCAAAUACUUCAAAUGGAAUAAAUUAUCUAAUCCGGGUGGAUAUUGGUCCAGGACUGCAGAACCCAUGUUCAAUACCCGAAGGUGUUUGAACAUUUUACAAAAAUUCUCGCAAUCUAUCGGAUUAAGAUGAUCGCUUUCUGAACUGUAAUUCAGAAAAGAUUGAUUAGUUCUUUCAAGUAAUGUUCGGCCGUCCCCUCACUGUUGUAUGGUAUGAAACCUUCAGCUACCCACAACUGAUAUAAUUGCCUCGUGGAUAUCUCAAUACUUGGAGGGAAGACAAACAAAUAGAUGCAGCAGACUUUCAAGUGAAAAGGUAACUCCAUCACAGAAUAAAUUUGUCUCCAAGCUGUCGGAAUCGCUUCGCCUUGAAAAUAAUUUUCUAAUGGCAUACGUCCGUAGUGUAGGACGAAAAAUUGCAAGCCUUCAUACUUUAUUCUAAUCAGUGGUCCUCCAACGAGCACUGAAUCAAGCCGAAUCUCCUCUGCGUUUUCCAUUUCCAACGAUGUAAGGAGUCUUGGAUCAGCGACCAAUAUCAAUACUCUGCUUCCAUUCUGAUUAUCAGGAAGAACUUCUUCAAGAUCAUCCCAUAUCUCACUCUCAUCGAAGAAGCACAAUAAAGUACUUAUUGUUUGUUAGGUAAUCUCGAAGACUAGAUUUCUUCAAUUGAUAACUUCACCGAGGCAUCACAGACUUGAUUAUGUCAUCCAAUAUCUUGCCAAAAUCGUAGGCUAUAGAAACCCUGACCCAAGCAAGACAGUCAAAAUAGAACUUGACAUGAUUAUUGUUAAAAGUAUCUGCAGCAAAAGCAGUCUUAUCGAAGCCACUGCUGUCGAAAAUUGCAACCACUGAUAUCGAUAGAUCAAACAACUUCUCUCUGCCCUUUUCAAAUUCACUGAUAUCGAGCCGAGGUUGUCCCUCAUUCAAUAGGCGAAUGAUUUUGUUACUUUGUUCACUGAUAUCAAAACCAUUGUCGCCGGGUGGAAGUUGUUGCAUCUGAUUUCUAAUAUCAAAGUGAAAAAUUGCUGCUUUCACUUUCGUUUUCACUGUUUUGCUGCUGCAUGAUGUUGAUAUUGACAUAAUUUUAUUUUAGUUUUUGGGGAUAAAAAUAUUUGUUGACAAAUAUUUUUAUAUUUUACAAUUUAUUAUACAUAUUUUAUCAUUUUAAAGUAAUUUUAAUAAUAAAUAGAAACAUAAUAUUACGAUAAAUAAAUUAAAGUUUAAAUUAUUUUAAAUAUUAUAAAAAUAAUUCUAAUAUUAUUAAUAGGAAGACAUUUUGUUAAUUUUAAAAUUUUUUAACCCAAAGGUUUAUUUAAAAUUUUUAUUAUAAAUAAAAAUAUAAAAUUAAAUAUCAUAAAGUGUAUGCACGUUGACUCUCAAUAUAUACAAACGACUCUCUGGUAUGAUUCAAAGCACCAGUAUAUGCAUCAUUUUAAUGAGAAAGGAUAUUCUAAGAUUAUUUAUGCAUCACCAUUUUUAGUUGUACCGGCUCUAAUGAAAUUGAAGGUGCAAUCAGCAGCUAAAAUGAAGCCAGAAAUUGAAGGUGCAUGAGGAAAUUUUCCUAGAAGAUUGAUAUUUCUUCGACUAGCAAACCAUACAAGUCAAAGCUAGCCAAACCAUAUCUGCAAGUCCGGGGCUUAAAUGGAGUACUUCUACGCAAAAAACAUUAAUCAAAACACAAUAUGAGCACACCCCCGUCAACCCACCCCCCCCCAACACACAUACCGGCAAAUUCAAAAUAGAAAAAGGAGUGCAACUAUUCAAGUUUGUAGACAAUAUUGCAACCAUGGGAUAUUAAAGAAUAUCUUUGAAAUCCGCUAAACAAAACAAUGCCCUGUCUCAUGAUUCGAUGCUCAAUUAGAAUUGAAAUUGAAAGUCCGGCUGUUGCUGUUUCUCUCUCCAGUUUUGCCUACAUAAGUAAAGGGAAAUAAGAAUCAUAAAUUAAAAUCUGCUUUUACAAUUCUUAUUAGAUAGAUAUAAAGGGAUCUUUCGUUGUUUCUCUGCUGCAAUGUGUUGCUAUCCCACUCUGAGAAAGAUCUUUCGUUGUUUCUCUAUGUUGAGACAUAAUUUUGACAUCAGAAGGUUUUAUGACCUCCUUGAAGGUUUUACGAUAAACAUAAAUCUACUGAGAAAGUGGGAAAAAACGAAAAUGCAUAUAAAAGUAUGAGUUAUCAGAUAUGAUUAAAACUCACCUAACAUCAGAUUCCAUAAGGAUAUAACUGGAUGUCAUACCGCCACUCCAUAUCCUUGAAAGUCCGUAGUCUUUGUCUCAACUCUGUCUGAGGCCAAUGUAAAUCUAAUUUGCGCAAGCUCUUUAUGCACCAUAGCUCUUCUGGAAGCUUUCUCAAGUAAGCACAUGGAUUGACAAUUAAGCUUUCAAGUUUGGGCAUUGCUCCAGCCCCCAUCGUCCACUCAUCUAGCCAAUACAUUGACUUCAGGUGCAAAACCUUAAGUUCCGGAAAGCCACCAGAGCCAACACAGGCCAUCUUUCUUCCUAAAUUCGAGUUCUGCUUCAGUUUCAGCACUUGAAGGUGUGGAAGCUUUUCCAGCGUUGGCAUGGGAUCCUCCAUUAGCUCAGUAUUCGAUAAGCUCAGAUGGGUCAGACUUGGGGGAAAUUGGUAUUCAGACAGGAACAUCCGUGAGCGCUUGCUUUCAUUCACCAGCUUCAAGCAUUCAAGUUUGUGCAGUUCGCAUAGGCUUUUGGAAAUCCCAGAUUGAUAAUAACUCAAAUCUCCGGAUAUUCUAAGAGUUUGAAUAUUUGGUAGUCUGCCCAAUAUAGCUGGAGUGCAACUACUAGGGUGUAAGGCUGAUAUGAAAAUGAGAUUCUUCAAAGAGCUGGAAUAAUUUUUUGGAGGUGCAGGGAGAGUGAUGCAACUGAAGUUUAGAUGCAUGAGUUUUUGCAUCAUCCAAAUAUUCUCUGGUGAAUGAUCUAUGUAGCUAGAUGGCAUUUCUAGUGUUUGAAGGUUUAAAAGGGUGUAUAGCAGCGAAGGAAGGCAUUUGAGCAAGGGGAUAUUCAAUUUCAAAUACUUCAAAAGGAAUAAAUUUUCUAAUCCGGGUGGAAAUUGGUCGAGAACUGCAGAACCCAAAUUCAAUACCCGAAGGUGUUUGAAAUUUUUACAAAAAUUCUCACAAUCUAUCAGAGCGAGACGAUCGCUUUCUGAACUGUGAUUCAGAAAAGAUUGGAGAUACAUGUCAGAAUAUUCUAAAGGAAAGAAGUGAAUCAGACCUUUCAAAAUGAAGCACCGUUUAACAUUUGCCAGUGAUUCCUCUUCCAUUUCAGGCAUCCAGACAAAUCCCGUCUUCUCUGCCACCAAACCCAAUGAAGUACAUACAAAACUUGGAACAUAACGCGCUUUAAUUGUGCCUCCGGCUCUUCUCUUACUCACUUGAAUGAAGCCGCGAUGGAUUAGUUCUUUCAAGUAGUGUUCGGCAGUUUCUUCACCGUUGUAUGGUAUGAAACCUUCAGCUACCCACAACUGAUAUAAUUGCAUCGUGGAUAUCUCAAUGCCUGGAGGGAAGACCAACAAAUAGAUGCAGCAGACUUUCAAGUGAAAAGGUAACUCCAUCACAGAAAAAAAUUGUCUCCAAACUGUCGGAAUCGCUUCGCCUUGAAGAUAAUUUUCUAAUGGCAUACUUCCGUAGUGUAGGAUGAAAAAUUGCCAGGCUUCAUGCUUUAAUCUGAUCAAUGGUCCUCCAAAGAGCACUGAAUCACGCCGAAUCUUCUCUCCAUUUUCCAUUUCCAACGACGCAAGGAGGUCUGGAUCAGUGACUGUUAUCAAUACUCUGCUUCCAUUCUCAUCAUCAGGAAGAAGUUCUUCGAGAUCACUCCAUAUCUCACUGUUAUCGAAGACAUCAUCAAGCACAAUAAAGUACUUCUUGUUUGUUAGGUAAUCUCGAAGAAUAGAUUUCUUCAAUUGAUAAUCUUCACCGAUAAUUACACUAACCCGAGAUUGAUGUCCUCCAGAAUUCCAAAAAUAUCUGCUGUUUCAACGUCUUCUUCAUCGCUUUCUUCUAAGUCCAACAGUUCCAAAAAAGGCAAAGAUAUUUUGGAGUCAUCGAAUUCUUCUCUAAUGAGUUGAAACAAAUGCCGAGCCAUGUCAGCUUCAUAGUUUCCCAGAAGAGUAGUAGCAAUAAUUUCGGACUCCGUAAGAAGGUUUUGAAAAAGUGGGGUUAAAUUUGUUGAAUCUGGCAGUGGCAACGUGCCUUCUACACCUGCUAACACCCUUUUCAACCUCUCACAAAACAGUCGGAGGUGGAAUUCCAGCAUAUCUCCUUCUCUCCGUAGCACUCAGAGGUAUAGUUGAAAGAUUAAACACCAUGGAAUAAUUUGAAAGGAAAAUGCCAAGAAACUGUGUAAGUGGCUAAAUUCCACAAAUAUUACAUUAUUGCUCAUUUUUUAACUCAAAAAAAUGGUACGCGUUCAUUUAGAGAAGAGUCCAAGCCCAGUAACAGGAAUAUUUUAUUUACUGGUGCUUAAAUCAAUUGUUUCUUUUUUAAUUUAAAGAUUUUUUCAUUAAAAAAUAUUUUAAUAUCAAAAUGCCUUCAAUGGCAUUACUGCCGCAAGCCCAGUAACAGGAUUAAUUAAAAAGUUCAGAAUUUUUGGGCAUGGAAACUGGAAAGAGUAUUAAACAUCAGAAAGCUAAGGUUUGUUCUGUUAAAGAAUUGAUAUUGACAUAAUAUUUUUUUUUUUGAGGAAAAAAAACAUAUUGGUUGACAAGCAAGGAAAUGUUUUUGUAUUUUACAAUCUGUUAUUAAAUAUUUUAUCAUAUUAAAGUAAUUUUAAUAACAAAUAGAAACAUAAUAUUACAAUAAAUAAAUUAAAGUUUAAAUUAUUUUGAAUAUUAUAAAAAAUAAUGUUAAUAUUAUUAAUAGGAAGACAUUUUGUUAAUUUUAAAAUCUUUUUAAUCCUAAGGUUUAUUUAAAAUCUCUAUAAUAAAUCCAAAUAUAAGAUUAAAAUAAAAAUCAUAAUUUGAAAAUUUUAAUAUUAUUUUAAAUGUUAAAUAUACUUUAAUGUUAUUAGCCUACUACGUAGAUUUUAUUAUUUAUAUUAUAUUCGUAUUGAUUAAAAUUUUUUAAAGUCAAUUUUUUAGUUAGUACAUUCAAGAGGUAUCAUAGUUAAAGAAAAGAUUUUGGUGCAACUGUUUUAAAAUUUCAGAGUGUAAAUGAUAAUUUUUUUUAAGUUUUAAGGAAGUAGGUAUUAUUUUUCCGACAAUUUAUUUUAUUUUGAGGGAAAUCCGAUGAGAAAUAUCAUCAGAGAACAUUAAUUUAACAUUCUUUAUCUUUGUGAAAAAAGUGGAAACCAAGAACUAUUCAAAAUUUUUUUUUUUUUGUAAUUCAAAAAAUGCAUUCACCAAACAAGCUUAUCUUAAUUUUCCCACUUUAUUCAUUUUCGAUGCUUUUCAAAAGAGGUUCCUUUAAUCCAUCUCCAUCCCACAUCUACACUAUCAAACAAGUUGAUGGAAAUUGGAACACAUUAAGUUAUGUUCAUUACUGGUCUUUGUCUUUCUAUGAGCCACUUAUUUUGAGCAUUAGCGAUCUUAUAAGGAAUCAUGCCUUUUCAGGAUCGUUUUCUUUCAUUUCCUUAUUGUAGUAGUUAAUUAAAUAAAGAACGAACAGCUGAACUUGGUCUUUUUGGAGGAAGAACAAGGUUUCCAAUACUAGAGGAACUUUGAAGAAAAUUAAUUGGAAGCCUUUAUUCAUCUUUGAAGAAAAUUACCACACUUUAAAUCCUGGAUAAAAAAAAUUUUAUUCAUCUUCGGACUAUGAAUUUAUAAAAUAAUAUUGUUAGGACUAAGAAAAAAUAUUAUUUUAGAUAAGUUAUUUAUUUAUUAUUGAAUGAAAAAUUUAUCAUGAUAAAUAAAUAUUUAUUAAUUUAAAGAGAGAUUUUUUUUUGGUUUUAAGAAGAGUUUUUUUGGUACAUGCACACAUUAAUAAAGAAACACAAAAAGUGCUUCCUCAAGUCAAUAGUAUUUGCUUUAAUCGCUAAGGUGCAUAAUAAUGUAGCUUAGUUAGGAAAUUUGUAAUUAUAUUAUGGCUCUAUUUGGUAUAACUUUUUAAUUAGAACUUAUUUAAGGAGAAUUUUUAUUAGUAGAGUUUUUAUAAAUAGAGAUUUUACUAAAAAAAAAUUAUAGUUAUUUAGUUGUCAAUGACCAAAUUGAUUAACUAUUGUUCUUUUUGUUAACAUGUGUUUGUUUUACUUAAUAAUAAAAGUUUAUUUUACAAUUACACCGGUGUCAAAUCAGCAGAGCACCGGCAAGAGUUUUCGAUUGUUGCAAUUUGCAAUGCACACGGUGAGGGAAAAUGAGAAUCUUGUUUAAUUGUGAAUAAUGACAAACCUAAUCCUUUCAUUAGGAGUAAAUUAAUAAUCGUUUGUUAUAAUUGAAUAUGUAUAAAGAAAGGAAAAUUAUAUUCAUAGAUUUGACUUAUUUUUUGUUUAACGUAACUAAUCAUUCAACCAUCUUCAUUUGCCUCUGGCCAAUGCCCUUGUAGAUUAGUUGAAGCGUUAAUUACAUAAUUCAGAUAAUUACAACGUCCUUUUCGCUAAUUAAUUAUGAUUAUGUACAUUUUCAUAUAGCAAGUGGCAUUGUAGAUCUAAACUACGUUGCUAUUUCAAUACGUUAAUUAAGUGAUUCUCCUCAUUGUCAUCAGCGUUAUAAACAGGAAUUGUGCAAACAGUACACAAUGCUGCGGCAAGGCGUGGGUGGCUAGAGUUUUGCAACCACCCUCGAGAUCCUGUGCUGCCAGUAGUAAAAGAAUUUUACACCAAUUUGGUAAGCCUUGGUCAGCACAACAUUUGGAUAAGAAACUCACUUGUUCCAUUAGACUCUCGAGUUAUAAAUUUUUUUUAUAAUUUACCUGCCGAAAUUAAUUGUGAGUAUGCCAAGUUGCUUGACAAAUUGACCUCGCAACAAUGGAACAUAAUUUUCACGACACUUACAGUAGAGGGUGCAUCGUGGGCUAAUGAGGAGGAGCGUGUAAUUAACAGGAUAGAUUUAAAACUCAUUGCUAAGGUGUGGGUGAAAUUUCUGAAAUCUAGGCUUAUGCCAACCACCCACACCACUACUGUUUCACAGGAAAGGUUGGUGUUGUUAUAUGCUAUUGUUAGAGGGCUUCCCAUAGAUGUGGGAAGUAUUAUCGAAAAAGAAAUUCGAGAUUGUGCCAUGAAAAACCACAAGGCUGCUGCCUUGUUAUUUCCUUCACUCAUAACCAGCAUAUGUGUAGUAUCAGGUGUUCAUCUUGAUGCAAAGGAUGAAAUUUGUAAUUAUAUUAUGGCUCCAUUUCGUAUAACUUUUUAAUUCGAACUUAUUUAAGGAGAAUUUUUAUUAGUAGAGUUUUUUAUAAAUAGAGAUUUUACUAAAAAAAAAUUAUAAUUAUUUAGUUGUCAAUGUCGAAAUUGAUGAACUAUUGUUCUUUUUGUUAACAUGUGUUUGUUUUACUUAAUAAUAAAAGUUAAGUUCACAAUUACACCGGUGUCAAAUCAGCAGAGCAUUUUUCCAGCCAGUCACAUUAUACAUUUUUGCAACUUGCAAUGCAAGCGAUGAGAGAAAAUGAGAAUCUUGUUUAAUUGUCAAUAAUGACAAACCUAAUCGUUUCAUUAGGUGUAAUUGCAUAAUCGUUUGUUAUAAUUGACUCUGUAUAAAGAAAGGAAAAUUAUAUUCGUAGAUUCGACUUUUUUUUUUUUAAGGUAAUUAAUCAUUCAACCAUCUUCAUUUGCCCCUGGCCACUGCCCUUGUAGAUUAGUUGAAGCGUUAAUUACUUAAUUCAGAUAAUUACAACGUCCUUUUCGCUAAUUAAUUAUGAUUAUAUACGUUUUCAUAUAGCAAGUGGCAUUGUAGAUCUAAAUUAUGUUGCUAUUUCAAUACGUUAAUUAAGUGAUUCUCCUCAUUGUCAUUAAGUGGAAAAUAGCUCAAUUGUUUCCCUGCAUCGAUUUUCAUUGGUAAGUGAUUUCUUAUGAUAUUCGUUUGAGCUUUCCUUAUUAAAAAAGCUUGAGCCUUGAUCACCUAAUACUGAUAUCAAUUUACUUGUGAACGAUUUUGUAAUGAAAUUAGGAGUUAAAUAUACAAGAUUUUUACCUGAUGAAUUUUGAUUUUUUUAAUUUUUUGAUGUAGUCAAUUUGCGAAUUUUAUAUAUUUCAUAUUCAACGGAAUUUGGGCACGGAAAGUUUGGAUUCUAAUAUUUAUAGAGUAAUGAUACAGCCACAAACUCUUGUACAAAAUUGAUGUGGCGUUAAUUCAUUAGUUGAAUUAAAUAUCUUUUUGCCCACAUGAUUUUUUUUUUUAUUUUUUUUUUUCAUUCAAUCAAUGAAUUAAUGCCACAUCAGUUUGUACAAAAUAAGUUUGUACAAGAGUUUGUGGUUAUAUCAUUAUAUUUAUAUAUUUAGCUUUAAUCAGUUUGACUUUAGCAAUCUUUUUCCCUCAUCAUUAAGGGAUUCAGAAUUAGAGAAACGCUAGGAAGAGGAAGAAAAUAACUUUGGAAAUAAGUAAGAGGGAAAAAAUUAUGAAAUUUUGAAUUAUUUUUUGUAAAGUAUGUUGCGUUUACUAAACUUGAAUUAGAAUGAGCUGAAAUCAGAAUGAAUAGGAAUGCGAAUGUGCUGAAAUCGGAAUAGGUAAUGAGAAUAAGAAUAAGUUGUUUACUUGAACUGUAAAAAUCAAAAUCGAAAUGAGCUGAAUUGCAAUUACUUUGUCUUGGAAGCGGAAUUAGAAUCGGAAUGAGUUAGAUUGUAACAAAUUACUAAAAAGUACUUAAUGAAUUAUUGUCAUAAUUAUUAUUUUAUAUUUUAAUUAUAGUGAUUAUUUAUUCAAAAAUUAUUAUUAUUAAUUAUUUUCAAUAAUAUAUUAAUAUGUUAAUUAAUUUUAAAAAUUAUUAAUUAAUUAAUUAUAAUAAUAUACUAAUUAAUUAUAAUAAUUAUAAAAAUAUAUUAAUAAUAAAAUUACUAAUUUAAUUAUAAUAAUAUAUGAAUUAAUUAUAAUAAUUAUAUUAGUAAUUAUUAUAAUAGUAUAUUAAUUAAUUAUAAUAAUAAAAAUAUAUUAAUUAUGUGAUUAUUUAUUCAAAAAUUAUAAUUAUUAAUAAUUAUUGUUAAUAAUGUAUCAAUAUAUUACUUAAUUAUAAUAAUAUAUUAAUUAAGUAUAAAUGAGGACAAAGGGGGUAUUUUUAAUUUCACGUAGGGGCAAAAUGGUCAAUUCUAGUAAUGGGAGACUCACUCCGACCCUCUCCCUUGGGAAUGAGUCUCCCAUUCCUCAUUCCCAAAUUGUGGUGGGCCCCAUAAUUUUGACUCUGAUUUUUGACUCAAUUUUGCGAAGUAAACGCUACCAAUGAUUCUGAUUUCGGAUUCUGAUUCACUUAUCCGAGAAGUAAAAGCAACAUAAAUGUGUAUGAAUAAUUGAUACCUAUGAAUAGUUUUGGGAGUUUUAGUUAGGAGUCGUUUAUUGAAGAUGUUUAGCAAUUAAAGAUCUCUGUCUCAGCAGUUUUCCCAAUCAAAAUCAAGAAGCAAAACAACUUGCCAUUUUUCUACUUGAUAAUUAAUUGAAAUUUAAGAAAAUACAAUGGCAUUUCAAUUAGAAAUGGUAAUUGUUUAUCUUUUUUCAUUGAUCAAAUUCUAAUCGUGAUCCAAUAGUUAUGGAUGAAGGAAAUAUUAUGAGAGGCGAUAGGCCAAGUGAAGACGUACCAGCAAAUUCAAAAUAGUCGGGAGGUGGACGUCCAGCAUAUCUCCUCUCUGUAGCACCCAGAUGUAUUGUUAUUUGCUCCAAGAAAUGUUAAAAGGAUUGGCCCUAUCUCAAUGUGGUUAGUGGUGAAAAAUUAAACACCAUGGAAGGAUUUGCAAGGAAUAUGCCAAGAAACUGGCUAAGUUCCACAAAUAUGGCAUUAUUGCUCUUUUUUUUUAAAGAAAAAUUAUACACGUUAAUUUAGCAAAAAGUCUAAGACACAUGCCUUUUGAAAAGAACAGCUAUUACCAUGACACAAUCGAUGCGGCUGAAACCAAAAUUUUCUUUUCUUAAUGUAAAGAUUUUUUUUAAAUAGAUUUUAAUAUCAAAAUGCCCUUCGAUGUUAUUACUGUCACAAGCCCUGUAACAGGAGUAAUAAAAAAUUUUAGAAUUUUUGGGCAUGAAAAAAGUAGUAUUAAGCAUCAGCAAGCAAAGGUUGUUCUGUUAAAGAAUUGAUAUUUUCGUGAUUUUAUUUUGGUUAUCGAGAAAAAAAAAUAUAUAUUUGUUGACAAGUAAGAAAAUAUUAUUAUAUUUUACAAUCUAUUAUACAUAUUUUAUUAUAUUAAAUAAUACUAAAUAGAAACAUAAAAUUAGAAUAAAAUAAAUUAAAAUUAAAAUUAUUUUGAAUAUUAUGUAAAAAAUAAUGUUAAUAUCAUUGUUACUUCUAAAAUAUAUUUAGCCCAAAGAUUUAUUUAAAAUUUUAUAAUAAAUAAAAAUAUAAAAAUAAAUUAAAUAUCAUAGUUUAAAAUCUUAAUAUUAUUUUAAAUAUUAAAAAUACUUUAAUGUUAUUAUUCUACUACACAUGUUAUAUUAUUUAUAUUAUAUUUGUAUUAAUUAAAAAUUUUAAAGUCAACUUUCUAGUAACUAUAUUCAAAGGUAUUAUGGUUAAAUAAAGGUCUUAGUGUUUCUUUUUCAAAAUUUGAGGGUCUACAUGAUAAUUUUUCCAAAUCCUAAGGUAUAGGUGUCCUUUUUGUCAAUAAUUUGAGAGAAUACGAUGAGAAAUAAGAUCAGAGAAAUGUCAAUUUAAUGUUCUCUAGCUUAAUGAAAAAAAAAAUGGAAACCAAGAACUAUUCAAUUUUGUAUUUUUUGUUUGUAAUUCAAAAAAUCCAUCCACCAAACAAGUUUCACGCAUUUAUGUUGUCAUAAAACAAAAAAACAGUUUGUGAAAAAAUGGCACCAAACAUACCCUUAAUGUCCCACAUGAUUUCUUAUGAAGCCCAUAUUAGAUAUAUUUAUACAUUUUACUGCAUUUAGGACAUAUUUGAUAGCCUGCAUUAUAUAGGAUAAAAACACAAUUUUGUAUUAAAUUAAUGCACACUCACGUUUGGCGCUAAAAGUAACUCCAGCCGCAUUGCAUUAAUGGGCUGCUAAUGCGGCAAUUGCCGCACUAGCUUGCCUCUUUUUCUUUUUAAUUUUAUUUAUAAUAAUAAUAAUAAUAAUAAUAAUAAUAAUAAUAAUAAUAAUAAUAACAUAAUAUAACUUUUUAUUUUAAUAUAAUAUUAUAUAAUAUUAAGUAUAAUUUUUAUUUUUACAUUAUAAUUAUUGAUAUAAAUUAAUAAAUGUAUUAUUUAUUAUUCAAUAAUAUUAUAUUAUAUAUUUUUAUUUUUACAUUAUAAUUUAUUAGUAAAUUUAUAAUUUAAUAUAAUUAAUAAUAAUAGAAAAUAUCAUUACAUGUACUACAAAACUCUUACUUUGAUUAUUUAACACAAUUUAUUUUAUUCGUGAAUAUGUUAUAACAAUUGUAUCACUUUAUUAUUUUGUUAUUAUUUUGUGGUAUGUAUAAAUUUUUAUUCUAUUAUCCUAGGAUGACUUUGAACUAAUGUUAUAGGUUUUAACUAUUUAUUUAUGUUGUUAUAUUAUUAGAGAUUAUUUGAUUAAAUUAUUUGCUUCGAUCUUUAUUUUGCAGGUCAUAUAUUUAGAAAUUGCUGAAAAAUAAAUGUUAUACUUCAAAAAAUUUAAGGCUAUAAGCUCGAUCUUUAUGAAGAAUUGUGAUAUUUUUUAACAUUUACACCAAAAAAAAUUGUUAAAUUUCUAAAAUUUAAGACUUCUAUAUUUAGUAUUUUUCUAAUUACUAAUAAGUAUUAUUUUCUAAAUAUAUAAUUUAAAUUAAUCACAAAAAAUUAAUACAGUACAGUGCAAUAUCAAAUAUAGUAUAAUAAAAAUUAUACAGUAUAAUGUAACACCAAAUAUUAUAUAAUAUUAUUAUAAUAUAGUACUAAUAUAAUAUAAUAUAAUACAAUAUAGUGUGCCAAACGCACCCUUAGAGUGUGUUUGGAACAUGGGAUUAUAGGGUAUUAAAACACUAUUCUUAUUAGCUUAAUACCAAUAUCAUGUUUGGAAAGAAAUUUUAAGGGAUUAAAGGGGGGUGAGCUAAUGCCAUAACUGCGGCAGUAGUGUCUUGGUUUUUUUUUUUAAAUAAUAAUAAAAAAUAUAAAUUUCUAAUUUUAUGUAAUAUUAUAUAAUAUUAAUUUUGAUUUUCUUUGAUCUUUACAUUAUAAUUAUUAAUAUAAGUUAAUACAUUUGUAAUUUAUUAUUCAUAUUUUAAUUUUUAUUAUAUUAAAAAUAUAACUAAAUAAUUUAAUUUUAAUUAUAUAAUAAUUAAUGUAUAAAAUUGAUUAAUAUUUAAUAAGUUAAUACAACUAGUAAUAAGUGCUUAAAUAAUACAUAAAAAUAAAAAUAUAACAUAAUAUUACAUUAUUUAAUUAUAUUACAAUAACUAAUAUAUAAAAAUUGAUUAUUAUUUAACAAUUUAAUAUAGCUAAUAAUAGAUACUUAAAUAAUAAUUUAAUAUAACUAAUAAUGAAUAUAUUUAAAUAAUAUUAAUUUAAAAUUAAUACCAAUAUAUAUAAUAAUAUAAAAUAUUAUUACAUGUACUGUAGUAUUCUUACUUGGAUUAUUUAGCGCAAUUUAUUUUAUUAGUGAAUAUGUUACAACUAUUGUAUCACUUUAUUAUUUAAAUUAAUCAAAAAAAUUAAUACAGUACAAGAUAAUACUAAAUAUUGUACAACAUUAUUAAAAUACAGUAUUAAUUCAAUACAAUAUAAGACAAUAUAUCUAUAUUAAAAUAAAAUAAUAUAAUUUAAUAUAAUACAAUAUGUCAAACGCACCCCGUGUAUUUUAAUUUCAAAAGAAGUUGGUCCUUCCUUUAUUUAUAAAAGAUAACUUUAUUUUCAGAUUACCACUAAACUCUGAAGUAGAAUUAGUGUAAUGUUAAGAGAGAGUGACACAGUUUUCCAUUACCAUCUAUGAAAAUAGAAAGAUAUGGAUCAGUGUAUUUAAGAGUUAUCGUGAAAAUCAUACAAUUCAAUUCCCUGACACAUAUAUUUAUGAGCAUAUGCCAAAAGAAUAAAUAGAUAGAAAGUAAAUUUACAAUCCUCACUUCCUCACAAUUGUUAAAAUGAAGACGCAUUACAACUGUGAACUGUCACUACUUUAUCCUUUUUUAUUUUUUAUUUUUUAUUUUUAGUUAUAGUGUGAUGGAGACAGUGAACAUCAAGGAUGAGAAUAAAAGUUAAAGAUGACCCACCCACUUUCUUUUUAAAGUGCUCUGCUGAAAGCCAAAGUUCCUCUGGCUAAUUAAUUUAGAUGUGAAGAGAGAAUAACGAUAUGUUAGAUUAUUUGGUAGACUAUAGACCUAAAAGUUCCUUCUGAAAUUAGAAAUACAUUUUAUAUGCUUUAAUUAUGAUUAUUUGGUAGACUAUAGACCUAAAAGACAUGUUAGAUUAUAAAAUAGUGCGAUUAAAAAAAAAAGAGUAUUUGUCACGUCAAAUAACAAUUGGUAACUAAAAUCCAAAAUAUUUCAGUUGUUAAAAUCAAAUAAAAAAAAAGAAGGUAAGAGUGAUGCAGAAACACAAUAUUAGCUUAUCUUGAUUUUCCCACUUUAUUCAUUCUCGAUGCUUUUCAAAAGAUAUUCUUCUACUCCUUCUGGUGUCUGCAGCCCCUUGUCACGGGAUGAGAGGUUUCGAGCCCGUGCGGCACUCUCACAUCCCAUACUACGAGAGUAAACCUAGUGGAAGUGGCACAAUAUCGACUAGUUUCGCCCUGCCUUGGGCUCAUCAGGAGAACGGCUCCAGUUCCCAACCAGUGUGUGUAGGGCUCUGAUACCAAAUUGAAGUUUAACCAAGCUAUUUAUGCUUGUUUGGUUGCAGAGAAAAUGAAGGAAAAUUCAAUGAGUAAUAAGAGAAACUAUAAGAGAAAUGGAUCGAAUCUUAUUCAAUGAAUUAUGAAUACAGAGGUUGACCUUAUAUACUAAGAUCCAGAACCUUCUGUAUUGCUCACACACGUGUUGAGAGUGAGCUGUGAUUAACAAACUUCUCAGCUCUAUAACAAACUUACAAACUAACAAUAACAGCCUUGCUUACUCAGCUACCACAUCAGCAGAAUCAUUACAAAAAUAUUCUUUAUAUUUAUAACUCUAACAUCCCCCCUCAAGCUUGCUGCGCAAAUAAGCAAACUGAUCAAAACAGAGGGGCUUAGUAAGAACAUCUGCUAAUUGAUCUGAACUGGGAACAUAAGUGACUGAAAGCUGCUGUUGAGCAAUAUGCUCUCUGAGAAAAUGAAGAUCAAGCUCAAUAUGUUUAGUACGAGCAUGAUAUUUAGGAUUACUGGCCAAAGCUUCAGCACUCUUGUUAUCACAAUGCAGAAGAGGAAUCUGAUCAAAAGAUAUGUUAAGCUCUUGAAAUAAGUAUGUAAUCCAGAGAACUUCAGAGGUAGCCAUAGCAAGAGCUCUAUACUCUGACUCAGCUGAUGAUCUGGACACAAUGGGCUGCUUCUUAGAGGACCAAGAGAUGAGAUUGGAACCUAAAAACACACAAUAACCUCCAACAGAUCUGCGAUCAUCAGGAUAUGCUCCCCAAUCAGCAUCAGAGUAGGCAGUUAACUUUAAAGAACCAGAACUGAAAAACUGAAGACCAUAAUCAGCUGUACUUUGAAGAUACCGUAACACCCUCUUGCAAGUUUGCCAAUGAAGAAUGGUGGGAGCUGAUAAAAACUGACUAAGCUUGUUGACUGUGAAAGCUAAGUCUGGUCGAGUUAACAGAACAUAUUGAAGAGAUCUCAUAAUGCUUCUGUAUAAGGAUGGAUUUUCAAAUGCAGCACCUGUAUCCUUGUGCAGCUUCUCAGAAGUACUCAUAGGUGUAACACAACCUUUACUGUCCAGCAUAUUUGCCCUUUUAAGAAUAUCACCAAUGUACUUAGUUUGAGAUAGAUGAAUACCUUGAACAGAUGGAGUAACUUCAAUACCAAGAAAGUAAUGAAAAUUCCCCAGCUCCUUCAAGGAAAACUCAGAAUGUAAUUGCUGAAUAACAUUUCCUAUGAGCUUUGAAUCUGAACCCGUGACUAAAAUAUCAUCCACAUAAAUGAGAAUGAGCAAGAUAUCUUUCCCUGCAUGCUUAAUGAACAGAGAAGUGUCAGAUUUGGAGACCUGAAAACCCCAUUAAAUUAAUGACUCCUUUAAUCAAUCAUACCAGGCUCUUGGAGCCUGUUUGAGACCAUAUAAGGCCUUGUUAAGCUUACAAACAUAAGAAGGGUAAGUGGAAUCAACAAACCCUUGUGGUUGAUGCAUGUACACAUCUUCAGUAAGAAUGCCAUUGAGGAAAGCAUUGUUUACAUCCAGCUGCUUAAUAGGCCAGUGAUGCAUGACUGCUAGGCUUAAAAUGAUUCUGACAGUACAAGGCUUGAUCACAGGGCUAAAUGUCUCAAAGAAAUCAACCCCAUAAGUUUGAUGAUAUCCCUUGGCAACCAACCGAGCUUUAUACCGAGAGAUACUGCCAUCAGCAUUAUACUUAACUCUGUAAACCCACUUGUUGCCAACAAUUUUCCCAGCUGAUUCAGGAGGCACUAAAGUCCAGGUUUGAUUUCUUUGGAGAGCUUCAAAUUCUUCAUUCAUAGCUGAGUACCACCUAGGAUCUGUCAAUGCUGCUUUGACAUUGGAUGGUUCAAGGUCUUGAGAAACAGCUAAGUAGGUUUUGGGUUUGUAGAUACCAGCUUUAGAUCUGGUAACCAUAGGAUGAGUAGAGAUUACUGGUGGAGAAGAAUUUGAAGAUCUUGAGGGUUGAUCUAGAGAUUGUGAAUGAACAGAAUGUGGCAAGGAAUGAGACUCUGAUGCAGGAGACAGAGCAGGACUAGAGACUGCAGCUGAUGGCUCUUCAUUGCUACUGUGACUAAGAACAGGUGUUUGAGGAAGAAAGAAAUGAACUGAAGAUGGAGUGGAGGUAGCAGAAUGAGAUAAGGUGUUGGACUUGUUUUUCAAAAACAGUUCAGAAUACAGAAAUUCCAGUUCAUUGAAAGUAACAUGUCUAGCAACAAAGACUUUCCCAGUUCGAUCAAGACACUUGUAGCCCUUAUAAAUGGGGCUAUAACCAAUGAAGACACACUUUUGAGUAUGAAAAUCUAGCUUGUGAUGAUGAUAAGGUUGAAGAAAAGGAAAACAAGAACAGCCAAACACUUUAGGAAACUUGUAAUCUGGAAGCUGAUUGUAUAGUUUUUGAAAAGGAGAUAAAUUAUUUAGAACAUGUGUUGGCAUUCUAUUCACUAAGUAAGUGGCUGUAUGAAAAGCUUCCCACCAAAAAGAGAGAGGUAAAUGAGCUUGAGCUAAGAGUGUGAGUCCAGUUUCAACAACAUGCCUAUGCUUCCUUUCCACCACACCAUUUUGAUGGUGAGUGUGGGGGCAACUAUAUCUAAAUUGAAUACCCUCUUGUUGGAGAAAUGAUCUGAAGGCUAUAAACUCACCCCCCAUAUCAGUUUGUAGUGUUUGGAUGGAUAAAGAAAACUAUUUUUCGACAAGAGACUUGAAAUAUUUGAAGGUGUCAAAUGCCUCAGAUUUGAGUGUGAGUGGAAAUACCCAACAAUAUCUUGUGAAAUCAUCAACAAAAGAAAUAUAGUACUUGUAUCCAUCCAUAGACAACACAGAAGCUGGACCCCAUAAGUCAGCAUAUAAGAGUUGGAGAGGAAAUUUUGAUUUUAUAUCAGUGACUGGAAAAUGGAAUUGAUGUAAUUUGCCAUAUUGACAAGCAUCACAAAAAUUAAGAGAUUGAGAAUAUGUUGAAUGCAUAGGAAGACUUUUCAUUAUUGUUUGCAAGACAUGUUUGGUUGGAUGACCAAACCUAUUGUGUAGCAACUGCAUAGACUCACUACUGGAAGCUAGAAAACUGACAGAAUUCUCAUUAUUGGAAUUGAUCAAAUUUGAACAGACAUUUGUUUGGUGAUUCAACUCUUUCAAAGAGUGUACAUUCUCUUUAUUUGAAAAAACAGACAACAUUGAACUAGGUUUGAGACCCAAGGCUUUAGAAUCAGAAAAAGGUGUAUCUUGAGUCAGUAGCUUAAAGAGACCAUCCUCAGCAAUCCCCUGUGCCAGCAAAGUUCCUUGCAUCUUGUCCUUAAUGAAACAAAGAUUAGAAACAAAUUUAAUGAUUAUAUGAUUGUCAGAGAGAAGUUUAGAUAAGCUAAUCAGAUUCUUGGUAAUUUUGGGAACACAUAGAACAUUGGAAAGGUUUAAUUGAUUACCAAAGGAUGUAAAGAGACAUAUAUUGCCUAUGGAAGUAAUUCUAAGACCUUGUCCAUUACCAACUAACAGCAACUGAGAUCCAAGAUAAGGUUUACCUUCAGCUAGGUUCUCCAUAUUGUUUGUGAGAUGAUGUGUUGCUCCACUAUCCAGAUACCAUCCUUGGUCAGCAACUCCUUCUGAUGUAGCCAUGAAGGCAGCUCUGGAAGUUUGAUUCUGAUCUGAAAAAUUUCCUUGCACAGAAAAAUUAGGAACAAAAUUUCUAUUAAAUAUGUCUUUGCAAUCAGCUGCAGUAUGAUUGUGCUUGAAACAAAUCUGACAAACAAUAUUUCCUCUGCCUCCUCCUCUUCCAAAUCCAUUAUAGCCACCAGGAAAUCUACCAGAAAAAUUUCCAGCAGCACCAGCAAAAUUGCCUCUACCCUGAUUUCCAUUCCAGUUAUUCCAAUUAUUAUUCCAUUGUCCUCUACCUGAAUUUUGUCCCCUUCCUGGAUUGAAACCUCCUCUAUUUGUAAAGUUUCCAUUCCAGUUAUGAAAUCCAGGUUUGUUUCCAGUGUUUCCAUUCCAGCCUCCUUGACUAUCAUUAUUCAAGCCUCCCUGAUUGUUAACUUUCUUUUGAUUAUUCCCAGCCUGAGCUAAGUUAGCAGCAUAGUUCUGUUUCACUUCCUUGAAAGAAUUAGAUUGAUUGCUUUCUAAACGUGCCUCAUGUGUCAACAACAUUGAAUAAGCCUCAUUAAUACUCAUUUUUAGAACAUUUGCUUCAAUAUACACAACUACUGGAUAAUAAGGCUGACCUAAUCCAGAGAUGAGAUGAGUUAUAAAAUCCAAAGAACUAACAGGACUUCCAGCAAUAGCAAGCUCAUCUAUAACUGACUUCAACUUACUAAAAUAUUCUGUCAUAGUCAUAGAUCAUUUCUUUAGAUUAUUCAACAUCAUUUUGAGAUGAACUUUCUUAGCAGCAGUUUCAGAUCCAAAUUGUUGCUCUAAACUAGACCACAGUUCAUAAGAGGUUUUAGAGUUUACCACAAGGCUGAGGAUUUCAAUGUUGAUAGAGGAUAGCAGCCAGCUCAGCAGCAUCUGAUCUUGCUUUCUCCACACAUGAAACUCAGGAUUCUCUUGUGAAGCAACAGUUGAACUUGCAGAAGUAUUGAACAUAGCAUCUGAAUUUCCUUGAGUGCUUGAGAGAAAUUGAUCUGGACAGAUUCUGGAUCCAUCAAGCAAACUCUCAAGCUCAUUUGCUCGAACUGAGGAUAGAAUUUGAGAUUUCCAGAUUAAGUAAUUUGAUCGAUCAAGUUUUAUUGGAGUUGUAAAAGUAAAGGUUGUUGCUGAAGAAGAGAUGUUUGUGGUCAAGCUUGAUAAUGCCAUGAGAUUAGACUAGACGUGGCUCUGAUACCAAAUUGAAGUUUAACCAAGCUAUUUAUGCUUGUUUGGUUGCAGAGAAAAUGAAGGAAAAUUCAAUGAGUAAUACGAGAAACUAUAAGAAAAAUAGAUCGAAUCUUAUUCAAUGAAUUAUGAAUACAGAGGUUGACCUUAUAUACUAAGAUCUAGAACCUUCUGUAUUGCUCACACACGUGUUGAGAGUGAGCUGUGAUUAACAAACUUCUCAGCUCUAUAACAAACUUACAAACUAACAAUAACAGCCUUGCUUACUCAGUUGCCACAUCAGCAGAAUCAUUACAAAAAUAUUCUUUAUAUUUAUAACUCUAACACGCUUAGUCUCCUCUUCAACGUUAAGUCCUCGACUAGCAACAAGCUCCCCAAACUCAACUGGGUUGGCCUGCCUGAACUCCAAGAAAUCUAGGAUCAUUGUAUUCCCCACACACACGCCCCUGAAGCACGUCUCCUACAAUUAGCACAACUAUUAUCGAUGCAAGUGUACAAGCACAUAUCUUCGGCAUCACAAUUGCAGUCCGUGACACCCUGCUCUUCUUAUAAAACUCCACCCCAAAUCUACACUACAAACAAGUUGAUUGAAAUUAAACAAUUGCUUUUUCAAGUGGACCCAUUGAGUCGUGGUCAUUACUCAUCAUUGUCUAUUUUUUCUAUGAGCCAUUUAUUUUGAGCAAUAGUGAGCUUCUCUGAACUACUCCAAUUAUUGAUGUAACUCCAGUGGCUGCAUCCAUAGUUGAAUAUAUGACAGUAUUAGCUCUUAUGUGAGAAUAUAGGGGGAUCUUUCUUUGUUUCUUUACGUAGCUAGAUGGCAUGUCCAGUGUUUGAAGGUUUGAAAGGGUGCAUAGCGGUGAAGGAAGACAUUUGAGCGAAGGGAUAUUCAAUUUCAAAUACUUCAAAUGGAAUAAAUUAUCUAAUCCGGGUGGAUAUUGGUCCAGGACUGCAGAAUCCAUGUUCAAUACCCGAAGGUGUUUGAACAUUUUACAAAAAUUCUCGCAAUCUAUCGGAUUAAGAUGAUCGCUUUCUGAACUGUGAUUCAGAAAAGAUUGGAGAUACAUGUCCGAAUGUUUCAAAGAAAAGAAUUCAAUCGGAUCAUCGAAAAUGAUGUACCGUUUGGUAUUUGCCAAUGAUUCCUCUUCGAAGUCAGGCGUCCGGACAAAUCCCAUCAUUGCUGCCGUCCCAACUAACGCAGCAUAUGCAAAAGUUGGAACAUAACACGCCUUAAUUGUGCCUCCGGCUCUUCUCUUAUUCACUUGAAUGAAGCCACGAUCGAUUAGUUCGUUCAAGUAAUGCUCGGCAGUUUCCUCACUGUUGUAUGGUAUGAAACCUUCAGCUACCCACAACUGAUAUAAUUGCCUGGUAGAUAUCUCAAUGCCUGGAUGGAACACACACAAAUAGAGGCAGCAGAUUUUCAGGUGAGCAGAUAACUCCAACACAGAAUACAUUCGACUCCAAGUUGUCAGAAACGCUUUUUCUCCCGUGUAAAUUCUUAAUGUCGUUUUUCCAUAGUAUAGGAUGAAAAAUUGCCAGGAUUCAUGCUUUAAUCUGAUCAAUGGUCCUCCAACGAGAACUGAAUCAGGACGAAUCGGCUCUCCAUUUUCUAAUUCGAACGAGCAAAGGAAGCCUGAAUCCGUGACCGUUAUCAAUACUCUGCUUCCAUUCUGAUUCUCAGGAAGUACUUCUUCAAGAUCAUCCAAUACAUCGUCACUCUCUUCACAGUAAUCAUCAAGCACAAUAAAGUACUUCUUGUUUGUUAGGUAAUCUCGAAGAAUAGAUUUCUUCAAUUGAUAAUCUUCACCGAUAACUACACUAACCCGAGAUGGAGGCAUCACAGACUUGAUUAUGUCAUCCAAUAUCAUGCGAAAAUCGUAGGCUAUAGAAACCCUGACCCAAGCAUGACAGUCAAAAUAGAACUUGACAUGAUUAUUGUUGUAAGUAUCAGCAGCAAAAGCAGUCUUAUCAAAGCCACUGCUGUCGAGAAUUGCAACCACUGAAAGCCGAGGUUGUCCCUCGAUCAGUAAAUCAAACAACUCCUCUCUGCCGCUUUCAAAUUCACUCUUAUCAAACUGAAAUUGUCCCUCAAUCAAUAAGUGAGUGAAUUCGUUCCUUCGCUCUUUGAAAUCAAAACCAUUUUCUCUAGGCGGAAUUUGUUGCAACCGAUUUCUAAUAUCAAUGAUUUUACUGUGGAUUCCGACAAGAAGAGCAAUGCAAGUAGUGCUUUCACUUUCACUGCAUUGCUGCUGCGUGAUGUUGAUGAAGAAUGUGUCAAUAGCUUUCUCUGAUUCAUCGACAAAGUAAUUGAUGUCUUUCAGAAGUUCCCAAAUGUCUGUUCUUUUAACAUUUUCUAAGUGCAAGAGUUGCCGAUAACGCGAAGGUAUUUCGUCUUCAUCGAAAUGUUCUCUAAUGAGUUGAAUCAAAACCCGAGCCAUGUCAGCUUCAUAGUUUACCUUCUUCACCUGCUAACACCCUUUUCAACCUCACACCAAAUAGUGUGAGGUUAAUUUCCAUAUCUUUCCCUCUGUCAGUAGUACUCAGAGGUACGUAUUGUUAUUUGUUAGUGUUGAUGACGAAAGCUGAAUAUCAAAGGAUAUAAAUCAAACAAAAGUUUUUGUAGAUUGAGAAUGGAUGGAUGCAAAGAAUGACUGAUGUUAAAUGAUUCUAUAAAUGAGAUAUGCAAAGAAUGAAUGAUAUUAAGUGAACAUCAAGGAUGGGAACAAAAUUUAAAGGUAAUUUUUUUUUUUAAGUACUCUGUUGAAAGCCAAAGUUCCUUUGGCCAGUUAAUUUAGAAGUGAAGGAAUGAAUAAAGUUAGUCCUCGACGUCUUUUGAAAUUAGAAAUACAUUUUGAAUGCUUUAAUAGAUGCAGAGCAAACUGGCUCGAUAUCUAACUAUUUUAAGAGCUAAAAUCAUUUAUUAGAAGUUGUAGCAUUAAAAAAAAGGGCUUGAUAUCCAAUUUUGUUAUUGAAUAUGUCUCACGUGAGAGUAUAUAACUGUUGUGUUACUGGCAGAUGGCUACGCUAGGUUUUAUUGCUCCCUGAAUUUGAUUGAAAAAUUAUUGAGACGGACAAGUUUGGACCGUCGUUCGAGACUGAAACUACAUAUCAGUCUUAGAAAAUUGUAAUUUUGUUGGCUUAUCAUGAUUUUCAUCGCCCCAUAUUGAUUUUCCUAUGAUGUCUCUGUAGAGUGGCUAUGCUUACAUUUUUAGGUAUUUACUUCUAAAGGUUAACUUAUUAGAUGGAGGGACCAAUUCUACCUAUAAAUCCAAGUGGCUUCCCUUUACUAACUCAUAUGAGACACAACAAUAAUUUUCUUUGGACAAAACCAUUGUUGGAAGGUUAUUUUCGUUCAACAUACAUGAGUUGUUCCACCGCUAUAUUUUGAGGGUUUGCUUUGGAUACGACUUGGGGGAGCUAAUGCUAAGAUUUCUAAGUAUCAACAUAAAAACCUUGCCUAUUAGGUGGAAGGACCAAUCCUACUUUAAAGUCUAAAUGACUAAUUCUUGAGGACACAACUCAACAGACCAAUAUAAAAUUUUGACGUCCCAUUUUAUUACUUUCCAGUGCUUUUACUUUUGCUGUCUAGAGCCCUACUAUUCUAUUAAGCAGAAAAUAUUUCAAGGCACUCUCGGUCUAGUAGAUAACUUUGGUAUUUAUUAUCUAUUGGGAAAAUGACACAGACACCCCCAACGUUUAGUAAAGGGACACAAAACUCCCUAAUGUUUGAAAAAAGACAUACAGACCCCCAUUUCAUGACGGAAACAGUUUCGUUAAAUCAGUCAAAGGUUAAUAUCGUAAUUGCACAUUAACAACAAAUGAAUUGACCAAAAACCCACACACGAACAAAACGCUUAACACACGCACUGACACUGCUCCUUCCAGAUCUUGACAAAAUCCUUAACGGACACACUCACACGGUUCGCCGGAAACUGCUGGAAUUGCUGGGGUUGCCGGAAGUCGCUGGAACUGCUGGGCCUGCCGGAAGUCGCUGGAACUGCUAGGGCUGCCGCAAGUCGCUGGAACUGCUAGGGCUGCCGCAAGUCGCUGGAUCUGCUCGCGCUGCCGCAAGCUGCUGGAUCUGCUCGCGCUGCCGCAAGCUGCUGGAUCUGCUCGCGCUGCCGCUGCGUUGAUCGAGACCGCAUCUGGCUGCUGCUCGUUCGUGUGGCUGCUGCUCGUGCGUGGUUGCUGCUCGUUCACGUGGUUGCUGCUCAUGCAUCUUCAAUCCACGGUUCACUUAUCUUAAACUAGCUUUUCCCUCUUUAAUUUUCUUUUUUUUUUACUAAAUUAACUUUAUUUCUUUUUAUUAUCAUUCAAAAUCCACCAGAAUUUUUGAGAAUUUUUGGACAAUUAAUUAAUUUUGGAGAAUUUUAGACAAUUAAUUUCACCGAAGAAGUGAGCUUACCAUGGGCAUAAUGCCAAAAAAGCUUGUACUGGUUUAUUGGAGAUUUAUUGUGCUUAAUUUAUCAAUGAAAAGCUUGUACUGGUUUGCAUAUGGUAACAAAUAAAAGCAGGCAAUACUACAACGACGUCCCAACAAGCUAUGAGAGGAAGUUCACAAGCUAGGAGCCAGAGUUGUCAUACAAAUUUGUGAAUAAAUAAUGUUUUUUUCUCAAAAAAAUAUUAUGGUUAUUGUUGUAAUGAUUACCAGUAUCAAUUUGAUACAAUAUUAUGAUAUAAGGAUUAUUUGUUAUGUUUAUUGGUGGUUUUUUAUGUCUAUUUGAUAUGUUAUUUAGUACAAUUAAGAUGUUGUUAACCAGUUUUUUUUUUAAAUUUUUUUUAUUAUACUGGUUUAAAUGAUUGACAUAUGAAGAAUUGUUAUUUUUAUAGUAUUAAUAAUUAAUUUUAUUUAUUUUUAUUCUUGAAUAAUGGAUUAAAAUUAUUUAGCUUGUAGAGAAUUUGAUAAAAAAUUAUUAAUGAUUUUAUUAUAAAAAAUUUAAUAGAGAAAUUGGAUAAUGAUGGUAUAUUCGUAAUUUUAUUAAUAAUAUAUGGGUAAAAUAGACAUUGAACAAUUUUUUUUUAAUGCUAAAAGGAUAUAACGGUAAUUACAUGUUAAAAUUAUAAUUUCCGUUACUAACGGUUUUCGUUAAGAAAUUGAGGUCUGUAUGUCUUUUUUCAAACAUUAGGGAGUUUUGUGUUCCUUUACUAAACGUUGGGGAUGUCUGUGUCCUUUUCCCUUAUCUAUUUUCGUUCCGUUUUAUGUAUACCCCGAUCUUUACCUCUGAUUGGUUGUAGAUUCUUUUGUUGCUUUGGGGUUAGGGGAUGGUUUUCAUAACUAUUAAGUUAAUCAAUGCAGAAAAUCUCCAUCAACAAAUGAUAAAGGAUUGUUAGUUCUGUCUGACAAACAACAUUAAUAUGAAGGAUGAUGAUUGUUCUGUUCAAGAGUUUAUAAUGACAUAAUUCUACUUUGGUCUUUUAAAAAAAGUAAGUUAGAAACGAGGAGUAUGUGAGUGAUGAUUUUUACAAAAUAAAUUGCAUGCAUGGUGAUGAUUUUGACACAUGAAAAUGAAAAAAGAAAUAUAAAUUGUGAAUAAUAAUUGAAGUACCUGCUAUUGUUAUAUUGAGUAAUCAAGGACUUCAAUAUUCGGACGAUAUAAGCAACACAAUCAAAUAUUAGUUGGAAGGCAUAGCAAAAUUAGAAUGUAGAACAAACUGGGUAUUGAUAAAUGGAUGGUUUUGGAAGAAUUGAAAAUGAUGGCAUAAGUAAACCAGAGUUAAAAGAAAAGAGAAAGAGCAUUUGAACUUUACUUGUAAGUAAAGGCAAAUUUCUUGGUUCAAGAAAAGAUAAGAGAUAUCAAACUAGCAAUAGGAAAAAGGAGGAAGGUUAAGACAGCAUCUCAACAAAAGCUAAAGAAAAGAAAAACUUAGUUCAAGCAAAGAACAAUGUGCUAAUGUCUGUGUAAUCUUGUUUAAUUUCUUUUUCUUCUCACAUUUUCCAGGGCUUAAAUAAUACAAUAUACAUUUUCAAGCAAAGAACAAUAUGCAAUUGCAGUACUUCUGAGCACACAACAACAAAUAAAUAAUACAAUAUACAUACCCACUAAAUUAAAAAAAAAUAUUAUUCAAGUUUGUGGACAAUACUGUAGCCAUGACGUCGUCGAAAUCUGCUGACAGCUGAAACAAAGAAAGAAUGGAUGAAUGCUGGAUCACAGUUGAAAUUGAAGGUCUGGUAGGUGAUGUUUCCCUCUCUGAUUUUACCUAAACAAAUACAAGAAAAUAAGAAUCACAAAUGAAAAUCUGCUAUUACACUGUUCUUACUUAUUAAAAUACAGAGGUUUCUUUGUUUCUCUGCAGCAAUGUCCAUGGCUAUUAGAAACAAGAACAAUUAGACCAGCAUUUGCAAGAGUCCUUUAAGGUAUUACUGCAGAUAUAAAUCAAGACUGAGGAAAUGGAAAAAUUGAAUACCAAAUUAGGCAAGUUAACUGAAGAUUGAGUUAUCAUAGAAGAAUAAAACUCAUCCAAUUCAAUCCAUCAAAUUCCAUAAGGAUACAACUGGAUGUCAUACUGCUGCUCCAUUUCCUCAAAAGCCCGUAGAUUUUGCCUCAACACUGGCUGAGGCCAAUGUAACUCCAAUUUGCAAAAGCUCUUUAUGCACCAUAGCUCUUCAGGAAGCUUUCUCAAGUAAGCACAAGGGUUGCCAAUUAAGCUUCCAAGUUUUGGCAUUGCUCCAGCCCCUAUCAUCCAAUCCUCUAGCCAAUACAUUGAUUUCAGGUGCAAUACCUUGAGCUCCGGGAAACCACAAGAGCAAACACAAGACAGUUUUCUUCCUGAAUAUGAGUUCUGCCUCAAUUUCAGCACUUGAAGGUGUGGAAGCUUGUCUAGUGUUAGCAUGGUAUCCUCCAAUAACUCAGUAUUUGAUAAGCUUAGAUGGAUCAGACUUGGAGAAGCUGGUAUUUAGACAGGGCCAUACGUGAGAACUACCACCUCUUGGUUUCGUUCACCAGCUUCAAGCAUUCAAGUUUGUGUAGUUCGCAUAGGCUUUUGGAAACCCCAGAACAAUCAUAAUUCAAAUCUCCAGAUACUACGAGUUUGAAGAUUAGGUAGUCUGCCUGUUAAAGUAGCUCACUAUGCCGAACAAAAGAAGGAGAAAGCUAAAGUGAAGAAAAUACAGAGCAAGAGUAUUAGCUGUGCCAGUUCAACUGAUAGCUCAGCAAAAUCAGUUAAAUUUUGUUACAAGCCCACUGUGCAUUGUGCUGAAGAUUAGUUAGUUUAAUAAUGAUUAGUUUUAGAUUAGUUAAAAUGUAAUCAUGAUUAAGAUAUAUAUAUAUAUAUAGCUGCUGUACUGAUAUCAUGGAUUAAGUUGUUGAGAAAUAAAAUUCAUUAAGCAUUUCCAGAACAGUUGAUUUUCUUUCUCAGUAGCCAAACAACUUCAAUCUCGUUUUUUUUCAACAAUGAGUUCUCAAACCACUCAAGUAUCAUUUUCAGAGAUUCUUGGCCUUAUACUCACCAUCAAAAUGGAUUGGUUGAGAGAAAACAUAGGCAUAUUGUUGAAUUAGGUUUGACUCUGUUGGCUCAAGCUCAACUUCCUUUUAAAUUCUGGUGGGAUGCAUUCCAUACUGCUCUAUAUCACAUCAAUAGAUUACCAUCUUCUGUUUUCAAACUUUUGACCCCAUAUGAGAAGAUAUUCAAGCACAAACCUGAUUAUGAUUUUCUCAAAUGUUUUGGUUGUAUUUGUUAUCCUUACUUGAGAGACUAUAACAAAAAUAAGUUUGCCUAUCAUUCCAGAACGUGUAUAUUCAUUGGUUAUAGUCCUUCACAAAAGGGUUAUAAAUGCUUACAUUCUUCAGGUCAAGUCUAUGUGGCAAGACAUGUUAUCUUUGAUGAGUCAACCUUUCCUUAUGCUACUGAAUCUGUUUUUCAUAGUCACACAAAUUCUGAUUCUCAUUCUUCAAAUUUAUUUCUCCACAGCAUGUCUAUUAUCUUUCUACUUUACCUGUCAUACCAGUAUUUCUAAAUAACAACACUGACAAUCUAAACUCUACAAAACUAAAAUGCCAGCUUUUUGGUGUUAGCGAUAAGAAACAACUUACCACAACCAUUAAUUAUCCAUAAUUUCAUUGUUUAUCCUCAGUUUUCUUCAUAAAUGUUACAGCGUUCUUCACAACAAAGUGCAAGGGCAUCUCAAAAGUUCUAAAAUAAUACCUCAAUUCUAUUGCAAAAAUAAAUAAUCUCAAACAAGAACCAAUAAUCAUAUGAAUAAACAAUUAAAGAUAGAGAAAAAAGGCUUAAACCUUGGGGAAAAAAAGUGAAAAAACAUGAAAGACAAAUUACACAUGUGCAGUAACCAUCGAACUUAUCAAUGACAGCUGCAUCCAUUACAUUGCUCCAACAACACAAUGGCAAACCACCAGUUUCAAAUUGAGGAUAGCUAUCGAGAAUGAGAAAGUGUCCAAAACGUCAUCAAUAGACAUGUUCCUAUUGUGCAUAAUUUACAUUAUAGGCAAAUAUUCUUAUACCAUCAAAGGCAAAACAUGACACUAACAAUUGAUCCCCCCCCCCCCCCCCCGUCCCCCCAACAACAAAAAAAAAAGGAAAAAACAACACAGAAAAGAUUGAAACAGAUAAGGCUACACUGAGCACAGGAUGCCAUGAAACAUAAUCCAGGAACCAAAUUAAUAAAAAAGGAAGCCAAACCAUUAUUUAACAAUCUGUUUUGUAUUUGGGAAAGUCUGAUAAAAUCUACUUAGGGAUAAUUAGAGAACCUCAACUAUUAAUCACACCUCAUAAAUGAACUAACAUUAACCAUCCCCACAUCACACAAACAUUCUAACCUAAUACUUCCAUCUUCAAUUGGGGGUUUUUUUUCUUUUUUUUUUGUUGGGGGGGGGAGCUUGCUUAGCUUCUGUGUGGGAUUGAAAUGCUGAUUUCGAAUCACUAACAGUAAAAUUGGAAUCUCAUGAAAAAACAGUUUUAUCUUAAAAUUACAUCUCGAUAUAAAUUCUCUUUUCAUUUCCUUCAACUUUCUAAUUAAGCUUAAAAAAUGUACCUUCAACCACAAAGGGGUUUAAAAUUUAAAAUAUAAAAAAUAAAUUCAGAUAACAAUAAUUAAUUUAAUUAAAAAUAUAAAUAGAGUUACAGAGAAAGAGAAAAUAGAGAAAGACCUAAUGUUGAGUCCUUUGGCGCAAGUCUCUUCAUAGGUCCGAACCAUUUCUUCGGGCGUGGGUUUCGGGUCUUUAGGAAACUCCAUAGUGAUAAGCCAGUGAUUGUAAUCGCAACCCUCGAACAGAAUCCUGUCGGGUGUGAUCUCGUCGCCGUCCUUAUACAAGUGGUACGUCUUGUUACCCGACGGCGUAGACGAGAGGGAGAUCGUCGGGGACGAUCUGAACGGCCGACGCCGAUGAAAUGGAAGGGUUUACCAGAGGAGUGGAUGCGAAGAGUGCAGGGACGGCCGCAGAGAGAGGGCGGCGGAGAGCGGCGACGGACGGUAGUGACCAGCGGAGGCGGAAGAUGGCGAUAUGGGCCAUUGCUUGCGCGUCAGUGAGUGUCUCGAGUGAGAGAGUGAAGGGUUUUGUUUAGGGUUUUGGGAAAUGAAAAAUGCAAAUGUUUGAUUUUGUUGCUAGAAACUUCUUCUGCCGCUGCCUUUUAUUUUCGCUAUAAUAAUAAUAAUUUAUUAAUCAAAUAUUUUCUUAAAAAAGAUAAAUUUCUACAACAAAAUUUAUAUUAAAUCAAAUUGUAAAAAUGUCUAUUAGGGUUAAUUUCUCCUUAAUAUUAUUAUUAGUAGAAGUAGAUUUUCGAAUUAGUCUUGAUAUAUUUCAGAGUUGUAUUAUAAAUGUAUAUGUAUCUGGAUUGCAAUUAUAUUUUUAAAAAAUAUAAUUUUUUUAAUUAUUGCACAAUAAAUGUAGAAAGUAUCUAUAAAAUAAUAUUAUUAGGACUACGAAAAAAAUAUUAUUUUAGAGAAGUUAUUUAUUUAUUAUUGAAUGAAUAAUUUAUUGGUAAAUGAAUAUUUAUUAAUUUAAAGAGAGAUUUUUUUUUUUUGGUUUGAAGAAGAGUUUUGUUGGUACAUAUACAUACUUAUAAAGAAACACAAAAAGUAGUUCCUCAAGUCAAUUGUAUUUGCUUUAAUUCAUAAUAAUAUAUCUUAAUCAAGAAACUUGUAAUUAUACUAUAUCUUUGUUUCUUUGUUCAGUUUGGUGGGACAUUGUGAUAAAUCAUUGGAUUAAAAUGCAUUUCUAAAUGAAAACUAGUUAAAACCUAAUUUAUUUGGGAACCACAUUUUAUUUGUCAGUCGUAUUUCUCAACUUAGCAAGUUAUUUCUAACUUAUCGGUCUCUAUUGAUUCUCUUAAGUGCCUGUUUGGUAUGACUUAUUUAAUGGCAAUAAGUGCUUAUUUAAUCUCAUAAGCUAUUAUCAUAAUUUUUGUUGUUGUUUGGUUGUUUUUCUAAUAAAGUUUUUGAAGCUUAAAUAAGUAAUUUUACCUCUACUAGCAAAAGCUCAAAUUUUGAGUUUUUUAGGAGUAGAGAUUGAAAAACUUUUUUAAAUGUCAACAUAUCUAUAAUAUCCUCUACUUAUUUAACAAUCUUAUUUAUUGUUUUCAUAAUAUAACUUUAAAAAACUUGUCUAUUAAAGUAAUUUCAUAAUUUUUUAAUAAAAGCUCUUAUUGACAACCAAACAAUUAAACUUUUUUUUAACAAAACCUCUACUUAAAUAAGUUCUACUUGAAAAACCGUACCAAAUAGAGCUUAAAGUUAAUAGUCUCGUAUCUCCCGCAUUUGAUAUCUUAUUGGCAUCAGCGUGUUACCUAAGAUUGGGAUUCAUUAAAAUCCUCAAUGUAAUCGGUGGAACUAAUGGAUUUCUUCUGUUCACCAAUCCACCAAAUUUUUUGUAAUUAAAUUCAAAAGUCAAGAUCUAUGCUUAUAAUCUAUUCAAUAGCUAAUAUUCUAUUUUAUAUUUACUUAAAUAUGAAGAGCUAUGCUUGUAAUUAACUUCAAAUGUGAUCGAAGCAGUAGGGAUGGCAAUGGGGAGGGGAGGGGAGGGGACCAAUCUCCCCAUACCCAUCCCCGAUAUUUUGCGUAUGUCCCUGUCCCCUCCCCGUCCCCGUCAGAAUUGCUUGAGAGAAUCCUCAUCCCCUCCCCGAAUAAUAACAGGGGAUCCCCGAGGGUCCCCGGUCCCCGAAUAAUUAAUAGUCUAAUACAUUUUUUUAUUUUCGAUUUUAAAUUAAUCAUAUUAAAAUAAAAAAUUCAGAUAAAAAUAAAGUUUAAAAUAUAUCUUACAUUAAUAUUGAUCCAUUACAAAGUCACAUUCAAAAUAUAAAUUAUUAAAAUAAUUAUCUUUAUCAAUGUCUCAAUCUUCAUAAUCCUACAAUAAAAAGAAAAAAAUUAUUUUUUAUAUCGGCAAUAAAAUAAAUGAAAUAAAUGUAGAUACUUAAUUAAUAUUUUUAAUAAAACUAUUUACCUCCUGCUAGUCAUGCUCGUCCUGUUCUUCCUCGAGAAAUGUGACAAAUUGAGAGAUAGCCUCAGAUUUCAAACCUAAAACAAUGAAAAUGAUAUAAGUAACGUAACUUAUAAGUGCAAAUAUUAAUAACUGUAUAAUAUAAUUACAAUGUAAAAUAAACUCAUACUGCUAUUGUAAGCUCGUAACCAACUUUAACAGCACAUUAAGGCCUCCAAUGUGCUUGGAUGAAGUUUGUUACGGUGUGGGCUCACAACUCUACCGCCGGUGCUAAAAGCUGAUUCAGAAGCAACUGUUGUAAUUGGAAUUGCCAAAAUAUCUCUAGCAAUUCGAGCUAAUGUAGGAUACCUAUUAGCAUUUGUCUUCCACCAACUCAAAAUAUUAAAAUCUUCCAUCCGGGGUAUAACUUUUUCAUCCAAAUAUGAAUCUAAUUCAUUUGCAACAAUUGCACAAUCUCCAUUGUUUACAUAAUCAUCAAAACCUGUCAUUCAUUUGGUUGCUUUCUUAUAAGAAUCCCCUGUAGAUCUAAUAGAAGAACUACUACCAGUAUAAUCAAAGCAAUAAACAGUUGGUGAAAACUUCAAUUGAUACUCUUCCACUAAUUCUCGGCAAAGGGUGACGACUUUCCCAACAUACAACUCUUUAACACCACCAUAAACCAUAGAAAAGUAAUAUUCAAUGAACUUCUUUUUAUACCUUGGAUCAAAGAUACAUGCCACACCCAAAAUUCCACUCAUAUCUUGCCAAUAUUUAUAAUUUUGUUAUUUAUUUAUUAGUAAUUUUAAAAAUAAAAAUAAAAUUAAAAUGGGGAAAUGGGUAGGGGAUGGGGAUUCCACCUCAUCCCCGUCCCCUCCCUGAAUAAAAAAUUGGGUAAAAAAUUUUCCCCGUCCCCUCCCCGAAUAAAAAUUUGGGUAUAAAAUUAUCCCCGUACCCUCCCCGAAUGGGGAAAAUCCCCGAGGGUACCCGUCCCCGUGGGGAUUUUUGCCAUCCCUACGAAGCAGCCUUGCAUCUGUAUAUUACUUAUUUACUCCCAACCUUUUUUUUGACUUCAUAUACUUUCUUUUCAUGUUAUUUACUCUUUUUUUUUCCCUCUCUGACAAUUGAGGUAGGGGGUCAAACUUGAAAGUAUCUUAAAAUCAGACAACAAUUUAACUAAUUUUUUUUUUUUAGAUAACUGCUAAUAUGCUCUAUUAGACAAUGAUAAGUGAUAACCUAGGUGUUUGCAUUAAAAACGAUAUUUUUUGUGGUGUUGAUAAAGAGGUUAAUUAUGAUUCAACAAUUUAAAAUAUGAAAACAUAUAGAAGACGGCCGCAAUUAAAUUGAUUGUAUGAAAAUAUUUCAAUGAAAUUUUAAAAAUUUAGUACUUGUUAUCUUAUCGAGAGUUUUUUAAAUUAUAUUACUACUUGAACUUGACUGCUUUUGUAUUGAAUUCCUAGCGUUGACAUUGCUUCUACUCAAAAGCCAUUUAAGUUUGUGUUAGAGUGCAAUUUAUGCACUAGUUUUGCAUUGUUUACUUCCCUUAAUAUCGAUGUUUUGCACUUAAUAAUAAUGAUUUACUUGUGUUUUACUUUUGUAGGUGCAAUUCUAUUGAUUUGUGAUAAAAUUGAGCUAUAAGAUGAUGUUUAAAGAUGAUUGUUCUCUUGGAGAAAUUAUGAGCGUCAGAAGAACUUUGUUGAUAAGGCGUGGGCGCGUGCUGUCAACUGCGGACCUGCAGUUUUUAGUUUAACGUGUUUUGUAUUUUUGGUUAUUUUUGUAAUUACGAAUUUAAUAUUUCAGAUAUUAGUAUUUUAUUUUAAAUAGAAUUCUAAAGGAGAAGAGAGAGAGAGUAUUUAAGAGAGGAAUCUAUUGUGAAAAAAAGGGGAUUGGAGAAAAGAAAGAAACCCUAGAUCUAAACUUUUCUCUUCUCUCUAUGAAGAACUAAACAUAUUUUUCUGGUUGAAGGUUAAUGCAGCUUUGAUUCAUCACUACUGUGAGAUCUUUCUUGUGCUUUAAUUGUUUUAUUGCUUUUUGGGUAUUUGUUUAUUCUCUGAAUUAUUUUCAUGAUUAUAUUUGUUAAUUAGGUAAUUGGCCACUAUUUAAUUAUCAACUUAAUCUAUUGUCAAUUAAAGGAUUCAUAGUAUGAAGAAUUUAAUGUUUGUGACAAAUAACAUAGCAGAUAGUUGUGUUGUGAGAAUAAACAAUCUAAUUUAAAUGAAUCAUCAUAUGUGUUGAUUAGGAUUUGGGUCUCUAUAGUUUUUCAGGCUGUCAAUUGAUUAAAUCCUAUGAUCGUAUCUAGGGUUGUCUAUUGAUUAGGGAAAUAACCAACGGUCGUACCUUGGUUAUCGACUAGUUAAGGAGAGAUUGGCUAUUAGAGGGUCUCAGUAGCUAUAACCGGUCUAUUCAUAAGUAAUAAUAAUCUAUAUUUGAAUCAAUGAUCAGUAGUCGAAUCAAGCUGAGUUAAUUCCUUCAACCAUAGCUUUCUCUAAUUUGAAUUACAACUUUAAUUUGUAUUCUUGUUAUUUUAAUUUGAUUUUUAUUAUUGUCAACAAUUCUCCCAUUUUACGUUUUACGUUUCAAAAGGAUUUAAAUAAUUACCGAUCUCUGUGGACACGACCCUACUCAAUCACUAUACACAAUUUAUUUAGAGUAGGAAUUUAUUUUUGUUGGCUUCGACAACCAUCAGUUUGUGUAAGCUACGUAUAGUUUGAACAACAAUUUAUUCAUGAAUUGUUGCUCAUAAUAGCAAUUUGAUUGAAAGUGCGGCUGCACUAAUUUUCUAGAUGAAUUUUUUCCUACAUGCUUGUUCUCGUAUGACCCAAAAUCCUGCUACAUCAGUUGUAUUAGAAAUUUUUUCCUACAUAAUUAUGCAUCCCCACCAAUAUUUAAGCAAUUUACAGAAACAUUUCUUGAGGAAAGAAACUCAUAUCGCCACUAGGCUUUUAAUGAGGCUCAUUUUUAUGAAUCUGGAUGGCAUUAGAUAUCUCUCCGAAUAUUGGUGGGAGUAGAUCGCAGAUCUCUGGGCUAUACUACAAAGUGUAUGUACGUUGACUCUCAAUAAAUACAAACGAUUCUCUGAUAUGAUUCAAAACAUGCAUAAUUUUAACGAGAAAGAAUAUUCUAAGUGUUGAAAAGUCAAAUAGUUGGCUUACCAAUUUCAAAAAAAGCAAAGUUAGGUUUUGAAAGCAUGCAAAUUGAAUACAUGGCAUGGGACAACUAGCAUGCAUUGCAUUUGUGAAUUUGGCCAAUCAAAGUCAAAUUGAAACCGGGUGGUAGGUGAGCAUGCUUUGCCUAUAAAUAGAGACGCAAAAUGCAUUUGUAAAUGCAUCCCAAUUUGAGAGAAGUAGAGAGCAAUUGCAAGUGAGUUCUUUAAGAGAAUUUGAGAGAGCUUCCACUUGAGUGUUCUAGUGAGGUUCCAUUUGGGUGUAUUGGGGUUGUGGGUUUUGUGAGUUUUUUCCACUUUUGUAAAUUUCCAUUGUUAGUAAAAUUAUCUUUUAGUCUUUGCCUGUGGAUGUAGGCAUUACGCCGAACCACGUAAAUCAUUGUGUUAUAUUUUCUUUGCAUUUGUUUAACACCACAUUUAUAUUUCUCCAGAAGUUGCAGUAUUAGUAAUUACUCAACCCGCGUUUCCGCAACACUAAGAACGAAAUUGAACGUGCAAUCAGCAACUAAAAUGAAGCCAGAAAUGUACAUGCAUGAGGAAUUUUUCCUAGAAGAUUGAUAUUUCUUUGACUAGCAAACCAUACAAGUCCAAAGCUAGCCAAACCAUACCUGCAAGUCGGGGGUUUAAAUGGAAUGCUUCUAAGCAUAAAACAUUGAUUAAAAUAGAAUACACACAUACAUACCAACAAAUUCAAAAUAGCAAAAGGAGUGCAAAAGUUCAAGUUUGUAGACAAUAUUGCACCCAUGGGAUAUUAAAGCAAAUCCUUGAAAUCAGCUACACAAAACGAUGCCCGGUCUCAUGAAUCGAUGCUCAAUUAAAAUUGCAAUUGAAAGUCCGGCUGGUGUUGUUUCCCUCUCCAGUUUUGCCUACAUAAGUAAACGGAAAUAAGAAUCACAAAUGAAAAUUUGCUUUGACAGUUCUUAUUAGAGAGAUAUAAAGGGAUCUUUCUUUGUUUCUCUGCUGUAAUUUGUGGCUAUCCCACUCUGUUUUGCCAGUCAAGCUAAGUCUACGUUGAGGCAUAAUUUUGACAUCAGAAGCAACCUCAAUUAGUUUGGCAUUUUUAUGACCUCCUUGAAGGUUUUAUGAUAAACAUAAAUCCACUGAGAAAGUGGGAAAAAGAGAAAAUGCAUAUAAAAGUAUGAGUUAUCAGAUAAGAUUAAAACUCACCCAAUUCAAUCCAUCAGAUUCCAUAAGGAUAUAACUGGAUGUCAUACCGCCACUCCAUAUCCUCAAAAGUCCGUAGUCUUUGUCUCAACUCUGUCUGAGGCCAAUGUAAAUCCAAUUUGCGCAAGCUCUUUAUGCACCACAGCUCUUCUGGAAGCUUUCUCAAGUAAGCACAUGGGUUGACAGUUAAGCUUUCAAGUUUUGGCAUUGCUCCAGCCCCCAUCGUCCACUCAUCUAGCCAAUACAUUGAUUUCAGGUGCAAAACCUUAAGCUCCGGAAAGCCACCAGAGCCAACACAGGACAACUUUCUUCCUAAAUACGAGUUUUGCUUCAGUUUAAGUACUUGAAGGCAUGGAAGCUUUUCUAGCGUUGGCAUGGGGUCCUCCAUUAGCUCAGUAUUUGAUAAGCUCAGAUGGGUCAGACUUGGAGGAAACUGGUAUUCAUACAGGACCAUUCGUGAGGGCUUCCUUUCAUUCACCAGCUUCAAGCAUUCAAGUUUGUGGAGUUCGCAUAGGCUUUUGGAAACCCCUGAAUGAUAGCAACUCAAAUCUCCAGAUAUCCGAAGAGUUUGAACAUUAGGUAGUCUGCCCAAUAUAUCAGGAGUACAACUACUGGGGUUUAAAGUUGAUAUGAAAAUGAGAUUUUUCAGGGAGCUAGAAUAAUUUUUUGGAGGUGCGGGCAGAGUGAUAGAACCAAAGUUUAGAUGCAUGAGUUUUUGCAUCAUCCAAAUAUCCUCCGGCGACUGAUCUACGUAGCUAGAUGGCAUUUCUAGUGUUUGAAGGUUUAAAAGAGUGCAUAGCAGCGAAGGAAGGCAUUUGAGCGAAGGGAUAUUCAAUUUCAAAUACUUCAAAUGGAAUAAAUUUUCUAAUCCGGGUGGAAAUUGGACGAGAACUGCAGAACCCAAGUUCAGUAUCCGAAGGUGUUUGAACUUUUCACAAAAAUUCUAGCAAUCUAUCAGAGCGAGA
RNAcentral lists this long non-coding RNA (144574 nucleotides) under Citrus maxima (pomelo). RNAcentral describes it as "long non-coding RNA (CMAX_LNC001224)". Lineage: Eukaryota; Viridiplantae; Streptophyta; Magnoliopsida; Sapindales; Rutaceae. The record is from RNAcentral.